This 108791-nucleotide long non-coding RNA is filed under the name Citrus maxima (pomelo). Its description in RNAcentral is "long non-coding RNA (CMAX_LNC000472)". The stretch from base 61840 to 61946 matches the Rfam family "Plant small nucleolar RNA R71". Lineage: Eukaryota; Viridiplantae; Streptophyta; Magnoliopsida; Sapindales; Rutaceae. The record is from RNAcentral.
CUAGCUUAUUUAGAAAGAGCUGACCAAAUCACCCUCUGAUGAUGAUCUUGUUGCAAUAUUACUGUUUCCAUUGACCCUCCUGCAGUUCAAUCUAAUCUCCCCUUGAUUUCCUGUCAGUGGUUUCAAAUUGCCCAUUCUUAUCAUUGAGGUCACAAAGUUUUUAAAGAAAGCAGUCUGGUUCCUCCCAAAGUCCUGGACAAUGGCAGCGGUAUCGGCACCAGGAGUCGAAAACAACUCUUGAUCACUCUGCAGAAGGCCUUUGCGGCCUCUAAGAUUGGAGAAGUAUUUGUUGUCGAAAACAUCAGGUGUCGUGACAUCAAAAUUAGCAAGAACGCCGCCGUUUCCACCUUGUGGGCAUAGUUUCCUCAGUUGUUGUAAGAAGGUUGCGUCUAGGGUUGGGUCUGGCUUGCCAGUAUUGUUAAAAUCGUAUAAUCUGCCCCUGAAAAAUUGGCACUGAGCCCUUCCGAACGUGUGAGCUCCUGAAAAAACAUGCAUGACCAAAUCUUUGUUAUUUUUACUGAAUUCACAUACGAGGAACAAUAAUGAUAAUUUUAUUGUUAGGGAUAUUAUUUAAAUAUUGAGUUAAGUAAAUAUAAAUUUAAGGCACCAACACUCAUUUCUUGAAUUAACUUUUGAGUAUGAGUUACUAUUAGCAGGCAGUUUUGACUCCUAAAAGUUUACUCUCAUAACUUUACUCAAGUAACUAAAAGGAUGUAGAAGCAAUUAAUAAUUACCGGAGAGUGCAACAAGAUCAAACUUGUCAUUGAGGCCAACAUUUCUAAAACUAGAUUUGAGCACAUCAAGAGUAUCAAAUGGUCCUGGAAGAUUCUGAUUUGCAAGAGCUCUGUUUGCCGUUCUGCUGUCCCUUCUUCCCAAUGGAACUGCCCAUGACGGACCCCCUGACUGUAACCAAAAGCCAUUCACUCAAAAUCAGCAAUAAUCUUAAGAGAUGUGCGUUUGGGGCGGACUAUUUAAUUUGCUAGCCGUUGAAUCAAACUUUGUCGUAUAACAAAAGAAGAAAAUUUUAAGUUUAAAACUAAGGCCUUGCUACGAUGCACCAGCGCAGUAAAAAGUGUCUCACUAUCAGUAACAAUUUAUCCGUUAAUAAUCACUAUAUUGACAUAUGUGUAGCAAUUUUGGUACCAUACAGUGUAGCUGAUGCACUAUAGUCAAUGGGAGAAAUUUGUGGUGUAAUUGUGGUACCGUAUCAGUUAUAUUCAGUCGUUGGAUACUAAUAGACCUCAUCAAUUUAAAUACAUUUAACGACUGAAUAUAAUUAUAACACGGUACCACAAUAUCAUACCACAGUUGCACCAUAGUCUGAUCAUGUCUGAUCAUAGUCCAUGAGCCACCACUUUUAAAUAAUGGAGUCCACCACGUCGUCCGAAUUUAAAAAUGAUGGGUCCAACAAUGAAUCCCUUCACUUAAAUCAAUUUCCACAUGGUGGGGCAGUUUUGUCGUUGAAUAGCAGCGCAAUAACUAGCAAAGGCUAAACAUGUGGACUCAGAUCUUGCACAUUGUUCUAUGUGAAUAAUUAUUUAAUUAAUGUAUUCUUCUAAGGAUAAAGUUGAACUCACGGGUUAUUUAAUUAACUGAAAAAAAUAAUAUAAAAACACGUUAAAUUUAUAUGGGUUAUUAUUAAUUGAAAAAAUAGUUAAAAAUUACAUUAAUACUGCAAAGAUUUACCAUUAUUCUAUUCGCUUAUUCUGAUACCCAUAUUAAUUUACUUCUAAGCGUAAAAUAUUAACCAGGAAGAGGAGUUGGUAAUAGAAAUUCAUACCAAAGCAACGGAUCGUUCAGCCGCAAUAGUAAGAAUAUCAGCGCAGGAAACAACCCUUGGACAUGCCUUUUCAACGGCAGCUUUCAUGUUAUCAAUAACUUCAAAACCCCUCGCCGAAUUAUUAUUUGGCGCAGCAAAUUUCUCGCUGUCUAUGGUGUUAGUGCUGUCCAGCAAAAUCGAUGCAUCACACCCCUGAAAAAAUAAUAUUAAUUAACAACUUGCUAUGUUAACAGUCCAUUGUAUUGUUACUUUAACAAGUAGAUAGAUUCCUUCUUAUCUUAUGGACAGGAAUUCAAAAAAACUAUAUAAAUAAUGCAAACUCUUCUUAUUUAAAUUGUCUUAUUAUUACAUAAGUUUUUAAGACUAGGAUUUCCUGUUGAUUUAAAUUUUUCGGUUGGAAGAAUAUAAAACAAGUGUGAUUUAUUUUCAACCAUACACCAUUAAUAUUGGACCCAUGAUCAUUAAAAGCACUGAGCAGGGAUGAGGCCAUGAGAUGGAUUUUAAUUCCUGUUUUGGACCAAAUCUUUGCUAGAUUUAAAUUUCUAGUGCAUGAUGAAAACCCCAUAUUAAAAUUUAUUUAUAUAAAAAAAAAUUAAAUGGUCUUCGGUACAUCUAAAUUAGAGAGGAAAAUUUUGUUGUACGGCUGAAGCGAAAAAAUCAGAUCUUUUAGCUUGGGGUUGGGGGUGAGGAUCUCUACGUGCAUGAAUAUGCGGUCAGAAGAGAAUGCAAUGAGUAGCAGACAGAUAAAAGAGAGAAGAAAAAAAGGUAUAUAAAAAUGGUUUUGGAUGUUGUUGAACUUAAAAUGAUAUAUUCAAACUCUUCCUUAGGCUUUAUGAAAACUCUAUAUUUUGUUUAAUGCCAUAAAAAAUUAUAAAGAUACUGUUCAUUGUCAUACUUGAAACUAUGUUAUAUCAGUAAGUACAUAGACAGAGAGCUUGAUAAAGUAAAGAAGAUGAAAAAUGAGCGAGCAGAGAUUGCUUCACAUCAACAAAACAGUCAUGGAAAUGAAGCCUGAUGAGGCUGGCACCGAUCCGGAUAUCGGACGAGAAAGCUUUCUUAAGCACAUCCUCGAUAGUGUUCAAUACAUUAGGGCAUGUGGAAGAAUAAAAAGAGGGAGAAAGUUGAGCUUGAGAUGGUGAUCCCUCAAGCACAAAAGCAACAAGAAGAGCUGCUGCAAGAAGAUAACGAAGUGAAGCCAUUUUGUCUAAGAGUUACUAGAGAAAGGCCUCUUUAUUUAUAACCAAACAAACCAGAUUAGUAUUAGAACUUUGCAGCAACCUCGAAGUUCCUCGUUUCACUGUUUGAAUAGGUUAGUUUCGUUAUUAAUUCUCUUAAUUAGGUUUAUGUGAUUUAUUUCUUUUUGAAACUACCGUGGCCCAUGUGACCAUCUAAGUAAACUAUAUGGACGUAGAUUUUUUUUUUAUUAGUAAAAUAAAAUUACUAGUUAAUUUUCUUUUUUAAAUUUCAUUCAAUUUUUUCUUUCAUGUUUAAAAGCUUAAGUCUUCAAUUAGAUUCUUCGAUUUUAAUAUUUUUUUCAAAUACAAUAUACUAAUUAUGGUGCAUUUGAAAUUACAUGUCUUAUUUUCAUAAUGAUCUUGAAAUUUACAAAUAACCUUCGUUUUUGUGGAGAGAAUAUAAGAAAGAGGAAUAUUUGUUUGUAAAAUUUUAUUUAAAAAAAAGUAUAAAUGAACGUAUUAGAAAUGCAUGUAUAUCAAACUUAUUUGAGAAUAAAAACUUAUUAAAAUGAAAUCCAAAAUCCUGAGUAAUUAUUCAUGAAAAGAGGGACUAAGUUGAUAAUUCUUGAAAUGGUGCCUUUAUUAGGUAGGGGCGGCGACGCCUUGAGUCGCUUUUGUUUAAUGCCAGCUUACCUGCUUCGUUUAUCGUAUGUGUGAAUGCGGAGCAUGUGGCGUGUGGAUUCCACGUAUUCGAAAUCCUUCAUUUCAACCUUUUGGAACUUUUCAUUUGUUUACCGACAUAUCAAAUAUCAUUUUGUCAGCUUACACAUAGGUAGAUGCGAGAUUGAGACUCAGUAACGUUUAAGUCAUAGUUAUUAUAGGGAAUAAAAUAAAUUAUUAAAUAAAAAUCAAUAAUAUAAUAUUUAAAUAAUAGUUUUGCUAGAAGUAGUAAAUAUAUUAGAAAAUUUUCAUCGUGAGUUUAGAUCAUCUUAGUUUUUAAAGUACAGAAAUAAGCGGUGGUUCUCUCACGCGGACACCCGCAGCUUAAAAAAUAUGCGGACACUCACGUUUUGAAUUUGACCGUUGGAUGCCAUCAACGGCUGAAUUAAGUUGUGACGUAAAGACAACUACUGACAUUUUCAGCCACUUUGGCCGGGUGGUCAGGGCUGUUGCCCUCUAACGUGGAGGGCAACAGUAAGAACCCCCACGAACGAACAUAUUGUGAGAAUAUUUUUUUUCUCAAUUAAAAUUGAGUGAAGAUAAUUUUUUUUUUUUAUCUGAGAGUGAGGAGUAUACAUCAUUCAAAUAUUUAUAAGGGUUAAAAUCUGGACAGAACUUUAUUAAUAUUGAUAUAAAUUAAUUUCAGUAAUAAUCUAUUUUAUAAAUAUAAUGUAAUAUAAUUUAUAAUUUAACGAAUAAUAUCAUGUAAUAAAAAAAACUACUGACAUUUUCUGCCUGUGGGCCCGGUCUUCAAAACUUUGAAAAAAAAAAACCAUUUCUUUCUUUUAUUCAAUGGCACCACGUGAGUAUAAAAACACAAGGACAAUAAUUUCUAUCCUUUUUUUCCCCAAAACUAACUUGUUGAUUUUUAUUUUUCAAUUUUCAAAGAUCAAUAUACAGUCAUCAUCACCACCAUUUUUGCUUCUCCAUCUUUCCGUCAUCAAAAUUAUCCUUCCGAUCAAAGAAGAUGAAGCAAAGAAGAAAAACACACUUCGGUAAGUCACCUAAAAAAAAAAAAAACUUAACGACCCAUCUAAAUAAUCAAGCUGAAAGGUAUCUCUAACAGAAGGUUUUCUAAAAAAAAAAAACAAAAAAACAAAAAUUGAGGAAAUUGAAGAAGGAAAAACACAGGCCAGGACAUUCUUAAUUAAGAAACUUGAAAGUUCAUGAAAGAAGAGCAAGGCAUUUAAGCCACAGGUAAGAAAUAUUAGAAGAUUAACAUGUUGGACACGUCAUCUCCGGCCACAUUGCCGUUGAUGAUGAAGAUGAUCCAACGAUUUGGCUUCCUGGGUGUGGGAAGAUGGAGUUGGGAGAAGAGAGAGAAAUUUAAAACUAGUAUAUUGUGUUUUUCUAUUCACAUGGUCCCCAUUAAAUAAAAGAAAUACUUUUUUUUUCCAAAGUUUUGAAGACGGGCCCACACAGAGAAAAUGGCAGCAGUUGUUGCCUUCACAAUUUAAUUCAGCCGUGGAUGGGAUCCAACGGCCAAAACGUGAGUACCCACAUAUUUUUUAAGUCGGAGGUGUCCGCGUGAGAGAACGACUGUAGAAAUAAGUAUUUAUGAAAUAAUUUAGUAUUAUAUUUUAAAAGGUACAGCGGUCUUACUUUAAUUUCAAACGAGGUCUUGAUUAAUUGAAACCACAAGUAGGAGUUAAAUAAUUAAGAAACGACAGGAUGACUUUUUGAAAUAGGUAAAAAAUGAUUUUGUUAAUGAUCAUGAAAAAGGUAACUGUGGCUACUGGCUACUAAUGUUUUCUUUUCUGGGGAAAAAGGAUCAUAAUAAUUGCGAAAUGGUUUAGUGAAAUAGUACGGAGAUUCUAUUGGUUUUAGAAUUUAUAUAGGCUCUUUUUUGGUACACACAGACCCCAAAAAUUGUCAAAUAGAUUUUUAAAAUUUGUCCAAAAAUAAGUUUUGUUAUCCCAUAAGAAAAGUGUGUAUUGAGUAUUUCUGAAAAUAAAAGAUUCUUCCCUACUAUUUUGUCAAACUACGGAUGUUUGACAAAAAGUACAAAGAAAUUUGUAAGAAUAAGGUGUUUUUCCGGUUAGUAUUUUAAAGCUAGAGGAUAAAAUGGACCACUAAAAACUGAAAAAUGACUCAAAUGACAAUGUGUAUCGAUGACAUAGGAAAAAAAAAUACACAUGACAAGGAUUUCUUUUUUUUUUUUUGAAUACUGAUUAAACAUCAGAUUACUGCAUUACACAGAUAUUUACAACAACUGCUAUUAUAGCAGAUAUAUUACACUGAUAAUUACAAUCAAAUAUACAUAAUUGGGACUUACAUUAUUACAUUGAAUUCUCUGAAGUAUAUGCCCAGACAAAUAACCCCUCACAGAGGAAGGAUGUCCAUACUCCACUCGCAUUUCGCAAGGGAGAAUGAUUUUUACAUAUUAAGAACAUUUAGCCCCCACAAUGCUUUUGUGGGGGCUAGAACCGCUGCCCUCACAAGCCUUGUGAGGGCAGCAACCCACCACUUCGGCCAAGGCCGAAGUGGCAUGACAAGGAUUUCUGAUACAUAGAAAGCAAGGAUGUGAAUACACAAACACAACCUUAGUUUAUUGAAAAUAAAAAGCAUGUUUCAGGCAAAACAUAGGAGUAAAUUCACGAGUUUGUAACCCACAAACUAGCUUAUUUAGAAAGAGCUGAUCAAAUCACCCUCUGACGAUGAUCUGGUUUCUAUAUUACUGUUUCCAUUGACCCUCCUGCAGUUCAAUCUAAUCUCCCCUUGAUUGCCUGUCAAUGGUCUCAAAUUCCCCAUUCUUAUCAUUGAAAUCACAAAGCUUUGAAAGAAAGCAGCCUGGUUGCUACUAAAGACAUUGACAAUGGCAGCGGUAUCGGCACCGGGAGUCGAAAACAAUUCUUGAUCACUCUGCAGAAGGCCCUUGCGGAUUUGAAGAUUGAAGAAGUAUUUGUUGUCAAACAAAUCAGGUGUUGUGACAUCCAGAUUAGUUAGAACGCUGCCGUUUCCACCUUGUGGGCAGAGUUGCCUAAGUUGUUGUAAGAGGGUUGUGUUAAGUGUUGGGUCUGGAUUGCCAGUGUUGCUGAAAUUGAAUAAUCUAUCGCUAAAAGUUCGGCACUGAGCCCUUCCAAAUGUGUGAGCUCCUGAAAAACAUGCAUAGCCAAUCUUUGUUAUUUUUACUCAAAUUCAUACAAAUUAAGGAUAAUAACUGAGUUUCAUUAUGGUGGUUCUCACUUUUCUUUUUGGGAAGCAAUUCAAAUUUCAUGAUGUGAUUAAGGGGAGUAAAUUUGUCAAACGUUUUAACAUAUUCCUAAUCACCAAUGUCAAACUUUAAAACACAGUUUCUUCGUAUCAUUAGGAUAUUCAGACAAGCCUCCUAGGUGCUGUAGAGUAUGAAUGUGCUUUGUGUCGGUGGUCGUCUUAGUAAGAGUAAUAAUGAGAAAAAAAAAUUGAUAUUUAGUGGAUGAGAUUUCUCAUCCUUUUCAAAAUUUAUUUUUUCUUUUUAAAUAAGAUAUUCAACAUUUAAACUAUCUCUAAGAUUUCAAGACUCAGUAUUGGCAUUAAAAAAUUUUCCACCUCCAGAUUUCUAAUUCUGGCUCCAAUACUGCUUUAUCCCAAAAGACUCCAAGGUCUGUUUGUACUCAAGUCAAAGGGCGUGAAAGCAAAUAUUACCGGAGAGUGCAACAAGAUCAAAAUUAUCGUUGAGGCCAACAUUUCUGAAUCUAUCUUUGAGCCUCGUAAGAUUAUUGUUCGGUCCUGGAAGAUUUUCAUUUGCAAGAGUCCUGUUUGCUGUUCUGCUGUCUCUUCUUCCCAAUAGAUUUGUCCAUGAAGGACCCCCUGACUGUUACCAAAACCACGAUCAUUAGUCAAAAGCAUCACUUGAGAGAUGCAUAAUAAGCAAAUUUAACUAAAAUCAGAAAUUGGUCUUGUUGCACCCAAAAUUAGCACUUUCCCGGCGUUACAAUUUUGAGUGAACGGUUCAACCAGACUGUAUCAUAUAAAGAAGAUAUUUUUUUUUUUAAUUUUCAAAAUAUAUACUGGAACCCAACACGUAAAACUGAUGUGUCCUCGAUGAAUCUCAUCACUUUUUUUUCCGGGGGAGGGGGGGAAGGAGAAGCCUUCCCUUUUCAUACGGUAAAGUUUGUUCAGGCACUAUCACGAAGUCAACAUGGUAAUGUCGGUGGACUGUGGAUUCAUCUAGUUAAAGUACUCAGGGUCUGAAAAUUCCAACACGAAUGUAAAGUCAAACUUACUCUCUGAUACCUUAGAAAUUUAAUCACUUUUAAGCUUAAAAUAUGUAGUCGAGCAAGAUGAUGAGUUGUUAAUAGAAAUUCACAUAUACCAGAGCAACAGAUUCUUCAGCUGCAAUAGUAAGAAUAUCAGCACAGGAAACAACGCGUGGACAGGCCCUUUCAACGGCAGCUUUCAUGUCAUCAACAACUUCAAAACCCCUCGCCGAAUUAUUAUUUGGCCCAGCAAAUUUCUCGCUUUCUAUGGUAGUAGUAUUGUCCAGCAAAAUCGAUGCAUCACAGCCCUGAAAUAACAUCAAAAGCUUGUUGUGAUCAACGUCUGUUGUAUCGUUAAUUUAAUAAUUAGGUAGAUUCUUCUUAUCUUACGAUUAAGAAAAAUAAUGCAAACUUGUGCAUUUUCUUUUUGGACAAAUUUUCUUAUUGUAUAAUAAGUUUUUAAGACCAGGAUUUCCUCGUGAUGUAACCUUUUUCUGAGCUUAAUUGUGAUUGUUAGAAGUUAAGGAUAUAAGUGUACGUAGUUAUAUUUCAAUCAUAAAUUACUAAUAAUAGACAUGUUACACAAGAUUUUUUAAAAUACUAUGCAAUACUCAGAUUAAGGGAGGACCUUAAUUAAUAUUUUAAAAUAUUAAUUGAAAAAGAAGAAAAACUAAAGAGUAGAGAUUGAUUACAUUAACAAAACAGUCAUGGAAAUGAAGCCUGAUGAGGCUGGCACCGAUGCGAAUAUCGGACAAGAAAGCAUUCUUAAGCACCUCCCGAAUUAUGUUGGUUACAUUAGGGCAUGUGGAAGAAUAAAAAAAGGGAGAAAGUUGAGCUUGAGCUGGUGACGAUCCCUCAAGCACAAAUGCAACUACAAGAGCAGCUGCAAGAAGAUAACGAAGAGAAGCCAUUUUGCAAUGAUGAGAAUGAGAGUUAUAUCUGAGCCUUCUAUAUACGCGCCUCUUUAUUUAUAGCCAACCAAGCUAAACAGGAGUAGAACUUGGCAACGACUAAGAAGUUUCACAUUAUAUUGUAAAAGUCUACUGUUUGAAAACAAAGGCUUAACUUAUAUGAUGAGAUAAUUACAUUAUCGAUUUUCUCCCUAAAGUUUGGUGAAAGCAUAUUUUUCUCCACAUACUUUUGAGGUGGUAAUGAUAAUUUAUUAUUUGCAUCUCAGUAUUCUAGAAGUAUGUCAAGUGUAGCUCGGUUGAUUGUGAAUGCAUUUUGUGUCUGUGAUCACCCAAGUUCUAAUAAUAAUAUGGGGCAAAGGUGGUUGUUUAGUGGAUGGGAUUUCUUGUCCCCAUAAGAGCUUUUUCUUUCUUUUUUCUUAUUAAACAAAAGAAAAGGCCAUACAACAUGGAUAUUAAAAAGGGACAAAACUCUGGUGUAACUGUUGUACGGUGUCACUAGUUUGUCUCUUUAUCUUUUGAUCCCUACUUUAUUUUUUUAUUUAUAAGUUAUUUAUAAAUUUAUCAUAAUUUUAUUUUUUCUCUUUUUCUCUUUUCCUCUAUUUAUAUUAAGAUAUUCUGUACAUUUUUUCUCCACUUAGAUAAUUAAUCAAUCAUUAGUCAGCAACUCCUUUCAAAUUAAAGUAUUAUCAACUAGCCGACUACCUCAAUUAUUUUUCACAUCACAACUAAGACAAAAUGGAAAAUUUUAAUUUGAAUAUUCGAAUGACAAUUGUGAGGUCAUGGCAAUUGAAUAAAUUAAAAUAAUAAAUCAAAUCUAUCAGUUAUAAGUGAUUGAUGUCAUAUUGAUUUAUAUCUAUAAAUAAAGUUUGAGUUUUAUUAUUUUUGAAUAACUAAUAACUUUCAAAUUAAAUUUUAUUGUAGUUAUUUUUUUAUUUAAAGUCUAGUAUGCAUAUAAUUUAAAGUGGUGAUCAAAGUGUAAGGAAAGAAAAUAAUACAUUUUUUUUAUAAUUAUUUAUUUAAUAUUUUAUUUUAAUAAUGUCAUGUUAGUUUUAUUUUUAAGCUAAUUUAUUAAUUGAAUUUUAAUGUGAAGUCAUUACUUAUCUCAUUCCUUUAAAAAAAAAUAGAAUUAGAUAUUGAUGUUUAGUUUUAUGUCUGACUUUUUUAACUUGAGACAACUUACCCAUUUUUUAAUUGUUUAAAUUAUUCACAAAAAAAAAAUCUGUGAGGAUAUUUCCACUGCGCUUUUUAUGUAACAACACCCUAUCUUUUUAUAUUUUUAUAAGGGUAAUUUUUAAAAACCUCCCCUGAGGUUUGGGCUUGUUGCAAGUAAAUGGCGAGAAUUUAUUUAUUUGUAAAAAAUCCCCUACCGUCAGUUAACUUUAACAUUGACUGUUAGUUGACUGUGCAAAGACAAUAUUACCCUUAACAACAGUUUGUAGACGGAAAUAACUAAAAAAAAUUAAAAUUGUUGGCGCGAAAAGCACAAACCCUAUUUUUUGACAAUUUUAUCCUUGUCAAUUCCAAAGAUUUACAAUAUCAUAGGUAAAGAUUAUAACUAUUUCAUUUUUAAGUUUUUAAUUUUAUCUUUUUUGUAGGAACUUUAAGAAAAUAUUAAUAAUUUAAAGAGGAUUUUUCAAAUUUUUAAUUUUAUCUUUCUUGUAGGAACUUUAAGAAAAUAUCAAUAAUUUAAAGAGGGUAAAAUAGCCAACAAUUAGGAUGAAUAUUCAAUUUCAAUUUUAAAAUUUUGUUUAUAUACUGCUGAGCUGGUUUCGUAACUGAUGAAAAAUUUGUUUUAUUAGGCAAGAAAAGUUUAAGAUUUUACAGUUAAAAUUUAUUUAUUUAUUAUUACUAGUAUUUUCUGUUAUGUAUGUACAUGUUCUCCCCAGAAUGCAUUUUGAUUCAGAAACUACUGUCUGUGCAAUUAGAUGCUGCAAUGUAUGUCAUUUAUAUAUGGACAUGUCCCUCUUUUAAUUAAAAUGAUUCAUGGCAUGGCAAUAUUGGCAGAGUCGUUUAUGCAUGUCCAUUUUGAUGCCAUUGAAACUUUAUUGAGCUACAAAGCAAGAAGUGUUUUUUGGCCAAACUUUGUGCAAAAAAAAAAAAAAAAACGCAAUUGGCCCCUAUUGUAAUUUUCUGGUGACUAAGGGUGAGAAAUUAAAGAAGAAUAGUUCCCCCUUUCUAAUAUCCAAAAUUUCAUUUGUUUGUAAAAAAAAAAAUAAUAAUAAUAAAUAAAUCAGCUUAAAUUCUGAUCGACUUAAUGAGGGUUGAAGAAUUCAACUUUUUUUUUUUUUUUUUUUUGAUGAUAUGAGACUAUUGCUCAAAUUACAACUCAUAUUAUAUGAGAGUAUAACUGAUACGUACAAUCAUAUAUAUAUACUGAGACCUAUUGACAUUAAUGCUGAUAUGACACUGCUCAGAUUUUUGUAACCCUCUCAAAUAUUCGAGGGACGUCAAACUCCCAUCCUAGGAGAAAGACUGUCUUCACUCGAGCUCUGUGGCUCCAAGAAAGGAAAUAUAAAUUAAACCCCUACAAUACGACUGCAGAGAUUCGAACUCUUUGAGAGUGACUCUAGCCACUUGAACUAGCCCAAGUGGUUUGAAGAAGAAGAAGAAUUCAACUUUGAUAAAUGAUAACGUUGGAUUUAGUCCAUGCCAUCGCCAUGCCAAUGUGGACUGUACGAGGCGUGUGGAUUCCACAUACUCGAAAGUCGAAACCUUUCAUUUCAAGCUUGUAGACUUUUAUCCUUUGGACUCGACUAGCUUACAGAAUCUGUAAGGUACAGACUGCAGCAUCAGCCGUUGGAUGUGGUUGGAUGUGGAGUGAGAAACUGAACAAUAGAAAAUCGGAUGGUGGGAUGACGGGAGAUGUUUGUUACAGAAUCUGUACCAUAGACAGGUCCUUAUCCUUUUUUCUUUAUAUUGAAUUAUCAUUUUUGUCAGUUUAUACAUAAAUAAUUGAUUGAGACACACGGACAGGACCUUGCUACGUUACAGACUGUGUAUGUAACGUAGCAAAUGGGGAGCAUCCGCACAUUGCACGAGAGAGGAAAAAUUGCGAAAAAUUAGCUGAUACAAGGCCAGUUUGCACUGAACUGUUACAUACAGAGUAUGUAACGUAGCUUUGUCCACACCGACAAUACACAAGUAGAGUCAAAUAAUUAAUUACGUGACGGAUGACAUUUUGAAAAUGAUAUGUUUUUGCUUUUUUUUUUUUUUUUGAGAAUGGUAUGCUGUUAAUUUUUUUCGUAGUUGUUUUCACAAAUGAAAAUUGAUGUUUAUUUGUGAUUUCAAAUCUCGCCUCUGAUAAAGUAUUUUAAAAAUUGUAAUCUAAAUAAAUAAAUACCAAACUGGCUUUUGAUUCCCGGACCUUUUAUUUUAAGUUAAGAGAAUUACUAAUUGAACUGAUUUGAACGCACAAUCUAAAGAAUUUUUCAAUAAAGAAAUAUGUUUAAUAUAGUAUUUGAAGAAAGAAAAUGUUAUGCAACAAGUACAAAAUCGUAAAAGCAACAUUAAUUUGUGCUGCUUAGGCUUUCAACUUUUCUUCAAAAAAAGUAAAAAAUAAAAAGUAAAAAGUAAAAACACCAUUCUGUCACUUUACAUAAAUCCUUCCACAACUCACCGAAUUUUAUUCUGGCCUUAUUCUAUCUUUCCUUUUUUAUUUUCCUAUUUAAAUGGAAAAUGGUUUUUAGUUUGGUGAUGAGGACAAUAUCUAAUAUCUGCCAAAAAUAGAAAAAUUAUCCCAAAACUACUUUGAAAGAACUUUGGGAUAAUUAAUUAUAUGUAAUUGAUCAAUUUUCACAUCUUAAAUUUUAAAACUCAUAAAAAGCCAAACUCAUAUAUAAGUGAGUUUAGACUAUCUUUUUAUGUGAUAAGAACUAAAAGAAAAUGUUUGACUUACACGUGACAAGGAGUGAUGGAGAUCGGAGCAUAUUUCACGACUUAUCUGUAGCUAAUAAAACUAUAGCGUUUUUCAUGCUCUUGUACGUGGAGACUCAUUAAUAUUUUGAAUUCACUUGUAUGAACAAAUCUGAAUUAUCUUUACCUUUCCAUAAUGAAUACUCCUAAUUAAAACAAAAGCGAAAAAGAAAAGAACAUAAAAAUUGUAUUUUCUUACUAAAACUUCAAAAAUUUCUUGGAAAUAGUUAAAAUGAUCAAAUACAUUUGAGGCAUCAAACAACAAACUUCGACCAUAAUCGGAUUGAUUUUGCAAUUAAACACAACGGAUUUUGUUUCUAUAUAUCACCGAAAGUUCAAAGACUUAACAUAUUAUAUGAGUAUUGUAACUCAAAGUUCAAAGUUUAAUUUUUCCUUUUGUUUCGAAACUCUCACCUCCUGCUCUUAUUAUUAUUAUUAUUAUUCAGCCUUCUGGUACGCAACUAAGACCAAAAAUGUCUGUGACUCUGUGGUAUCAUUAUUUGCAGUUUAAUUAUAUUUAAAAUAAGACGAUUGAAUGACGCGUGUUCAUGAAGUGUAUAUAAUAUAAUAUGAAUAUGAUUACGACAUUAACUGAAAUUUAAGGAACUGAUAAGUACAUAAUCUGUUUAAAUAAUAUUGUAUGAAAGAUUUCCGAUUAUAAUUUAAAAUAUAUGUUUCUUUCAAUCUUUUUCUAUAAUUCAUUGUUCAUAUGACCCUACGUCAAGAAAAUAAAAUAUAGAAUAUCUAAUAUCUCUAUCGAUAGGCAAACAAUUUCAAGAUUUUCUGGUUAACUUGUUAUACAAAGUGUUGAGAUGUGAGUAAAUUAGGGUAAAAAUUUAUUUAGUUUCUAUAUUUUAAGAUUAGUAUUCAUUUAGUCCCUAUAUUUUUAAAAAUGUCUUGAAACAUCCUUGUCGUUAAAGUAUUGAUACCCCUACUGUUACUUUUUAUUUCUUUUGGCUUACUUUUAUAAUAUUACCCUUUUAUAAUAAUUUUUUUGUUUGGACAUUAAUAAAAAAAUAAUUAAAUUACUAAUUUAACCUUAAAAAAUUAUAUUAAUUUUUAAUUAUAAAAAAUUAUAUGCAAACUACCAAGUGUGCAAAUGGUGCUUGCAAAAAAAUUAAUAUAAUUUUUUAGAUUACAAUUAUUGUGUUAAUAUUCCUAAAUAAUCUUAAAACUAAAAGUUUGUCGAAUGACAAGAUCUUAGUUAGAUGUUUAUUUGUCAAUAAAUUAGUUAACCUAUUUUGUAAUCUGAUGACUAAGCUGUAUAUCUUUUGCUCACUCAAAUACAGGCAAAUCUUCAAUGCUUGGAAACUCUUAUUAAUAAAGAAAUGCAAAUAGCUCUUUUCAAAUUAAAUAAAGACCAAUUAUCCAACAAUGCUUACUAUUUUCUUAAGUACCGUGAUUGUGCUAAUAAAGUUAUGUGGGGAGAAAGAUAUCUAUAUGCCUAUCUGGAUGCAUGCGCCUGGUUGGACAGUAAGAAAAUGAUCGAAAUUAAAUGCCAAAGAAGUAGAUGAUGCAAAUAAAGAGGAUUUAUUGUUGAUAAUUGUAUGAGUUGACUAGCCCGUUUUACACGUGGAAAGUGGCUUCGAUUGGUGCAUGCAUGAGAUUUGUUUGAUUUUCCUGAUUUUAGAUGGUGAUUUCAAUCAUUCAGUUUGAAUUUAAAAUUUCAAUAAGUUAGAAAUAACGAUGCGCCACGGUAUAUGCGUGGAAUAUAUCUCCCUUUGGCCCUUUACUCUUUCAUGAUUUCAAUUAAUCAAUCUUGUAAUUUAUUUAUAUCUUAAUGUGAAGCAAGUGUACAAGGUACAUAUAUUUUAAGAAUUUUAAAAAGGUACGUGACAAACAUAUUUUUAAAAUUUAUUUUUGAUAAUAAAUUUCAUCCUUAAUGCAAUUCUACCUAAUUAGUUUUGUCUGAUUUACUUUUAAAUUCCAACAAGAACAUCUAAUUACCUACUUCAAGUGAAAAGUGCGUUGAGUGAAUUUCAACAUAAAUAAGGAUGGUUUGAAUAAUUUUUAAAAAUUCAUAAGCUAAUUACAUAAUUAGCCGAAACCUAAAAGACUAAAAGAGUGGUUACCCAAAAAAGCUAAUUAUCUAUUGCACUAAACUAAAAGCUCUUAGCACUUUCCAAUCGUCAACGUUCUCCGAAUUUGCCAGUCCACGAUUUAUGCAUUCUCAUUAAUUUCAAUCUUUGCUAAUGAACGUGAGAAACCAACUUGGUUCAUUUUAGUAUUCCAUUAUUUUAAUUAAAUUUGAUUAAAAAGAGAUGAUGGUGACAAGUACCAAGAAAGAUUUGCAUGAUAAUGAAGAUUUGGUGAUUGAAAUUCUUUGUAAAAUCUCUUUGGCGAUUCAAGUUUGUUUGUAAAUCUUAGUAUUGUUUAAUAUACAGGAAAUCUAAGUUUCAUUACAAAGCACCUAAAAAAGGUCAAAACCCGCUAAUUUGUCAUUUAGAUAGUUGAGAAUGGAGAUUCAUAUGAUUAUCCUAGAAAUUUUUUUUUUUUUUUUUAUGUUUCCUGAAGAUACAUUAAUAGAUUUAUCACUGCAAUAUCUUGAUGAGCAUCUCUCCAGACUUGUUACUGGAGUCCAUCUUCUGUAUUAGUAUAUUUGGAGCUUAGUGUUGCGGACUGCCUAAAUUUUCAGCCCAAGUGCCCAAGAAUUCGGGAUAAGAGCCCAAACAUAUGCCAAGAGUGCUAGUUUGGCCCGAUUGUAGAAUUUUCCAGCAAACUCUAGCACAUCUCAAGCUUGUACGUAUUUAAAAUUCUCUACACUUUUCUAACACUUGUAAAUAUCUAGAUAUUUUAACAAGUUGGUAAAAUUCUCUAGAACUCUAGAGCUUGGCAAGCCUCCCUAUAAAUAGGGCAUGAUAUUUGGCAUUUAAGCAUCAAGCUAAGAGCAAGCAACUCAAGCACUCUUCUAAACUCUCUUGUAAACACUUUGCGAGUAAUACAAUUUUAUGCUUUCGGCUCAAUUGCUCUCUUCUUUCUAGCUUUUUUGAAAACCUCCAAGUUUAGCUAGUCGAGAAGCUCAAAUGCUUAUUUAACAACUUUCGACAAGAGUUGUCUAAGUGUUGCACGGGUUCAUUGUGCAAAACACUUAUCCGUGACGUUAAGAUCACUUAACGGAAUCUCACAACUAUAGAUUACUGAAUUCUCCCAUGUUAUAGAGCUACAUGUCCACUGAAAAUGAACAUGUACUGCACUUAUUUUAGAUUUGAUUGAAUCCCAAACGUAAUGACCAAAAGUUGAUUUCGAUUAACUCAUUUCGCUAUAAAAGCACAAAUGAUAUGGACUUGCAUUUGCAUGAAUUCUCGCUUUGUACAAUAUAUAAAACCUAAGUACUAACUCUUGGAGGGAAUUAACAUGCUUCGAAUAAAAUCAUUUUGAUAUCUUUUUUAAUUUACUGUGCAAAAGCUUGGAUGGACUUUGUUACUGUUUAUCGAAUUUGAGUGAUAAUAGUAACUACGUACCUAAUGAUUAUUUCAUUUAACAUGGCAAUGAGUUGUUCCAAGAGAUUUAAUGCCCAUUCAGUAUUGCUGGAUCACCUUUUGUGAUGAUCAAUAUCCCUUUUUACUACUUUAAAAGCCAUCAAUGAUCAAGAUGUUGAAAUAUGGGAGGAAAGAGAGGAUUUGGAACAAACUAUUAUCCAUUAAUCUCAACGGAAACAUGAUAUUAUAUGAACCACACUUGGACUUAGAAAGAAUGAUUUUUUUUUUUUUUUUUUGUUGGUAAAAUCAGGCUCUCCAAGUGAACAACUGCUGUUGUAUUAUCCUGAUAAGUGGUACCUAAGAAUUGAGAGAUCUUGGACUAAUAAGUGUUUUUCUUUUUCGAUUUAUAAAUUUAAAGAGAGUCUAAUUUUUGUCAAGGGAGAAGAUCCAUGUGUUAAGAAUUAAGUGUUGAUUCAUCAUUGCUGAGCUGUCAUAGUAUCGUUGCUGAAUAACCAUGUUGGAAGGUCGUUAUGCAUACUAUUGAGAGUUGUUAGUUUCCUUCCAAAAGUUUGUUAUGUAUAGUUGGAUGUGAGCACACGAGUUUGUUGCUUUCAGAAGAUUCUACACUCAACUAUAUAAACAAUAUUGUAAUCUCAAAUUACAAUAUGUAGAAUGAAUAUUUUUUUAUUUCUAAUUUCUCUCAAUUAAUAAAUUUUCUCUUUAUUUUCUAUGUAAACAAACAGAAUUCUCAAAAAAUAUUUCACUUUAACUUGGUAUCGGAGCUCAAUCUAAUGGCCUUAACAAGUUCCAAUCAACAACCUAAUGGCACUACCAUAACCUCUUUCACCUUUACAAAUCCAAUCAAGCUUGAUUGCAAGAGCUACACAACUUGGAAACAACAAGUACUCUCUUCAAUUCGUGGUAAUGGUCUCGAAGGCUACAUCAAUGGAUCAAGGCUCUGACCUGGUCAAUUUCUUCCAUCAGGAUAUGGAUAUGAAGGUUCUUAUUCAAAUAUUGAAGGUCAAGAAAUCCAGAAUAUACAGCAUGGAAAUGUCAAGAUCAACUCUUACUUAGCUGGAUCAUGUCAUCUAUGAGUGUUGAUAUCCUCAAUGUUGUGGUCAUUUCUAAGAUUUCCUUUAAGUUGUGGAAAAUCUUGAAAAACAAUUUGGAUCUAAAUCCAUAGCCAAAAAAAGUUCAUUUAAAAAUGCUUCUAAGCAAUCUGCAAAAAAGAUCCUUAACAAUGUCAGAAUAUUUCACAAAGCUUAAAACAAUUACUGAUGGCCCAGCCUGCCUUGUGAGUGAUUAGGAUCUGAUUACUCAUCUCAUUUUUUAUUUAGAUCGGUCAUGUUAUCUUGUGGUUGUUUACAUUGAGGCAAACAUGUUAACUAUGGAUCUUAGUGAAGCAUAUACUAUGCUUCUCACACAUGAGGUUAGACUUGACAAUAGUAAGCUUCAUGACAACAAAGAAAUUAAGAAUAACUAUGCAGCCAAUAUAGCUCAAGUUGGAAAUUUUUCAAAGAAAGGUAAUAAUAAUGCUCAAAAUAACUGGAACAAGGCUGAGGGAAAUAAUUGGAACACUAAUUCUGGUGGAAGAGGUGGCUUUGAUGGUAAUGGAAGAGGAGGUUACCAGGGACCAAAUCGAGGAAAAUGAAAUUAGAAUAAUAACUUCAGAGGAUUUGCUGGUGGAUUUAACAAUGGAUUUCCUGGUGACUUCAAUAACAACUAUGGCAGAGGUGGAUUUAACUCAAGAGGUUCUGAAAAGGUUUUGUUUAAGGAGGUGUUGCUUGUCAAAUUUGCUUAAGGUUUAACCACACAGCAGCUGAGUGUAGAGACAUGUUCAACAAGAAUUUUGUCCCAAAUUUUCCUGCUCCAAGUCAUUUUUUCAAUCAAAAUCAAGGAUCAAGGGUAGCUUUUAUGACUACAUCUGAAUGAGUUACUAAUCAAGGAUGGUAUCUAAAUAGUGGAACAACUCACCACUUAACUAAUACAGUUCAGAAUUUGAAUGAUGGUAAGAUCUUUUUUAGCUCAAAUUUACUAAUUAUUGGUAAUGGUCAAGGUCUUCAAAUUACUCACAUAGGUUAUACAUGUCUCUAUACUUUUUUUUGGUACUUGUUUACAUCUGCAUAAUGUCCUGUAAACCUCCAAAAUUACCAAGAACCUCAUUAAUGUUUUCCAAACUUCUCAUGAUAAUGAUAUUACCAUUGAAUUUUUCUCUGAUGUUUAUUUCCUAAAAGACAAUGUGAAUGACACUCUGUUGGCUCAGGGGAUUGCUAAAGAUGGUCUGUACAAGCUACUGUCAUAAGAGAAACUUAUCUCUUCUUCUUCUAUGCAAGUGUUUUAACCUAGUUCUAUAAUGUCAAUUUUCUCUUUCAAUGAUGAUGUCACUUCUGUUCAAGCCUUUAAUAGUGACUUAUAUUUCUGUUUAGAGUCCAAAUCUCCCAUAAGUUUUCACACUUAGGUUAUGUGUUAGCAAAUAUAUUGCAUAAUAGGCUUGGUCAUCCAAGCAAACAUGUUAUAUAAACUAUUUUAAAGAAUAAUUAUUUGCUGUUUGCUCAUGUUGAUAAAUCAAUCCUUUAGUUUUGUGAUGUUUGUCAGCUUGAAAAAUUACAUCAAUUACAUUUUUUAGUUACUAAAAUCAAAACAAAAUGUCUUUUAGAAUUGAUUCACACAGACUUACAUGGACUAGCCAUGUUCUGUCCAUGGAUGGUUAUAGAUAUUAUAUCUCUUUUGUUGAUGAUUUCACUAGGUAUUGUUGGAUUUUUCCUUUAGUUUUUAAGUCUGAUGCUCUUACUACAUUCAAACACUUUAAAUGCUUGAUUGGAAAACAAUUCAAUCUUUCUAUUAAAGCUUUACAAUUUGAUAUGAGAGGUGAAUUUAAAAUUUUUGCAGUCUUUUCUUCAACCAAAAGACAUCUAAGCUAGAUUUAGUUGUCCUCACACACAUUACCAAAAUGGUGUUGUUGAGAAAAAGUAUAGACACAUAGUUGAAACUAGUUUAACCCUUCUUACCCAAGCUAAAAUGCAUGUUUCUUUCUGAUGGGAGGCUUUUCAAACAACCUCUUAUCUCAUUAAUAAAAUGCCAACCUCUAUUCUCAAUAAUUUAUCUCCUUAUCGAAAACUUCAUUACCAAUCACCAAAUUAUCAGCUUCUUAGAGUGUUUGACUGUGCUUGUUACCAUUUUCUUAGACUUUACAAUCAAUACAAGCUUGAUUUUUACUCCAAAAAAUGUUUGUUCUUAUGUUACAGCCCUCUUUAUAGGGGCUAUAAAUGUCUAGUCAAAUCUGGCAAAGUUUAUAUUUGCAGCUCAUAUCAUUUUUAAUGAGUUUGAUUUUCCAUAUUUUGAAUUAUUUUCAUCCUCAUCAUCUUCUUCUGAGUCCUUCCUAAUUUACUCUCCAUUAAUUUUCAUUUUCAAUGAUAGUGGCUUCAAUCAUUCGUCAAUUAUACCUCAUACCUCAGUAGUGUUACCAUCAUCCUUCUUUCCACCUUUACCUCAACAAGUUCUAUAUUUUCCUUCUUAAACCUCUAAUUCCUCAUCCCUUCAUUAUGUAUCCAAUUCACCUGUAUCACAACCACCCUCUCAACUAGUAAUCCCAACUUAUCUAAUAAUUACUUGAGCCAAAUCUAGCAUUUUCAAGCCAAAAACCUAUUUUACAACUACACAGACCUUGAGCCAGUGAGUGUUAAAAUUGCUUUAGCUGACAAGAAGUGGCAUAUGGCUAUGCAAGAUAAGUAUAAUGCUUUGUAGAGAAAUGGUACUUGGACAUUGGUUUCAGUUGAGAUAGCCAACAAACUUGUUGGAAAUAAGUGGAUUUUUCGAGUUAAAUACAACCCAGAUGAUGGCAUUUCAAAGUAUAAAGCUCGACUAGUUGUAAAAGGGCUUCAUCAAACUUUUGGAGUAGAUUUCUUUGAGACAUUCAGUCCUGUUGUAAAACCUUGCAUUGUUCCAGUUGUUCUCAACUUAGCAGUCAUGAAUUAUUGGUCUAUAGCAAUUAGAUGUCGACAAUGCUUUUCUCAAUGGCUUACAUAUUGAAUAUGUGCUCAUGCUUCAGCUAGAAGGCUUUAUUAAUCCUCAAUUUCCCAAUUAUAUCUGCAAGUUGAAUAAAGCCUUAUGACCUUAAACAAGCCCCUAGGGCUUGGUAUGACAUAUUAAAAGGAUCUCUAAUUUAGUAAGGAUUCAGGUCUUCCAAGUCAGAUACUUCAUUAUUUUUCAAGCAUAUUAGAUGUGAUAUUUUAAUCAUUCUUGUCUAUGUGGAUGAUAUUCUAAUAACAGGUUCAAGCAAUGCUCAAAUAACAUGGGUUAUUAAUUAGGUUAGAUAAGAAUUUGCUCUCAAAGACUUGGGGAAUUUCAAUUAUUUUCUUGGAUUGGAAGUGACUCCAUCUAUUGAUGGCUUACAUAUAUCUCAAACUAAGUUUGUUGGUGAUAUCUUAAGGAAAGCUCACAUACUUGACAGUAAAUGUUGUAACACACCUAUAUGUGUUGCUGAUAAAUUGCAAAAAAAUAAAGGUUGUUUGUUUAAAAAUCAUUCAUUGUACAAAAGCAUUGAUGAUUCUCUACAAUAUUUAACACUGAUCAGUCCAGAUAUUGCAUUUACAGUCAAUAAGUUAAGCCAAUUUUUGGCUGCUCCAACUACUUUAUACUGGCAGGCCUAUAAAAGAGUGUUGAGAUAUAUGCGAAGUAUAGCACAUUUUGGACUUCAGUUCUUCAACUCAGGUUCUCUAACCUUGACAGCCUAUUUUGAUGCAGAUUGGGGGUCUGAUCUAAAUGGCAGAAGAUCUAUUGGAGGAUAUUGUGUUUAUCUUGGAACUAAUCUUAUGUCAUGAUCAUCUAAGAAACAAAAUAUUGUCUCUAGAUCAACUGUUGAAUCCGAAUAUAGAGCUUUAACAUUAGCCACAUCUAAAAUUUUAUGGAUCAAUUAUCUAUUGAAGGAACUCAAAGUAUCACCCAACAAGCCUCAUGUUCUUCAUUGUGAUAAUAAAAGUGCAGAAGCUUUAGAAAACAAUCCUAAAUAUCAUUCUAGAACUAAACAUAUAGAAUUGGAUCUUUAUUUUGUUAGGGAACACGUUGCCAAUAAGGAAUUGGUCAUUGAACAUGUAUCCAGAUCUGAUCAAUUAGCUGAUGUGCUUACAAAGCCUCUUAGUUUUGAUCAUUUUGCUUAUAUGAGAACUAAGCUCAAUGUCUGUUCAAGACCUUGAGCUUACAAGGGUAUGUUAAGAAUUAAGUGCCGAUUCAUCAGAGCUGAGCUGUCAUUAUAUCAUUGCUAAAUAUCCAUGCACAUUGGAAGGUCAUUAUGCAUAUUGUUAAGAGCUAUAGUUUCCCUCUAAAAGUUUGUUAUGUAUAAGUGGAUCUGAGCACAUGAGUUUGUUGCUUUCAGAAGAUUCUACACACAACCAUAUGAACAACAUUAUAAUCUCAAAUUACAUUAUGUAGAAUGAAUAUUUUUUGGUUUCUAAUUUCUCUCAAUCAAUAAAUUUUCACUUUGUUUUCUAUGUAAACAAACAGAAUUAUCAGAACAUAAUCAAAUAGACAGAUGAGGAUUUUGACCUGAUAUGAGAAAAGUUAUAUCCGCUCUCCAGUGAUUAUAGGGGUGCUUUGCUCUUCAUGAUGUCAAGAUUUCAAAGAAAUGAAUCAAAUAAUAACCUAUUUGGCAUCGUUAAUCCUUGACUUGUAUCAAAUUUUUGUGAAUUUCAAUUUAUCAAUAGUUGUUUUGAAAGUUGAUCGAACACAUCCGUUGUUUAAAUUUGUAUUGACGAACGUGAAGGCGAUAGCUGCGCUUAAUUAACACUAUUUCUUUGCCUUUCUUUUUAAUGUUACCCAUUGUGCAGCUGAAAACUCUUUUCAAGUCGGUUUGCCAAAUGGAAUAAGCUACCCGAAAGCCGAAUACAAGAAGGCAAUAAAAGUUUAUAAUAUUAACCCGAACUAAUGUGACGAUUUUUUGUAGAAGUCGCAUCAAGUCAAACAUACUUUAACAUAUAUUAAUAACAUAUUAACUUGAUGUCACAGAUUCAGGGUUCCUUACAUUGCUAAAUUAAAAAUGGUUAUAAGGAUCUUUUAGAAGUAGUAAUUACAUGCGUGGAUGCCCAAACGAAGUAAGAAAUUUCAAUCCAUGGCAGCAAUACAAAAUUGAUGGGAAGAGAUGAAAAUGUGAACCAUCAACUUAUUCGACCCAAUUAAGGGACUGUCUCCUCUGAUGAAGUAAAAAAUAAUCCGAUUUUGGUGCCAUUAAGAAUAUUGUAUAACUAGUUUUAGGAGUGGCAAUUUGGGUUAGGAUUCGUUUACUCGAUUUGAUUCGAUGCAAAUUAAAUGAGUUUGGAUUUGAAAAAAUUGUUUCGUUUAAUAAAUAGGUGAAUUCGAUUCAAUUAAUUAAUUAAAUGGAUCUAAUCUGGGUUUUAGAACAUUGAUUCAUUUAUUCGUUAAGGAUUCGUUUAGUAAAUGAGUUAUAAACGAAUCGAAUAUAAUCCAUUCGUUUAAAUUCAUUUAAUUAAAUUAUUUAUUUAUACUUAGUAUGAAAAAACCUUAAAGUGAAGGCUAAUAUAAUAAUUAUAAAUGAUAAUAAGUUUGUAUUUUGUAGGAUCUUAAAUUUAUGCUCUUUUUAUAUUUUAUUUUGUUUAAUUUUUGUUUAUUAAUUAUAUUUUUGUAAAUAAAUUCAUAUUCAAUUUAUUCCUUAUCGGAUAAACAAAUUGUAAAGGAAUCCAGAUUCGAUUUGAUUCGUUUAUUAAUUCUACUAAAUGAAUUAAACGAAUCGAAUCGAAUCGAAUAUUUGUUUAAUAAAUGACACUACAACAAAUAUGACUUUUGGUAGCAUUUGAUAGUAGCACUUUUUUCAUAAUGUUACGAAAUGUCAAUCUAUUGUAGCAUUUUUAGAAGAAAGUUACAAUAAGUUGUUCAAAUUGUAACAUUUAAUUUUUUGUAACAUUUUAUCUUUAAUUAGUAGCAUAUUUCAAAAUGCUAUGUAUGCUUAUAAAUAAUAUAGCACUUUAAAAAUGCUACCAAAUGUUGUUAUUUAUAGUAGCACUUAAAUAUAGCUACAAAAUGAGGAGAAAUAAAAAUGAAACACUACGUACCGCCAAAAUGAAAAAAUAAGCGGCAACCAAAUAUUUUGAUCUUCAAAAUAUGCAACAUUGGGAGGGAAAGAAAACAAAGCCCCUUCUUUAUUUCCUUGUCUCCUUACUGAAAUUUUUAGGCAUAAGCAUUCAGAUCUUUAUUUGAAGAACACACAUUGAAAAAUCAUAGCUUAAUAUUCAUCUAGAAUCUCAAUUCUUAAUUCCUUUCUCUUCAAAGUCUCUAUCUUUUUCAUUUCAUUGGCUUAUCUUAUUUUAUGGUUUUUUGAGAGGUUUCAGAUUAUGGAGUUGAAUAACCAUGGAUUCAUAUUUACGUUAAUCACCAUCAAAGGUGUGGGCUCCUUUUUCCAACCAUUAUGAGAUUCUCUAUCACUUUUUUUUUUUCCCUCCAAAAUGUAACUCUUCCAUGUCUCUUGUUCUUGGUUUAUGAUGCAUUUGGAGAUUACCUCAUUACAACCAAAUGAAAACGGCUUGGAGAAGUACUGGAUGAACUACGCCAUCAUCGUCGUCCUCCAUUGUGAUGAUAAGGAGCAUUUGGAGAAGUACUGGAUGCAAAAUGAAGAUAAAAAAAAUAUUUUUUAUUUUUGUUUGGUGUGUAAUCUUUUUGAAAAAUUAUGAAUUACAUGUAUAUGCUUUAGCAUCUUUUUUUUUUUAAAUUUGUAAUCUGAUUAUGAAGUUUAUUUUUUGUUAUUUUGUAUUUAUUUUUUUGUUUAUCAAUGGAAUUGGUUAAAUGUUUUAGUAAUUCAAUUAUAUUAAUUUAUUUGGGUAUUCUUACUAAUAAAAUUAAAAAUUUAUCAAUUCCAAAUAUUGUAGAUUUUAUUUAAUGUUAACAACAUUUGUUACAAAUACUAAAAUAUUACAUAUUCUCAAUGCAGUAGAAGUAGCAUUUCCAAGUGCUGCAAAAGAUUAUAACAGUAACACUUUCGUCAUGAUUUAAAUGUCAUUAAGUAGCAAUUUUUAAAUGUUAUUGAUGUUAAAAUGGUAGCAUUUAUCUAAAGCAAUCACAUAUGAUUGUGUAGCUUUGUUUCAGUGCUAUGUUUUCAAAUUUGUAGCAUCCGAUAAAUGCUACUAACUUGUAAGAUUUUUAGUAACAUGGGCUAACAUAGCAUUGCUUAAAAUGCUACCAUUCGCUUUUUGUAGCAUUUUUUGAGUGCUACCAUAUCUCAAUUUUGUUGUAGUGUGAAUUGAAUCCGAAUCCUAAGAUUUCUAUUUCUUUAAUGAACGAAUCAAAUUCGAAUAAACAAAAUUUUGACCCAAUUCGUUUACAAUUCGAUUUGAAUAUGACUCGUUUAUUCGUUUUGCCAACUCUAACUAGUUUAUUGUGUUUUUGAUUAAAUAUUACAUAAACUACACACUAUCAACGUUAUAUUGUACUUAUAGUUUUUUUAUUAUUUUACUUUAAGUGUACAACGUGUAAGUAAGCUAAUUUUCCCAGAUCUCUAUAUUGGGUUUUGAGUGUAAAAUGAUAAAAUGAUUUGACAUACAAAUACGGUUGGAAAAGUAUCAUAAUAAAUUACUAUUUUAAAGCAUAAUUUUGAGUGGACCUACUUUGUAUAAGUGAGAGGUAAUAAUAUGUUCUUUUAUACUUAAAAUGAUGCUUGGGUGAAUAACAAUGCACAAAUUACACCAUUAAUUGCAUUGAGUAAGAGUUGGAGUUACAAAAAAUUGUAGUAGCUAGUUAAAUUUAAAAUUAAUUACGAAAUUAAUUCCAGAAUAUAUCACUUGUAAUUGCCAAGUAAUUCAGAAUUUAUAAUAGGCAAUUAAAUUUAUAUUUUAAUAUGAGAUUAAAUCUCGAAUUUAAUAUGUGGUUAAUGAAGCCGCAUUUACAUUUUGAAUUUAAUUUAAGAAUAAAAUAAAAGGUUUAACGACAACAAUUAUACUUUUAAUUAGCUACUGUACCUAAUAAGAAAUUAAAUACAUCAGUUACAAAAUUUUAGCAGUCAAAUUUGUGGAUAAAAAUGCCUCUCAUACAAUUAUAUGAAUUGACAUUCUUCUUCACUUCAAGAAAAUGGCUAGGAAUAAUAUAAGAGAAAUAAGGAUAGAAGAAUAAGAAGACAAACUUCAAUACCUCCUUUGUCAAUGUCAUUAUCAUCAAUGUCAUUUAUCCAAUUUCCAUAAAGUUUAGAGACAAUGGAACUUUUUUGUACAAUAACCUCUUCGUGCGCUAGAAUUAUUCAUUACCAUUGUGUCUUGGAAAAUAGGCACUGUUCAAAACCUCAAGCACUUAAUAGCAGGAGGCGAAUUUAUUUUAAUGAAGCUAUAAUAUUAUGCAGGUAGGGAUGACAAAUUACGAGCUUGGGCUAGAUUUUUUUAAGCUCAUGCCUAAGUUCAUGUUAUUAGUAAUAGGUCCACAUUCUCUAAAAGUCCAUCCAACUUGGACAGUCUGAGGCUGGGCCGGACUUGAGCUUCCGUUAAAUUUUUAAAUAAAUUUUUAAUAAAGUCAAAAGUUAAAAACAAAAUAUUUAAAAUAAUAAUUAUCUAAUAUAUAAUAGAUAAAUAGUCAAAUACAUAAAAUAACACAAUAUAAUAAACCACAAAUAAUAUUUAUAAAUUAUAAAUUAUAUUUUUUUAAUUUAUAAAUUAUAAAACUCGAGCAUUUUCCAUAAACCAUUAAUUAAGUUCAUUCACAUCUGACUUUAAAUUUUUUUACCCAUGUCUAUGGUAUCACAAAGCAAGCAGGGCCUAAAGCCCAUGACCUUAAGCUGGGCCGACCCUAACUUUUUUACCCCACCCUACAUCGAGGUCUUGAUUUGCAUUCUAUUUUUAUAUCAUAUUUUAUUUGUUAUCUUAUUAUUGUAAUCACUAUUUUAAUUGCUAUAUCAUUGUUGUAACUGUAAUCAUUGUUAUUUGUAAAGUCUCAAUUUAUGAUUUGUAAUUUCAGAAUGCAUUCCUCCUAUUCCAUUGUAUUUCCCUUAUGAAUACUUGGACAAAGAUAGAAGCUAUUGGACCAAAAAAUUAACACCAAAUCCGAAUUUUGUUACUAAGAUAUAAAAAUUCUCAGUUUCCUAUAGUUACAAAACCACCAUAUAUAAGUAAGAAUUUCAAGUCCCUAAAUGUCAAAAUUUGGUAAAAAUGCGAGGAUCAUCAUUACCAAGUACGCUGUGAUUUUAUUUUCAUUAGUUUGCCGAAAGCUUUGAAACAAUUUUUCUUUUUGCCAAAAUAUGAAUCCGACGGCAUGAAACAAAGCACCCUUAUCAUAUUUUCUCAGAAGAGAAUCUUGGCUUGUUUGUUCGAUACAUCAUCUUCUUCCUUAAUUGAUAUUAGACUGAAUAGACUCUCUUCAAAUUUAUGAACUGACAAGUGAAAACUUCUUAGUCCAAUUCUCCAAGAUCUCUCAUUUUUCCCGGGGAUUAGGAUUGUAUAAGAGCAGUCGUGGAAUUGAAGAGUCGGGUUCUGAAAAAAUCCAAUUGGCAAAUAUUUGAUAUUAACGAAUAAAAGUUCGCCCCAAAUCCUCUCUUUCAUCACCUAUAUUUCAACAUUAUCAUUAAUGGUAUUAAAAAAUAAUAAAGAUAGAUUGUCAUCGUAUAUGUCAAGUGACACAGAAAGUAAAAAUAGGAGGAUAUUGAUAAAACAACAAUAUAAAAUAAACAAUGUUGAAUAAUUUAAAUGACAUUUGGAACAAAAAUCAUAAAUUUUUUUUUCAAGCUUCGGGCUUUGCGGUUUUGACUUGGUAUGGGCUUAAGUUCACCCAAAUUGCUAAUCUAAGGAUGCAAUUCCUUAUGAGCUGAUCAUUUACAUCCUUCCGAGAACUGUGAGAUAUUACAUAUCCUAAUUUCGUACAAAAAACAUUGGAUUAUGUGUUUCUAUUUAUAAGUGUGCAGGUUUUGUGUUUUCUGUGAUUUCUUGAAUUAAGACUGCAAUAAAAGAUUUUCCCAAUUUUACUUCUCAAUAUGUUCAUUAAUUGGAUCAAAUGAAAUCAUGCAUGAACUCUUAUGAUAACAUUUUUUGACCUACAUUUCUCAUUAUUGGUUUUGGCAGUCUCUUCUUUUAGCGAACACUGGCAACACAAAAAGAAAAUUAAAAAAGGGGGAAACUGUUAAAUUUGUAAUGGCCUAUUUGGUUAAUUUUAUGUAUUUACGUAACUUAUAUUAUAGUAGUUUCUAAAUUAACAAGCCUGUCUGGUUAUAUUCAAGAAAAUUGAUGUACUUAGAUAAUUAAUACUAUAUGUAAAGUUACUAAUAUAACCUUUUCCUGUGCGGCUCUGGUACGCGUUUCCUUUUCUUACUACAGUUUUAAUUUCAUUUAGGAAACUAGUUUCCUAUUCAAUUAGGGUAACCGUUAUUACAUAAAAAUCUAAUGGGAAUAGGAAACUAUUUCCUAAUUCAGUACGGCAAGUUAUUGUCACAUUAUAAAUACCCGUGCAGAAAAAAAAUUUGGUUCCAUAUAUCGCACUGAAAAAAAAAUGGAGCAAUACGAAAAGAUCAGAAACUUAUGAUAUUUUUAAGGAAGAUGAAUAAUCAUCCCAACAUUGUCAAGUUGAGGAAUCUUGUCAAAGAACACGAAGACGUAUUCAUUGUGUUCGAGUACAUGGAAUCUGAUCUUCUAAAACUUAUGAAAGAAAGUGCGGGUCAAAAUUUCUCUGAAGAUGAAGUCAGAAACUUGUGUUUCCAAGUGUUUCAAGGUCUCCAUUACAUGCACCGACAGGGUUAUUUUCACCGUGACCUAAAGCCUUCCAACUUGCUUGUUUCGAAAGGUGUGAUCAAGAUAGGGGAUCUUGGAAUGGUGAAGGAAAUUGAUUCCAGUCUGCCGUGCACUGAUUAUGUUACAACUCGCUGGUAUCGAGCUCCUGAAGUGUUGCUUUUAUCCGAGAUAUGUGGACCUGAAGUUGAUAGGUGGGCGAUGGGUGCUAUUAUGUUCUCGAUGUUGAGUUUCAGGAGUCUUUUUCCGGGAAAAAAUUCAGCUGAUCAAAUUUACAAAAUCUGCGGCAGAUGGGUGGCGUGAAUCUACGUGAGUUGUUACCAUCAGCUAGUCGAGAAUCCAUCAGCUUGAUUUCAUGGCUUUGUUCCUGGAAUCCACGCAUGAGGCCUACGGCUGCGGAAGCUUUGGAACAUCCUUUCUUCCGGAGCUGCCAUUUUGUUCCUCGAUCGGUGCCUCUUCUUUGCAAUAAUUUUGAAGCUGUUGCGUUUCCUACUGCCACAGUCACAAUGCAAGGACGUUCUUUGACAUAUUCUCAGGUACCGAAUGAUGGGCAAUUAUGUUUGUGCGUCAAAUGUGAGAUGCAAAGGACUAACCAUGAUCACAUGAUCAUCAACUCUGCCAAACCGGCAACCUCCGUGAUUUGUAAAACUGGUUACGCGACUAGAACUGAGAUGUUGGCUUCUCGCAUGCAAUCGUUGCAGCAGCUGAUGAUGUCGAGGCCUCCCGGAUUUUGAAGAAAACGUUAAGGCUGGUUAUUGUAUUUGUACUUAGAAACCUAACUACGUACGUACUGAUUGUACUGUCGAAGAUUAUUCAAUGCAUUGAUAUUCAUCUCCUCAGCUUCCCUAGUGUCUUUUAUGUUGAAUUCAAUGAGUGUAAGUCCAUGACCAUUUUUUUUUUUUAAGUUAUGGUCAAAUGUGAGAUGCAAAGGACUAAUAAUGAUGAUCAUAUGAUCAUCAACUCUUCCAAUCCAGCAACCUCCAUGAUGCAUAAAACUGUUUAUACAGCUACAACUAAGAUGUUGGCUUCUCGGAUGCAGCCAUUGCAGCAGCUGAUGUCGAGGCCUCCUGGAUUUUGAAGAAAAUGUGAUGGCCGAUUACUGUAUUUGUUAUAAAAAAACCUAGCUACGUACGUAGUAUCUCUGUUGUGGAUAUUUUAAUAGCUUCAUUCAUUCAAGUAAGCAAAAAUUAUUCAAUACUGUCAUUUUUUCGAAUAAUUUGAUACCACUGACCCUAGAAAGGACAUUAACGGGUAUUCAAUGCACUGUCAUCUUCUCAAAUUAGCUAUUGUACCUAUACAUUGAUUUCACCGAGUGUAAGUCCAUUUUUUUUUUUAAAUUGAAAAAAUAUUAUUUAGAAGAUAAAAGAGUGCAUGAGAGUGAUAAAAGUUACGACAAAUGAAAAUUAGGAACACCAAAAUUCUAGAAGAAGAGGCUUCUGAAUUGAAUGGGGAGGUAGAUUCCAUAGUGGAAAAAUGAUAACUAAGACUAUCGUUAGUUAAAGUAUCCACCACUUUGUUACCUUCACGAUAAAUAUGUGAUAAAUUAUUAUAUUAAGCGAAGCAAGUAAAGGCAAUUAAACCAACUAGUGUGGAGUUUCCAUGGAAGAGAGUAGCCAAAAUUCUGAAGACAUUGAGUCAUAGACAUGGCGUCACAUUCAAUCCGAAGUUUAUGCCAACCCCUUAACCAUGCUUGUCCAAUAGCAAGAAUAACUACCAUAAAUUCAGCAUAAAAAGAGGAUUCAUGACCAAUGAACGUAAAACUGCCAAGGAAGGUUCCAUGAUGAUCUCUAGAAAUUCCCUCACAAGCAGAUAACCGGGGAAUAUUAUUCUUACUGUUGACCUUUAUCAAAGUUGGAGGGGACGCCAUAUCACUGUAGCUAUUUUCGAAGCUUUUCCAAAGCUUGGAUCAUUACCCAACCGGGCAAAAAUUGCCAAAUCAUGAAAGUGUGCAAGAGUACUCCCUAGGCAAGAUUGACAAAGAGUAAAUAUUAAAUUUUUACAGUAAGCUAUGGCAUUAUGAAAAGGGAGAGUUACAUCUUGAAAUCAAAUAUAUUCAUUUUUCGUUUUUAAAUUAUAGCUUAAUGGCAACCCAGAUAGCUCCACGUGAGUGGAUUCAAACCCCAAAUCUAUUAUUUCAAAUCAAAAGAUUAAAGUUCACCAAUUGAUCAACUAUAUAUCUGGCGUCUAACUAUGACCAACCUCAAUUAACGGACGUCCGUCAACUAGAUUAAUUCUCAAAAACCUGCUACUUUCUAGUCUGUGGAAGAAACAAAGUUCUCAAAGAAGAUAACUUCACAAUACAUACAACUCCUUGCUAACUCAAAUUUAAGCCAACGCCAUGUUUGAUGAAAAUUUAUGGUUGCGGGUUGUGAUUCCAUUUAUGCCAUAAGAAAAUCAAAAGGGUAUGUUUCGAAUUAUGAUUGCAAAAUUCCAAUCAAAAGGGAAAAGUUUUGGCAUGGACCAAAAGUUUUUUUCCAUUCAUUUCUUAUCACAUUUAUAUUUCAACUAACUAUAAUAAUAUAUAUACACUUAAUAAAUAAUAAAUAAAUAAAAUGUAAUAUUUAAAUAUAUUUUGGAUAGACCACUCGGUCUUUGGCCGAGUGAUGGAUUACUUACUCUCACAUUUGUAAACAUUUGUGAGAGCACCAGUUUGAGAUCUUAAGGGCUCUCCCUUAAUUAAGUAUGAUUGAUUGGAGUCAAUUGUAACUUUCUCCUUUGUAAAUUUUAAGUGAAGUGGACAACCCUCGAAUAAUUGUGAAGGUAGACAAUUUGGUGGAGCGGACAACCCUCAGAUAUAUGUGAAGAUAGACAAUCUGAACAAGUAUUUUAUAAAAUUUAAUGUACGUAAAGUUAUAGUUUCACUAUGUAAUUAUAAUAUCUGAUUGUAUUAUUAGUAUUUAAAAAAAAAAACUCUUCUGGAUAGAUAUUAAACCUUUCAAAACCUUUACGUACCAAAUAAAGAGUAAACUAAUUUGAGCUCUUGUCCGGUAGCUCCAAAUAUUUUUCAUGCUUGAAACAAUGUUGAGUUGGAAUAUGUUUUUGAUUACCGAAGCUUAAUCACUUUGAACAUUACAGCUGAAGAGCAUAGAGGAUUUGUCAUAAUUGAAUAAUUUUCCAGAGGUUGUAGUGUAGCAAUUAAAAAUUCUUUUCAAAUUUUGACAAUCUGUAGCUGAUGCCCUAGUGAAUACAAGACUGUCAUCCACAAAAAGAAGGUGGGAGAUUUUAAUGUCAUUGCCAAAUGACAGCCCAUGAAUGAGCUUCUAUUGUUCAGCCCACACCAGCAAAGAAGAAAAAGCCUCUGCACAUAUGAUAAAAAGGUAUGGAGAUAUCAUACAUAUUUUCCUUAGCCCACGCUGAGGUUUGAUUAGUCCGCUAAUCAUACCAUUUAUAAUUACAGAAAAGAAGCAGAGCUUAUACACCUCAUGACCAAUCGUACAUAAUUUUGAAAAAAGCCUAGCUCCAACAUGGUUUGCUCAAGAAAAUUCCAUUCUAAUCUAUCGUAGGCUUUACUAAUAUUGAGCUUCAUAGACACAAGGUCAUUUCUUUUCCCCUUACCAUGUCUUAUUUUAUAGGAGCAUUUGUGACCUACAGUGAUAUUGACAAUUAUCAGCCUAUUAUGAAAGCACUUUGCAUUAGGGAUAUGGCUUUGGACAGGGUUUGUUUAAGCCUAUUUGCUAUUGUCUUAGCAACAAUUUUAUAGAUAACGUUACAAAGACUAAUAGGCCUAAAAUCACUGACUUUUAUAGGUUUUCCAAUCUUAGGAAUUAGAGCAAUAUAUGCAUGAUUGAGAGGGCCUAUAGUACCUUGCUUGUUGAGGAUGUGGAGGCAAGUAGUGAUAACUCCGGAUUUAAUCGUUUGCCAAUGUUUUUGGUAAAAGACUGCUAGCAAUCCAUCAGGCCCUGGAGUCUUCGUUGGACACAUCUGUGAUAAGGCUUCAACAAUUUGCUCUGUUGAGAAAGGCUUGUCCAAUUGCUCGUUCAUGUCAUUUGAGAGCCUCAGUGUUAUCCCUGAAAGAGCUGUUGCUAUUUGGUUCUAGCUCGGUCUGGAUGUGGUGAAGAAAUUUGUGAAAUAAGUGCAAAACUCAUGCUCUACUUCUUCAACAUUCUCAAUCCAUCUUCCUGUUUCAUCUUCAAUUCUCCAUAUUUCCAGGUCCUCUUGCGUUUCCCUCUAUCUCAUGCUUCUUUUUGCCGCUUGUUUGCUGUGUCAUUGUUAUUUCCAACACGCCAUUCAUUAAACGCUUUUCACCUACUCGUUCCACCUCAUCACCUAUAGCUAAUUCAUUAGUUUGACCCAUCUCUUCCUGAUUUGGUUUUGUCAACUAGGUUACUUUGACUCUGUUGAGGUUGUUGCGAGCAGCCGUAGUGUUCUGAGUUUGCCGAAUUACUCACUAAUUUGCCACUAUCCCUAUUCUAUCUCUCCUUGAUAUGGUGCUUCUUUGAGCGUCCUCCCACUAUAACUGCCUUCAUCCACACCCCAUAUGGACGUUCCUCUUUUCGUUGACCCUAAUACUUAGCACACUCCUUGAACUAGUGGCUAAUAACUCCACAAAUGAAAUAAAAGUCAGGCAAUCGUUCAUAAUCUAUAGACAUUAGAAUAUCUGCAUCACCCUCUUGUAAGAUCUUUUCUAAUGGCUGAGUCAUUUUGAUCGAAAUUCUAACUCUUAUAAAUUCCCCAAUAUAUUUACCAUAUUCGUCUGUUUCAACCUCCUUUACUAUUCUAAUCUUCCCUCCCAAUUCUUGGAGAAAAUAUCUUUCCAAACAGGCAACUGGGACAUUUCGAAUCUGCACCCAGAAUGUUGUAUGAGUGAAAGACUGUUUUAUGAUCUCCCCAAUUCCUUUUGGUUAUGUAAGGACAAUUAAGGCCCUAUCAAAGUGCCAAGGGCCUCCUGUCAUCACCCUUCUUUUAUCAGCUUCAUCUGCAAACUUGAACAUAAAGAUAUGAACACCCAAGCUCUCUAUCUUAACUUCUUUAAUUGUCCUCCAAACUUGCUGUAAUGCCAUCUUCAACCCCUCCUUAUGAACUCCUCUUGUAAGAAGUAUCUUGCCCAUCAAAUAGCCAGCCAAAACCUUCUCUUUUUUUUUUCCUUUCAUUCUCACUUCCAAAGUUACUAUAUUUUUCUUCUUUCUCUUUGAUAGUUAUCGCUUUACAUUUACGAAUUAAUUCCUCUGUAUCCAUAGCAUUUAAGACCUUUCAGAAAUAAUUGUUGCAUUCACUGUUCUAAAAGUAACCUUGUGUUUAAAUCCCUUACCUGUAACACCCUAGGCAAAUCCCACAUCGGCAAAGCACAGGAUAGAUAUUGGGUUUAUAAAGGGUGAUCUACACCUUAAUUGGCAAGAUGCGUUUUGGGGUGUAUAGGCGCCGUAGAAACAAACUUGUGCAAAUCUUCUUAAGGCCCAACGCGAACAAUAUCUUGUCAGGUCUGGGUUGGGUCAUGACAUUAUGGUAUCAGAACGGCUCUGCGUAUCAUCUUGAGCGAUGUUGGGGCAAACCUCAGCGAGGACGCUGAGUCCCCAAGGGGUGUGUGUGUAACAUCCUAGGCAAAUCCCACAUCGGCAAAGCAUGGGAGAGAUGCUGGGAUUAUAAAGGGUGAUCUACACCUUAACUGGCAAGACGCAUUUUGGGGUGUAUGGGCGCCCCAGAAACAAAACCGUGCAAGCCUUAUUAAGACCCAAAGUGGAUAAUUUCUUGUAAGGUCUGGGCUGGGUCAUGACAUUAUGGUAUCCGAGUGGCUCUGCGUGUCCUCUUAAGCGAUAGUGGGGCAAAACUCAGCGAGGACGCUGAGUCCCCAAGGGGGUGUAUGUAACAUCCUAGGAAAAUCCUACAUCGGUAAAGUACAGGAGAGAUGCUGGGUUUAUAAAGGUUAUCCACACCUUAAUUGGUAAGACGCAUUUUAGGGUGUAUGAGCGCCCCUGAAACAAACUCGUGCGGGCCUUGUUAAGGUUCAAAACGGACAAUAUCUUGUUAGGUCUGGGUUGGGUCAUGACAUUAUGGUAUCAUAGCGGCUCCAUGUGUCCUCUUGAGCGAUGGUGGGGCAAACCUCAGUGAGGACGUUGAGUCCUCAAGAGGGGGUGUAUGUAACACCCUAGGUAAAUCCCACAUCGGCAAAGCACAUGAAAGAUGUUGGGUUUAUAAGGGGUGAUCUACACCUUAAUUGGCAAGACACGUUUUGGGCCUUGUAUAGGCGCCCCAGAAACAAACAAGCACAUCUAUUUUUUUCAAAAUUAAUAGUUGAGUCUUAAAUGUGAACUUAUUUGGUGGCUGCAAAUUAUGAACCCAUUUUUGAUUUCGGUGAAAACGAAAAUGUAAAAUGCAAAACAGAAAACGUAAAAUGAUAUGAUGCAAUAAUUACAUAAUUAAUGUUUUCCCUAAGAUAUAGUAAAAGCAUAUGUUUCACCAAAAAAAUUUGAAGCCUUACAGGUCCUCCCAGCCGUUUUAUUUAUUUAUUUAUUUUUAGUAUUUACAGAAAUGAAACUAAAACUCUCCUCACCCACAUGAGUGGUUGAAUCUAAGCCACUUAAAGUUAAUAAUUCAUGAAAUGGUGCCUUUGUUUUGUGGCGGUCGCGGGGCCUUUGCCUCUGAUUAAUAUUAUUCUUUUAGCGUGUGGAUUCCACAAAUCGAAACCCUUCGGAAUUUUAUUUAUUAUUUACUGAAAUAUCAUUUUCCCUAUGGCUUCUACAUAUUAUGCCUAUAGCUAGUGAUUGUUACGUAAUUCAUAUAAAAAAUCAAUUUUAGAAUUGUAACUAUUUUAAUUAACAGAUGCAAGGUAAAUUCCUUAACAGAAAAAUUCAUCUAUGUUCUCUUAGAUUAUAAAAGAUGAAAGUAGCGUAAUUAAGUUUAAGAGAAAACUGAUUUUAUUAAAUUUCAAGGACGAAACGAAAAAAACAAUAAGAGAGAUAAAAAGAAUUUCUAAGAGAACGAAAGUAUCAUUCGACAAGUAAAUUUAAAUUCAUAAUUUUUUCUGCCCGAUCUAAUGUUAAUUCUUAGCGGCAAGCCUACGGCACAAGCCACAUAUAUGGAAUUAUGCAUAAUUUUUAUUGGUUAAAACGUGACAUUGAUGAUGUUGAAAGAACAAAUAAUAAACAAUAAUACAAUAAAACCUCCAAAUAGAAAUACUUUAUAUAUGAAUAAUUUCUUUAUAGUAAUAAAAAUUUUGAUCCCAAGUUGGGACCAGUUAUAAUUAAAAAUAAAUUUCACAUUGUAAUAAGUUAUAUUUUUUAUAGGUCCCGACUUAAUAAACUUACUUUCACAUAGUAAUAAUAUAUCAAAAAUAUAUAUCAUGUUACAUUAAAUAAUUAUUAAUUUAUUAAUACAUGACAUAAUUUACCCCUAUAUCACUUGCAUUAGAGAUAAUUAAGUAAAGACAAUAAUUUUUAUACUAUACUUCUAUUGAGUUAUAACCUCUUUAUUAAAAUAAAUUUCUCCAGUCUCAACAAUAUGAUUAUACAGAUAAUUUACUGUAUCAGGCUUUUUGAUGCGUAUAGAAAGCAGGACGAGAACACAAAAACACAAGUUUAAUUAAUUUAUUUGAAAAUACAUAACAUGUUUCAGACAAGAAAAUUAGAUUAAACUCAAGUUUGAUAGUUAAUUUAUUUGAAAACACAUAACAUGUUUCAGGCAAAGCGAUAAGAUUAAAUUCGAGUUUGUUAAGCACAAAAACUCUCUCGCAUAUGCCGCAAGCUAGCUUAUUAGAAAGAGCUGACCAAAUCACCCUCCGAUGAUGAUGAUCUUGUUGCAAUAUUACUGUUUCCAUUGACCCUCCUGCAGUUCAAUCUAAUCUCCCCUUGAUUUCCUGUCAGUGGUUUCAAAUUGCCCAUUCUUAUCAUUGAGGUCACAAAGUUUUUAAAGAAAGCAGUCUGGUUCCUCCCAAAGUCCUCGACAAUGGCAGCGGUAUCGGCACCAGGAGUCGAAAACAACUCUUGAUCACUCUGCAGAAGGCCUUUGCGGAGUCUAAGAUUGGAGAAGUAUUUGUUGUCGAAAGCAUCAGGUGUUUUGACAUCAAAAUUAGCAAGAACGGCGCCGUUUCCACCUUGUGGGCAUAGUUCCCUCAGUUGCUUUAAGAGGGUUCUGUCCAGUGUUGGGUCUGGCUUGCCAGUUUUGUUGAAAUCGUAUAAUCUGUCCCUGAAAAAUUUGCACUGAGCCCUUCCAAACGUGUGAGCUCCUGAAAAACAUGCAUGACCAAACCUUUGUUAUUUUUGCUGAAUUCACAUACGAGGAACAAUAAUGAUAAUUUUAUUGUUAGGGAUAUUAUUUAAAUUUUGAGUUAAGUAAAUAUAAAUUUAAGGCACCAACACUCAUUUCUUAAAUUAAUUUUUGAGUAUGAGUUACUACUAGUAGCAGGCAGUUUUGACUCCUAAAAGUUUACUCUCGUAACUUUACUCAAGUAACUAAAAGGAUGUAGAAGCAAUUAAUAAUUACCGGAGAGUGCAACAAGAUCAAACUUGUCAUUGAGGCCAACAUUUCUAAAACUAGAUUUGAGCUCAUCAAGAGUAUUAGAUGGUCCUGGAAGAUUCUGAUUUGCAAGAGCUCUGUUUGCCGUUCUGCUGUCUCUUCUUCCCAAUGGAACUGCCCAUGACGGACCCCCUGACUGUAACCAAAAGCCAUUCACUCAAAAUCAGCAAUAAUCUUAAGAGAUGUGUGUUUGGGGCGGACUAUUUAAUUUGCUAACCGUUGAAUCAAACUUUGUCGUAUAACAAAAGAAGAAAACUUUUAAUUUUAAAACUAAGGCCUUGCUACGAUACACCAGCGCAGUAAAAAGUGUCUCACUGUCGGUAACAAUUUAUCCGUUGAUAAUCACUAUAUUGACAUACUUGCAGCAAUUUUGGUACCAUACAGUGUAGCUGAUGCACCAUAGUCAAUAAGUCACCCCUUUUAAAUAAUGGAGUCCACCACGUCGUCCGAAUCUAAAAAUGAUGGGUCCAACGAUGGAUCCCUUCACUUAAAUCAAUUUCCACAUGGUGAUGAUGGGGCAAUUUUGUCGUUGAAUAGCAGAUGCAAUAACUAGCAAAGGCUAAACAUGUGGACUCAGAUCUUGCACAUUGUUCUAUGUGAAUAAUUAUUUAAUUAAUAUAUUCUUCUAAGGAUAAAGUUGAACUUACGGGAUAUUUAAUUAACCGAAAAAAAUAAUAUAAAAACACGUUAAAUUUAUAUGGGUUAUUAUUAAUUAAAAAAAUAGUUAAAAACUACAUUAAUACUGCAAAGAUUUACCAUUAUUCUGUUCGCUUAUUCUGAUACCCAUAUUAAUUUACUUCUAAGCGUAAAAUAUUUACUGGGAAGAGGAGUUGGUAAUAGAAAUUCAUUACCAAAGCAACGGAUCGUUCAGCCGCAAUAGUAAGGAUAUCAGCGCAGGAAACAACCCUUCGACAUGCCUUUUCAACGGCAGCUUUCAUGUUAUCAAUAACUUCAAAACCCCUCGCCGAAUUAUUAUUUGGCGCAGCAAAUUUCUCGCUGUCUAUGGUGUUAGUGCUGUCCAGCAAAAUCGAUGCAUCACACCCCUGGAAAAAUAAUAUUAAUUAACAACUUGCUAUGUUAACAGUCCAUUGUAUUGUUACUUUUUCAAGUAGAUAGAUUCCUUCUUAUCUUAUGGACAGGAAUUCAAAAAAAUUAUAUAAAUAAUGCAAACUCUUCUUUAAAUUGUCUUAUUAUUACAUAUGUUUUUAAGACUAGGAUUUCCUGUUGAUUUAAAUUUCUCAGUUGGAAGAAUAUAAAACAAGUGUGAUUUUUUUUCAACCAUACACCAUUAAUAUUGGACCCAUGAUCAUUAAAAGCACUCAGCAGGGAUGAGGCCAUGAGGUGGAUUUUAUUUCCUGUUUUGUACCAAAUCUUUGCUAGAUUUAAAUUUCUAGUACAUGAAAACCCCAUAUUAAAAUUUAUUUAUAAACAUAGAAUUACAUGGUCCUCGGUACAUCGAAUUAGAGAGGAAAAAAUUUUUGUAAAGAGAAAAAAAAAAGAUAAAUAAAAAUGGUUUUGGAAGUUGUUGAAAUUAAAAUGAUAUAUUCAAACUCUCAAUGAAAACUCUAUAUUUUGUUUAAUGCCAUAAAAAUUAUAAAGAUACUGUUCAUUGAUAUACUUGAAACUAUGUUAUAUCAAUAAGUACAUAGACAGAGAGCUUGAUAAAGUAAAGAAGAUGAAAAAUGAGAGAGCAGAGAUUGCUUACAUCAACAAAACAGUCAUGGAAAUGAAGCCUGAUGAGGCUGGCACCGAUCCGGAUAUCGGACGAGAAAGCUUUCUUAAGCACAUCCUCGAUAAUGUUCAAUACAUUAGGGCAUGUGGAAGAAUAAAAAGAUGGAGAAAGUUGAGCUUGAGAUGGUGAUCCCUCAAGCACAAAAGCAACAACAAGAGCUGCUGCAAGAAGAUAACGAAGUGAAGCCAUUUUGGCUAAGAGUUACUACUUCUCUAUGAAGAGAAUGAUUAGUCUUAGGACUUGGAAAACAAAGAGAAAUGCCUCUUUAUUUAUAACCAAACAAACCAGAUUAGGAUUAGAACUUUGCAGCAACCUUGAAGUUCCUCGUUUCACUGUUUGAAUAGGUUAGUUACGUUAUUAAUUCGGUAAUUCCCUUAAUUAGGUUUAUGUGAUUUUUUUUUAAACUAAUGUGGCCCACGUGAGCAUCUAAGUAAACUAUAUGGAUACAGAUGUCUUUUUUUCUUUAUUAUUAAAAUAAAAUUACUAGUUAAUUUUCUUUUUUAAAUUUCAUUCAAUUUUUCUUUCGUGUUUAAAAGCUUAAGUCUUCAAUUAGAUUCUUCGAUUUUAAAUUUUUUUUUUCAAGUACAAUAUACUAAUUACGGUGCAUUUGAAAUUACAUGUCUUAUUUUCAUAAUGAUCUUGAAAUUUAGAAAUAACCUUCGUUUUUGUGGAGAGAACAUAAGAAAGAGGAAUAUUUGUUUGUAAAAUUUUAUUAAAAAAAAAAGUAUAAAUGAACGUAUUACAAAUGCAUGUAUAUCAAACUUAUUUGAGAAUAAAAGCUUAUUAAAAUGAAAUCCAAAAUUUUGAGUAAUUAUUCAUGAAAUGAGGGACUAAGUUGAUAAUUCUUGAAAUGGUGUUAGGUAGGGGCGGCGACGCCUCGAGCCGCCUUUGUUUAAUGCCAGCCUACCUGUUUCUUUUAUCGUAUGUGUGAAUGUGGAGCAGCGUGUGGAUUCCACAUAUUCGAAAUCCUUCAUUUCAACCUUUUGAAAUUCAUAUAAAAAACAAAACCUUUUGAAAUUUUUUAUUUGUCUACCGAAAGAUCAAAUAUCAUUUUGUCAGCUUAUACAUAGUUAGAUGCGAGAUUGAGCUACUCAAACUUUUUAAGUUAUAAUUAUUAUAGAAAAAAUAAAUUAUAAAAUAAAAAUUAAUAAUAAUUAUAUAUAUAUAAUAUUUAAUAAUAAUUUUGAUAAAUAAUAAAAAUAUUAUAAAUUUUUAUCAUAUAAGUGUGGGUUCAAUCAUCUUAAUUUUUAAACUCUAAUAAUAAAUGUUUGUUAAAUAUUUUAAUAUUUAUCCUAAAAGGUAUAAUUGUUUGCCUUCGACUUCAAAUGGGGUUAGAUUAAAACCCCAAGUGGGUGCUAAAUAAUUAAGUGGUGGCAGGAUUAUAUUUGAAAUGGGUAUAAGAGUAAUUUAGAUUUCUAAUUCAAGAAGGGACCGAGAGCAAAUGAAAAAGAUAGAACACGCUUAAGUUCUAGAAGGAAAAAUGAUUUUAUUAAUGAUCAUGAAAAAGAUAACCAUUGUUACUACUUUUAGUUUGGGAAAAAAAGAUCAAAAUAUUUGCCGUGGUUUAGUGAUUAGACACGAAGAUUCCAUUACUUUUAGAAACUAUAUAGGCUCUUUUUUGUGCACAGAGACCGCACAAAUUUUUUGAAAUUUGUCCAAAAACUAAGUUUUCUUAUCCUAAAAAGAGUUUGUGUAACCAUUUUUAAAAAUUACAAAAAAUUCUUCCCCACUAUUUUGUCAAACUACAAAUGUUAGACAAAAAGGAAAAAAGCAAUAUGUAAAAAGAAAGUGUUUUUCCGGUUAAUGUUUUAAAGCUAGAGGAUAAAAUGCAAAUGAAAAUACAUAUCGAUGACUUCGGGAGAAAAAAAAGAAAAGAAAAAAGAAACACAUACAAUAUGACAAGGAUUUCUGAUACAUAGAAAGCAGGGCGUGAAUACACAACCACAACUUUAGUUUAUUGAAAAUACAAAGCAUGUUUCAGGCAAAACAUAGGAGUAAAUUCAUGAGUUUGUUACCCACAAACUCUUUCUCUCGCGUUAGCUGCAAACUAGCUUAUUCAGAAAGAGCUGACCAAAUCACCCUCCGAUGAUGAUGAUCUUGUUGCGAUAUUGCUGUUUCCGUUGACCCUCCUGCAGUUCAAUCUAAUCUCCCCUUGAUUUCCUGUCAGUGGUUUCAAAUUGCCCAUUCUUAUCAUUGAAGUCACAAAGUUUUCAAAGAAAGCAGUCUGGUUCCUGCCAAAGUUAUUGACAAUGGCAGCGGUAUCGGCACCGGGAGUCGAAAACAACUCUUGAUCACUCUGCAGAAGGCCCUUGUGUAUUUGAAGAUUGAAGAAGUAUUUGUUGUCAAACAAAUCAGGUGUUGUGACAUCAAGAUUAGUUAGAACGCUGGCGUUUCCACCUUGUGGGCAUAGUUGCCUAAGUUGUUGUAAGAGGGUUGUGUUAAGUGUUGGGUCUGGAUUGCCAGUGCUGUUGAAAUUGAAUAACCUAUCGCUAAAAGCUCGGCACUGAGCCCUUCCAAAUGUGUGAGCUCCUGAAAAACAUGCAUAGCCAAUCUUUGUUAUUUUUACUCAAAUUCAUACAAAUUAAGGAUAAUAAUUGAGUUUCAUUAUGGUGGUUCUCACUUUCUUUUUGGGAAGCAAUUCAAAUUUCAUGAUGUAAUUAAGGGGAGUAAAUUUGUCAAACGUUUUAACAUAUUCCUAAUCACCAAUGUCAAACUUUAAAACACAGUUUCUUCGCAUCAUUAGGAUAUUCAGUCAAGCCUCCUAGGUGCUGUAGAGUAUGAAUGUGCUUUGUGUCGGUGGUCGUCUUAGUACGAGUAAUAAUGAGAAAAAAAUUGAUAUUUAGUGGAUGAGACAUCCUUAUCAAAAUUUAUUUUUUUCUUUUUAAAUAAGAUAUUCAACAUUUAAACUAUCUCUAAGAUUUCAAGACUCAGUAUUGGCAUUAAAAAAUUUUCCACCUCCAGAUUUCUAAUUCUGGCUCCAAUACUGCUUUAUCCCAAAAGACUCCAAGGUCUGUUUGUACUCAAGUCAAAGGGUGUAUAAGCAAAUAUUACCGGAGAGUGCAACAAGAUCAAAAUUAUCGUUGAGGCCAACAUUUCUGAAUCUAUCUUUGAGCCUCUCAAGACUAUUGUUCGGUCCUGGAAGAUUUUCAUUUGCAAGAGUCCUGUUUGCUGUUCUGCUGUCUCUCCUUCCCAAUAGAUUUGUCCAUGAAGGACCCCCUGACUGUUACCAAAACCACGAUCAUUAGUCAAAAGAAUCACUUGAGAGAUGCAUAAUAAGCAAAUUUACCUAAAAUCAGAAAUAGACAUGCAAUUACUCUUUCCCACUUUAUUUGGCUAAUAUUUAUAUGGGUCUUGUUGCACCCAAAAUUAGCAGUUUCCCGACGUUACAAUUUUGAGUGAACGGUUCAACCAGACUGUAUCAUUUAAAGAAGAUAAUUUCUUUUUUAUUUAUAUAUAUUUUUUUCAACAUAUAUACUGGAACCCAACACGUAAAACUGAUGUGUCCUAGAUGUCUCAUCACUUUUUUUUUUGGUUUUGGUGGGGGGGGAAGGAAAAGCCUUCCCUUUCCACACGGUAAAGUCAACAUGGUAAUUUCGGUAGACUGUUGCCGCCUAAAACUAAGCAUGUGGAUUCGUUUAGUUAAUGUACUCAGGGUCUGAAAAUUUCGACACGAAUGUACAGUCAAACUUACUCUCUGAUACCAUGGUAAUUUAAUUACUUUUAAGCUUAAAAUAUGUAUUAGGGCAAGAUGAGGAGUUGUUAAUAGAAAUUCAUAUAUACCAGAGCAACAGAUUGUUCAGCUGCAAUAGUAAGAAUAUCAGCGCAGGAAACAACGCCUGGACAGGCCCUUUCAACGGCAGCUUUCAUGUCAUCAACAACUUCAAAACCCCUCGCCGAAUUAUUAUUUGGCCCAGCAAAUUUCUCGCUUACUAUGGUAGUAGUAUUGUCCAGCAAAAUCGAUGCAUCACAGCCCUGAAAUAACAUCAAAAGCUUGUUAUGAUCAACUGCUCUUGUAUCGUUAAUUUAAUAAUUAGGUAGAUUCUUCUUAUCUUACGAUAUGUUAUAUCGAUAUAGUAAAUAGAGAAAAAAUCAAAGAGUAGAGAUUGAUUACAUUAACAAAACAGUCAUGGAAAUGAAGCCUGAUGAGGCUGGCACCGAUGCGAAUAUCGGACAAGAAAGCAUUCUGAAGCACCUCCCGAAUUAUGUUGGUUACAUUAGGGCAUGUGGAAGAAUAAAAAGAGGGAGAAAGUUGAGCUUGAGCUGGUGAUGAUCCCUCAAGCGCAAAUGCAACUACAAGAGCAGCUGCAAGGAGAAAACGAAGAGAAGCCAUUUUGCAAUGAUGAGAAUGAGAGUUAUUUCUAAGCCUUCUAUAUAUGCGCCUCUUUAUUUAUAGCCAACCAAGCUAAACAGGAGUAGACUUGGGAACGACUAAGAAGUUUCACAUUAUAUUGUAAAAGUCCACAGUUUGAAAACAAAAGCUUAUAUGAUGAGAUAAUUACAUUUUCGAUUUUCUCCCUAAAGUUUGGUGAAAGCAUAUUUUUCUCCACAUAGUUUUGAGGUGUUAACGAUAAUUUAUUAUUUGCUUUUUAGUAUUGUAGAAGUAUGUCAAGUGUAUCUCGGUUGUCCCCCCUUAAAUACUCCAACCACCCCAUGAAUUGGUUAUUAAAUUAAAUUUAAAUUAUUUUACUUCUUCUUUUUAUUUAACUUAAGAGUAAGAGAAGAAAAAAGAUUUCUUUGUUCAUUGGAUAACGAACUCUUUUUAAAAUCAUGGGAUUUCUUUUUGAUUUUUUUUAGUCAUGAAAACUAUCUACACAAAAACAUUAGAUAUAAUAGCUUCGGCCUUGUCCGCUGAUAGAGAGAGAACGAAAUCGGGAUAAAUACCAAUACCUAUUACGGGUAGAAGAAUCGAGAUCAAAACAAAUAACUCUCGUGGUCCAGAAUAAAAAAAAAAAAAAAGAGUUUGGGGCAUUAAAUAGCUUGUACUCAUAGAACAUUUGCCGUAACAUAGAUAAUGAAUAAAUAGGAGUUAAUAUCAUUCCAAUUGCCAUUACAAAAGUGAUUACUAUUUUUGGCAUUAAAAAAAUUUUUUGGCUGGUAAUUAUUCCAAAAAAUACUAUCAAUUCUGCAACAAAACCACUCAUGGGGCAAAGGUUCUUGUUUAGUGGAUGAGAUUUUUUGUCCCCGUUAGAACUGUUUUUACCUUUUUUCUUAUUAAACAAAGGAAAAGGUAAUAACAACGCCGAUAUUAAAAGGAUGAGCUAAUAUAAUUCAUCCUACUUCUAUCGCAAUUGGAUCUAACUUUUAAAGUCGGUAAAAUAUUUUUUAUCUUACAUGGAACUUAAAAUUCAAAUAAAUCUGCAUGUUAAGGUAAAAAAGGAGAAUAAUUAAGUAAAUAAUUUUGACUAAGACAUAUAUUUUUAAAAUAAUUUUUAAAAAAUACAAAGACUAGCUAGAUAUUUGACUCAAAUCUUAAGGAUCAAAAGAACAUUUAUCCCAAAAAGAAAAUUGUGAGGAUAUUUCCACUCCACUUUUUAUGUAACAACACCCUAUCUUUUUAUAUUUUAUAAUUAUGAUUUUAUAAAUAAAUUAUUCGAAACUCGUGCACUUAUCCUUAAAUCAUAUAUGUUUAACCAAAGAGAAUGAACAGGAUUUUUCUACGAAAAAAUUAGAUUUCUUAGUUUAAGAAUAUACAAUAUUUAUCUUCUUGCUUUCCUUAUAUCUUUCAAGGAAUAAUUCGCUGAAUUGUGAGUAUAUAGUUUUGUGGAUGGAAAAUUAGAAUGAAUAUUCAAUUUCAAUUUUUAAAUUUUGUUUAUAUACUGCUGAGCUGGUUUCAUAACUGAUGAAAAAUUUGUUUUAUUAGGCAAGAAAAGUUUAAGAUUUUACAGUUAAAAUUUAUUUAUUUAUUUAUUUGUUUGUUUGUUUAUUAUUACUAGUAUUUUCUGUUAUGUAUGUACAUGUUCUCCCCAGAAUGCAUUUUGAUUGAGAAACUACUGUCUGUGCAAUUAGAUGCUGCAAUGUAUGUCAUUUAUAUAUGGACAUGUCCCUCUUUUAAUUAAAAUGAUUCAUGGCAUGGCAAUAUUGGCAGAGUCGUUUAUGCAUGUCCAUUUUGAUGCCAUUGAAACUUUAUUGAGCUACAAAGCAAGUGUUUUUUGGCCAAACUUUGUGCAAAAAAAAAAACGGAAUUGGCCCCUAUUGUAAUUUUCUGGUGACUAAGGGUGAGAAAUUAAAGAAGAAUAGUUCCCCCUUUGUAAUAUCCAAAAUUUCAUUUGUUUGUAAAAAUAAUAAUAAUAAUAAUAAUAAAUAAAUGAGCUUAAAUUCUGAUCGACUUAAUUAGGGUUGAAGAAUUCAACUUUGAUAAAUGACAAUGUUGGAUUUAGUCCGUGCCAUGCGAAUGUGGAGUGUGGACUGUAUGAGGCGUGUGGAUUCCACAUACUCGAAAGUCGAAACCUUUCAUUUCAAGCUUGUAGACUUUUAUCCUUUUUCUUUAUAUUGAAUUAUCAUUUUUGUCAGUUUAUACAUAAUUAAUUGAUUGAGACACACGGACCUUGCUACGUUACAGACUCUGUAUGUAACGUAGCAAAUGGGGAGCAUCCGCGCAUUGCGGGAGAGCGGAAAAAUUGCUAGAAAUUAGCUGAUACAAGGUCAGUUUGCAGAACUGUUACAUUCAGACUCUGUAACGUAGUUUUGUCCACACGGACAAUACACAAGUAGAGUCAAAUAAUUGGAGCUAGCUACGUUACAGAUACUGUACGUAACAGAAACUGAAUUGACAAACGACUAAAUUAUAUGCAGCCACGUGUAGGGACGCGUGACAAAUUGACCGGUAAUUAUCCGGUCAAAAGAAAACCAACAAACUUCCAAUGCUUGGGUAAGGAUUAAUUUCAUAUUUACCCUAUUAUUAUUAUUAAUCAUUGGCACACACUAACUUUGAUGUAAGCCUUCAACCCCACCCCCAAAUAGUCAAAUUGUUGUCCUACGCGGUUAAGUUCAAUUACUGGCCAUUUCUAACUAGCACAAAGACAUUAAUGCCCUUAAUUAGACAUUAGGUCAAUGUAAAAAAAUAAACAUAAAUUUAUUUUUUUUAAACUAAAAUUUAGACAAAUUAGUAGUGUAAUUAAUGAAUAAAAUUAUAUUUUAUGUCAUAUGAAUAUAGGGGUAAAUUUUAUUGCAUGCUCAAAUAUACCGAUUACUGUUAAUCUACUCUUGGUAAAGUAUCUUUUUAUUUUCAUUCCUCUUUUUAUGCUACUUUUUUUAAUUUCUUCUUCAACUCCUUAAGGUUUUUUUUCGAUGAAUCUCUCGAAAAACCACUUUGUUGUUCAAAAUAGAAGAAUACACUCAUAUCAGAGAUUUUUUUUCAACUUUAAUAGUGGUGAGUAGAGGUUUCGAUAGCCCUAUAAUGGUGGUUUUUGUGUAGGUUCUACAAGGAAAAAUUUUGUAGGGCGACUUGUUAUUGGGGAAUUUUUUUUUCUUGUCUACUUGUUUUUAUUUUUUAUUUUUUGUUAUUUUAAUGAUAGCUUAGACGUUCAUAAGGGGAAUUAUUUGAAUGAUAUUGAUUUUGGUGAAGAAGCUGCCUUGUGUUUUGGCUUAUAGCUUGCUAGUAACAUUGAUUUAUCUCCAUUGAUUGUUAAGUCAGAUUCGAUAUUUGUGGUGUGUCAAAGUAGGAUUUUCAGGUUCAUUAUAUCUCAAGGAUUUAACAUUAUACUUUAAGUUGUUCAAAUUCUUUUAUAAGGAUGGAAGAUCAUUCAACUUGUAAUCUUUAAGUUUUUGAAUGAUAUGAAUUGUAAUAGUUUCCAUUAAAAAAAAAAAAAAACUCUUGGUACUUCAAACAAUCAUUACUCCAACUUCAUGCAAUUAGUUUUUCAGUUAGCUUGAAUGGUCGAUAACAAUUGAUUGAUGCUUGUAUAUAUUUGCCAUCAAUAUUAUUAAAUGUCAAUAAAAAGACAAAUACCCUUUGGUGAUUUUUUUUUAAUUGGAUAGAUUUUGCAUAAGAAGAUUAGAAGAACAUAUUCUUAUACCAAUUAAUAUAUUUCAAAUUCACCAAAUAAUUAAAGAAAGGGCGGGGUUCUUUAAACCCGUCAAAUUUCUUUCGAAAUCCAUUUUUAAAUAAACCCAUAACUAAAAUUUUAAAAUAUCAAUUUAAUUUCUAUUCAUUUGAGAAUUUCAAAAAUAACCCUUCGUAGAAUUUCUAUACAUUAAUAUUUUUCUAAUUGUUCUUGAUUUGAAUUAACAAAGAGACUUGACUUUGUCAAUUUGAAAAACAUUUGACAUCAUGAAAAGAUAAAUUUCAAUUAACAUUUUCAAUCAAACCUUCUUUGAAUUAUAAAAUCAAUUUUCUAGGUUGGUAUUUACACUGAUAAUUCUUUUUGAAGGGGAGAGGAACUUGUGCGUUUCCAAAUAUUCGUUUAAGAAGUCACAAACCUAACGAUUUACUAGUGUUUAUUGUUUUACAUAAACUCCAGGAAUUGAAAAAUCAAGAGAUAGUUUCAUCUUGUGACACAAUUUUUUUUUUAACCCACAAAAAAUAUUUUUGAUAUACCAUGUAUGCAAUUACAAGAAACUAUUUUAUAUGUAAAUUUGAAUUACAUUUCUCUCAUCAACUAUCAUAUUUUCAAUAUCAAACUAAAAAAAUUCACACUAGUUUAAAUAGAUGGAUGCUGAAAUAUGAAGUAAUUUUGAUACUAACAUGUUUAAAUAAGUAAUUCUAUCAAAGGAUAUUUUAGAGAAAAAAAUAUGUUGACUAAAGAUAAACUCUAGUUGGUUAGUAAACAAGUUCAUUUUUUUUAAAUAGUAUACGAGUUAAAUUUGAUUUUAAUUUGAUUUUAGAACUUUUUUGUUAAAAAAAUCUUACAACUAAAUAAAAAUAAAAUUGAUUUAACUAAAUCAAAAAAUUUGAUUACUGAAUAAAAAAUAAAUUUGAUUUUACUAAAUAUUCGUAUAUUUUACUAUAAAAAUUGACAAGUUAUAAGAUAUAUUUUACUUGAUCAAUUUAAUUCGAUUGAGGCAUGAUAGUUUUUUAAUUCAAUAGUAGAAAAGUUAACGGGUCGGGUAUGUAGUUUUACAUAAAAAGUUAAAGGGUGCAUAUUGAUAUUUGUCAAAAUAUUUGGGUGUGCAUGGAAAUGAACCCUUCUAAAUGUUAAAAACGGUUGCCCGUGAUUAAUUUCUAUUCUGGCCUUUAAUCCCAACCAUCCAAUUUCAGUCUCUAGAUCCAACGAAUCAAAAAUGCAUGGCUGUUACGUACAGUUUCUGUAACGUAGCCAGCUCCCAAAUAAUUAAUUACGUGACGGAUGACAUUUUGAAAAUGAUAUGUUUUUGCUUUUUUUUUUUUUUUUUGAGAAUGGUACGCUGUUAAUAUUUUUCGUAUUUGUUUUCAAAAAUGAAAAUUGAUGUUUAUUUGUGAUUUCAAAUCUCGCGUCUGAUAAAGUAUUUUAAAAAUUGUAAUCUAAAUAAAUAAAUACCAAACUGGCUUUUGAUUCCCGGAUCUUUUAUUUUAAGUUAAGAGAAUUACUAAUUGAACUGAUUUGAACGCACAAUUUAAAGAAUUUUUCAAUAAAGAAAGAGUAAUGAUAUAACUAUAAAUUCUUAUACAAAUUGAUGUGAUAUGAUAAAAUUAGUUGAAUUAAAUAUCUCUUGGCCCACAUGAUUUAUUUAUAUUAUUUUAUAUUUUUAUUCAACCAAUAAAUUACUAUCAUAUCAAUUUACAUAAAAUAAAUUUAUAAAAAAAAUUUAUGACUAUAUCACCAUUUAUAAAAAAAAUAUGUUUAAUAUAGUAUCUGAUGAAAGAAAAUCGUAAAAGCAACAUUAAUUUGUGGUGUUUAAGCUUUCAACUUUUCUUCAAAAAAAGUAAAAAGUAAAAACACCAUUUCUGUCACUUUCCAUAAAUCCUUCAACAACUCACCGAAUUUUAUUCUGGCCUUAUUCUAUCUUUCCUUUUUUUUUUUCCUAUUUAAAUGGAAAAUGGUGUUUAGUUUAGUGAUGACGACAAUAUCUAAUAUCUGUCAAAAAUAGAAAAAUUAUCCCAAAACUACUUUGAAGAACUUUGGGAUAAUUAAUUAAAUGUAAUUGAUCAAUUAUUCAAUUUUCACAUCUUAAACUUUAAACCCAUAAAAAGUCAGACUCAUAUAUAAGUGAGUUUAAACUAUCUUUUUAUGUGAUAAGAAUUAAAAGAAAAUGUUCGACCUACAUGUGACAAGGAGUGAUGAGGAUCGGAAUAUAUCUCACUGACUUAUCUGUAGCUAAUAAAACUAUAACGUUUUUCAUGCUCUUGUACGUGGAGACUCGUAAAUAUUCUGAAUUCACUUGUAUGAACAAAUCUGAAUUACCUUUACAUUUCCAAAAUGAAUACUCCUAAUUGAAAUAAAAGCGAAAAGAAAAAAAACAUAAAAGUUAUAUGUUCUUCAAAAAUUUCUUGGAAAUAGUUAAAAUAAUCAAAUACAUUUGAGGCAUCAAACAACAAACUUCGACCAUAAUCGGAUUGAUUUUGCAAUUAAACACAACGGAUUUUGUUUCUAUAUAUCACCGAAAGUUUAAAGACUUAACAUAUUAUAUGAGUAUUGUAAAUCAAUUAGUCAUUUCCCCCACAAAAUACAUGUCCUACGUACAUCAAGAUUUUUUUUCCCUUGGUCCUGUCCUUGAAUUUUGUACUGAGCUUAAAAACGGUUUUUAAUUUUUCCUUUUGUUUCGAAACUCUCACCUCCUGCUCUUAUUAUUAUUAUUAUUACUCAGCCUUCUGGUACGUAACUAAGACCAAAAAUGUCUGUGGUAUCGUUAUUUGCAGUUUAAUUAUAUUUAAAAUGAGACGAUUGAAUGACGCGUGUUCAUGAAGUGUAUAUAAUAUAAUAUGAAUAUGAAUAUGAAUAUGAUUGCGACAUUACCUGAAAUUUAAGGAACUGAUAAGUACAUAAUCUGUUUAAAUAAUAUUGUAUGGAAGAUUUCGGAUUAGAAUUUAAAAUAUAUGUUUCUUUCAAUCUUUUUCUAUAAUUCAUUGUUCAUAUGACCCUACGUCAAGAAAAUAAAAUACAGAAUAUCUAAUAUCUGAUAUCUCUAUCCAUAGGCAAACAAUUUCAGGAUUUUCUAGUUAACUUCUUAUACAAAGCGUUGAGAUGUGAGUAAAUUAUAUUUGGCCACUAUGUCACCAAAGUAUAUGUCUUUUUCUUUUUGGCUUAGAUUACAAUUAUUGUGCUAAUAUUCCUAAAUGAUCUUAAAACUAAAAGUUUGUCGAAUGACAAGAUCUUAGUUAAUGGUUUGUUUGUCAAUAAAUUAGUUAACCUGUUUUGUAAUAUGAUGACUAAGCUGUAUAUCUCUUGCUCACUCAAAUACAGGCAAAUCUUCAAUGCUUGGAAACUCUUAUUAAUAAAGAAAUGCAAAUAGCUCUUCUCAAAUUAAAUAAAGACCAAUUACCCGACAAUGCUUACUAUUUUCUUAAGUGACGUGAUUGUGCUAAUAAAGUUAGGUGGGGAGAAGAUAUCUAUACACCUAUCUGGAUGCAUGCGCCUGCUUGGACGGUAAGGAAAUGAUAGAAAUUAAAUGCCAAACAAAUAGAUGAUGCAAAGAAAGAGGAUAUAUUGUUGAUAAUUGUAUGAGUUGACUAGCCCAUUUUACACGUGGAAAGUGACUUCGGUUGGUGCAUGCAUGAGAUUUGUUUGAUUUUAGAUGAUGAUUUCAAUCAUUCGGUUUGAAUUUAAAAUUUCAAUAAGUUAGAAACAACGAUGCGGCACGGUAUAUGCGUGGAGUAUAUCUCCCUUUGGACCUUUACUUUUUUCAUGAUUUCAAUUAAUCAAUCUUGUAAUUUAUUUAUAUCUUUAUGAAAGCCAAGUGUACAAGGUACAUAUUUUUUAAGAAUUUUUAAAAAGUAGGUGAAAAACAGAUUUUUAAAAUUUAAUUUUGAUAAUAAAUUUCAUCCUUAAUAUAAUUCUACCUAAGUAGUUUUUCUGAUUUACUUUUAAAUUCCAACAAAAACAGACUAAGGUGGCGUUUGUUUUUUAACUUAAUGACUUAAAGUAACUUAACUUAAUUAAUUAAGUUAAUUAGAGGUAUUUAUUUUUAUAACUUAACGGGACUUUCUAGAUAAUUUUGACUUAAUAAAAUAAGCUAAUUUUUUUAGCUUUUUACUGAAUGAAAAAAUCUGAAUUAAGUCAGUUACUUUCUAAUGUCAAAAAUAUCCCUACUUUAUAAUUUAUUUUUCAUGUCUAUUCCAAAACUCACCCACAAAUAUUUACCCCACAUAAUAAUCUUAUCAUUAUUGUUUUAGCCAUCAUGCAAUCCCUCCUCACUUUGCUUCUCUCGUCUAGUUCUUGAAUCUCCCAUUAAUUUCUCUUGAAUCUCCCAUUAAUUGCUCACCGGGCAAGCACUUUUUUUUUUUUUUUGAUUACAUGAGACUAUUGCUCAAAUUACAACUCAUAUUACAUGAGAAUAUAACUGAUAUUUACAAAUCAUACUCUAACUGGGACCAACAUACAUCAAUACUAAUGGAGCGCUGCCCAGAUUUUAACCCUCUCAAAUAUUUGAGGGAUGUCUACUCCUCACACUUGGGUAAGGAAGCAGACUGCCUUCACUCAAAUUUACUUGAGGAAGGAAGACCCCCACAAUGCAUUGUGGGGGUUCGAACUGCUGCUCUCCAAGUUGGAGAGCAGCAGUUCUCACCACUCGGCCAAAGGCCGAGUGGCUACCGGGCAAGCACUUGACUUGGGCCUUUUUUUUUUACUUUUCAAUUACCUUUUCUAGCAUUCACUUUUAUUAUAUUUGACUUUUCAAUUACGUUUUCUAGCAUUAACUUUUAUAAUAAUCAAUAGCUUUGCUACUCUUUUUGGAUCUGACGCACUUUGUUAUGCGUUUUGGGUAUUGUUUUAUUUAUAUGAAUAUAUUUUGUUAAUUUGACAGUGAUUUAUUUGGGAGAAUUUUCGCUCAUCUGUUUGAUUUCAUUUUUCUUUUUUAUAAUUGAGAUGCUGUUGUGUAUGAUCAAUUGACUGAAUGCAGAUAUGACAUUGCAUUUUUUUUUUUUUUUGUAAUUGGUUGAAGUAGUUUUAAUAGAGCUAUCUUGGGUGGUUACGAAUUUUCCAGUCUCUUUGAAUGAAAUUAAUAAUUGCAAUUGCUGAAAUUAAUAAUCCACAAUUGGUUCCAUUUGAUUGUUUUUUGCGGAACUUUCUCAUAGAUGUCGUCACAAGGGGAGAGAGCAAAUUGGACUGAUCCAGCUUAUAGGAAAUAUUUUAUUGAUCUCUGCAUGCGUGAAGCAAACAAUGGAAAUAGAUCUGGGGCAACCUUGAAGCCUACUGCUUGGAACAGGAUUUCUCAAGAACUGAAAACAUUGACAGGAAAAUCUAUUACCCCGAAACAACUUAAAAAUGGAUGGGAUUAUAUGAAAAGGCAAUACCUCACAUGGCUGAAAUUAACAAUGACAACAGGACAUGGUUACAAUUCUACAACUCGUACUUUUGAUUGGCCACCUGAAAGAUGGGAAGAAUACUUGAAGGUAACAUUUUUUUCUUUUAUUUAAGUGAAUUAUUUAAUAUUUUUACAAUAUAAGUAUAAUCAAUUAUUAUGUUUUGAUUGAACAGAAAUAUCCAGAAGCUAAACAAUUUCGCAAUAAUCCUUUAGCAAAUGUUGAAGAGUUGGAGGCAUUGUUCUCAGGUGCAGUAGCAACAGGAGCUUAUAACUGGAGUUCUGGAAUGGAAGGGAUACCAGAAAUGGGAAAUCUAUCAUCGAUGCUAUCUGAAACUCCAAUUAACGUAGAAGAUAAUGAUUGUGAGGUAAAAACACCAGAUUCAUACACCAAUGUGGAUGAACCACUUCCCGAUGACAUGCAAAGGUGUAAAAAGAAACAAAAGAAAAGCAAAUCGGAUGAAACUCGCGAAGAUAUCAACAAAUUAGUGGCUGUAUUAGAGAAGACUGGUGACAAAGGACCUUCAAUUACUCAGUGCAUGCCAAUUUUGAGAAAGCUACUAACUUAUGACAAUCCCAUGUAUUAUGUGGCUACUAAUGCACUCUGCAAUAAGAGAGAGUAUCGAGAACUAUGGAUGGGCAUGGAGUGUGAUGAAGAACGAAUUGGAUGGAAUUAUAGUUUACCAAAAGGGCCUUAAUAUCUUAUUCCUAGUUCAUUUGUCAAUGUUUUAUUUGGUGUCAUUAUGGAAUUUUUGGAUUAUAUACCUUUUUGUUUAUGCAAUGAAUCAACGUUUUGAUUAAGGUCAUUUGCUGAACUUUUGGUUUGUGCAGUGAAUUGUGUGUUUUGGUUAUUUGAAUAUUUAAUGAAUAUCUUGCUGCUCAAAGUGUGGUUUACGUUGCUUAUAUAUGUUUUUUUUUUUACUUUAUUUUUGUUUUUGUAAUUUCUUAUAAAUUUGUUUAUAUGGUCAGGUUGCUAUAUCCUAUCACAAAUAAAUUGCAGCCUAAGCAAUACUUUGGACUUUAAUAGUAGGUAUGUCAACAUUCAAUUAAUAUUAAAUAUUCUUCUUUAAAUGCUACAUAUAUAAUAUAUAUUUGUUUAUUUUUUUUUGUAUACUAGAUAUGGCUAUGGCUGAUGAAGAAGUUGACAUAAAGAUUGGGGUUAAACGAAUAUUACGGAAACAAUUGAUUAUGUUGGUAAAAAAAUUAUUGAAAGGGUCGACCAAAAGGCAACGAGUAUCUACAUCAUCUUUGACAGGUUCUCUUUACAUUCAAGAACUUUUAAAUGGAUCACCAAUAGUCUGCUAUGAUCUUAUGCGGAUGGAUAAGAAUGGGUUCAUAUCUCUAUGUCAAUUGUUCAAAGAAAAAGGAUGGCUUUCUGAUAGUAAGCAUUUAACUGUUGAAGAGAAAAUGGCUAUGUUCUUAUUUACAAUUAGCCAUAAUCUUCGAAAUCGGUUCAUUAAAAUUAGAUUCCAGCACUCAGGUCAUACAGUGCAUAGGUAUUUUCAUGAAGUACUGUUGGCAAUGAUGAAGUUUUCGAAAGAAAUGAUCACUCCUCCGUCAUUUACAGAUAAUUCAAGAGGCAUCCGUAAUACUCGAUUAAGGCAAAUUUUUAAGGUAUAAAACUUUCUGUAUACUAAUAUGUUGAAGAAUAAAGCUUUUUAUUUUGAUUAUUGAAAUAAUUUAAUUACUAAUAUGUAGGAUUCAGUUGGUGCAAUUGAUGGAACACUUAUUCAUGCAUGUAUUCGAAUUGAUAAACAAGUGCCAUAUAGAGGUCGCAGCAAGGGAGAAUGCUUUCAAAAUGCAAUGGCCCUUUGUGAUUUUGACAUGAUAUUUAGAUAUGUUGUUGUUGGAUGGGAAGGAACUGCACAUGAUUCAAGGGUCUUAACUGAAACCAUUCGUAAUUCAAGAAAUAAUUUUCCUAUUCCACCGCCUGGUAUGUCAUUAUUCAUUAUUUUACCAAUUUAUUCAUUAUAAUUUAUAAUAUUAUAUUUUAUUAGUCACUCAUGUUGAAUGUUUUUUUUAGAUAAAUACUAUUUAGUUGAUGCAACAUAUUCACAUACAAGAGUUUUCAUGGCACCAUACCGUCGUGCGCGUUAUUGGUUAGGUGACUUUCGUAGUGGCGGUCGAGCUAGAGGAAGGGAGGAAAUAUUCAAUCAUGCCCAUGCUAAAUUGAGAAAUGUUAUUGAGCGUGCUUUUGGUGUGCUAAAGGCCCGUUUUCCAAUACUAAAAAGGAUGGCACCAUACUCAUUUGAUACACAGAGACAAAUAGUGGUGGCAUGCAUGGCGAUUCAUAAUUUUCUUCGAAAAAUAUCAGUGGAUGAUGCAUUAUUUGCUCAAUAUGAAAAUGAUGAAGUUGAGCUAGAAAGUGGUCAUGGCAAUCAAAACCACACAACUAAUGCUAUCAACUCCUCAAGUAUUGAAGAUCAAAAUUACAUACGACAACUUCGAGAUGAAAUGGCAAAUCAAUUGUUUCAAGCAUCUUAUUAGUUUUUUCUUUCUUAUAUUAUAUACGAUAAAAUUUGAAAUUUAUGGUAUUUCAUAUAUUAAAAUUCCAAAAUCAUUACGUAUUCACUUAAAUAUAGUUUUACUUAUAAAUGUUAAAAUAUUGUGGUAUUUAAUAUAUUAUUUAUUUGACAUUUAAAUUUAAUAAGGAUACAAAUGUAAAAGUACAUAUUUUCAGCUUUUUCAGUUUAAAAAAACAAACAACUUAAUACUUAUUUUCCGAGAUUCAGACGAAAAAAUAAACAUAUUAUUCAGAUUCAGACUAAUUCAGGUCUAUUUAGAUUUCAGACAAAAAAACAAACGCCACCUAAGUCUUACAUACUUCAAGUGAAAAGUGCGCUGAGUGAAUUUCAACAUAAAUAAGGAUGGUUUGAAUAAUUUUUAAAAAUUCAUAAUCUAAUUAAAUUGCAUAAUUAGCCGAAACCUAAAAGACUAAAAGAGUGUUUACCUAAAAAAAGCUAAUAAUUAUUGGACUAAACUAAAAGCUCUUAAUGCUUUACAAUCAUCAACGUUCUCCGAAAUUGCCAGUCCACGAUUAUGCAUUCUCAUUAAUUUCAAUCUUGCUAAUGAACGUGAGAAAUCAGCUUGAUAUUCAUUUUAGUAUUCCAUUAUUUUAAUUAAAUUUGAUUAGAAAAGAUUUGCAUUAUAAUGAAGAUUUGGUGAUUGAAAUUCUUUGUAAAAUCUCUUUGGCGAUUCAAGUUUGUUUGUAAAUCUUGGUAUUGUUUAAUGUACAUGAAACCUAAGUUUCAUCACAAAACACCUAAAAAAGGUCAAAACCCGUCUAAUUUUUCAUUUAGAUAAUUGAAAAUGGUGAUUCAUAUUAUUAUCCUAGUAAUUUGUUUUUUAUGCAGUGUCAUGCAUCUUCCAAAAAUUGAUUCCGAUCAUCGGCCUAUUCUAGUCAAAUUCCAGAACAUGGAUUCCAGGCAUGGGGCCCGAGGCCGUUUCGGUUUUUGGCUGCAUGGCUCACGAAUGAGAGGUUUGGGAGUUUUGUGAAUGGUAGCUGGAAUAAGGGAGCGAAUUUUCUCGAGGCGGUGGCUGAUUUUACUAAACAAACUAGGCGAUGGAACAAGGAAAUUUUUGGAAAGAUUAUUUAUCGGAAGCGGAAAUUGUUGGCUAGAAUAUGUGGGAUCCAACGAAUUUUGGAAACUAAGCCUAAUCAUAGCCUUACUAGACUUGAAGUUAAACUUCAGAAGGAGCUCGAAGAGGUUCUCACUCAGGAAGAAUUAUUGUGGCUUCAGAAAUCCAGGAGAGAUUGGACUUUGUAUGGUGACAGCAACACUGCCUAUUUCCAUAAAAAAAAAAACUCUAACCAGGCGUCGUCAGAAUCGGAUUACUGUGAUUCAAAAUGAUACUGGGCAGUGGAUAUACGACGUCGAGAUCAUUAAGCAACUUGCAGUCAGAUUCUUUUCAGAAUUAUACACGCCUGAACAAGGGGUGCAUAGCCCAUAUACUUUCAGGGGGUGUUUCCCUGUGAUGUCGGAUGAUAUUUGUUUAAGCUUGAUGUCUGCGGUAAUAGAUGAGGAAGUUAGACAGACUAUUUUCAGUAUGAAUCCCUUCAAAGCUCCCGGAGUUAAUGGCUUUCAUGCUGGUUUUUACCAAGCGCAAUGGAGUACAGUUGGUAUGUCGUUGUGUUCUUUCAUUAAGAAUAUUUUUAAUUCUAAUCAUAUCCCUGCAGAGAUCAACAGAACCUUGCUGGUGCUCAUCCCUAAAGUUGAUCAUCCAACAAGCCUCAAGAUGUUUCGGCCGAUCAACCUUUGCACAGUUCCGUAUAAGACGGUGACGAAAAUUAUUGCAGAUAGGCUACAUGCUCUUCUUCUAGAUCUCAUUGGCCCCUAACAAACCAGUUUUGUACUGGGUCGGCAUAUUACAGAGAAUAUUGUUAUUGCUCAAGAGGUAAUCCAUACAAUGAAGAAAAAGGUAGGGGGUAAAAGAAUGAUGGCCUGUUAAAGUGGACUUGGAAAAGGCUUAUGACCGGUUGAGUUGGUGCUUUAUUCAAGAAACUUUAAAGGAAGUUGGGCUACCAGAGCGAUUUAUUCACCUCAUAAUGGAGUGUUUGUCCACAGCCCAAAUGAAUGUUUUGUGGAACGGAGAAAUGACUGAAGAUUUUCGGCCAGGGAGAGGAAUUAGACAAGGAGACCCCCUUUCGCCUUAUUGGUGGUUGUCGAAGCCAACAAAAAUAAAUUCAUACUCUAAAUAAAUUGUGUAUAGUGAUUGAGUAAGGUCGUGUCCACAAAGAUCGAUAAUUAUUUAAAUCCUUUUAAAAUGUAAAACAUAAAAUGGGGGUUUUGUUGACAAUAAUAAAAAUCAAAUUAAAAUAACAAGAAUGCAAAUUAAAGUUGUAAUUCAAAUUGGAGAAAGCUCUGGUUGAAGGAAUUAACUCAGCUUGAUUCGGCUACUAAUCAUUGAUUCAAAUAUAGAUUAUUAUUACUUAUGAAUAGACCGGUUAUAGCUACUAAGACCCUCUAAUAGCCAAUCUCUCCUUAACUAGUCGAUAACCAAGGUACGACCGUUGGCUAUUUCCCUAAUCAAUAGACAACCCUAGAUACGAUCAUAGGAUUUAAUCAAUUGACAGCCUGAAAGACCAGAGAGACCCAAAUCCUAAUCAACACAUACGAUGAUUCAUUUAAAUUAGAUUGUUUAUUCUCAUAACACAACUCACUGCUAUGUUAUUUGUCACAAACAUUAAAAUCUUCAUACGAUGAAUCCUUUAAUUAACAAUAGAUUAAGUUGAUAAUUAAAUAGUGGCCAAUUACCUAAUUAACAAACAUAAUCAUGGAAAUAAUUCAGAGAAUAACAAAUACCCAAAAAGCAAUAAAAUAAUUAAAGCAUAAAAUAGAUCUCACAGUAGUGACGAAUCAAAACUUCAAUAUCCUUCAACCAGAAAAAUAGGUUUAGUUCUUCAUAGAGAGAAGAGAAAAGUUUAGAUCUAGGGUUUCUUUCUUUUCUCCAAAAGUCCCCCUUUUCACAAUAGAUUCCUCUCUUAAAUACUCUCUCUCUCUUCUCCUCUAGAAUUCUAUUUAAAAUAAAAUACUAAUAUCUGAAAUAUUAAAUUCGUAAUUACAAAAAUAACCAAAAAUACAAAACACGUUAAACUAAAAAUUGUAGGUCCGUAGUUGACAGCACGUGCCCACGCCUUAUCAACAAAGUUCUUCUAACACUCAUAAUUUCUCCAAGAGAACAAUCGUCUUUAAACAUCAUCUUAUAGCUCAAUUUUAUCACAAAUCAAUAGAAUUGCACCUACAAAAGUAAAACACAAGUAAAUCAUCAUUAUUAAGUGCAAAACAUCGAUAUUAAGGGAAGUAAACAAUGCAAAACUAGUGCAUAAAUUGCACUCUAACAAAUUUCCCCACACCAAGAUGAUGCUUGUCCUCAAGCAUAUAACUCAAGACUAAUCCCAAAUCUCCACUCAAUUUUCAUCUCAGCUCAUCCAAAAAUAAUUUUAAGCAAGCAUACCUCAAGAAUUUAAGUGGAUCAACAUUCGAGAGACAAGGAUUUUUAAAGCAUAGAAUCUCAUAAGAUAGAAUAAGAACAUUCAACCACCAAGAAGAUCCAUUCAAAAUUCAAGUGCAACAAGAUUUAAUAGCCCUCUCAUUGACUUCACUCCAUGCACUUAAAGUGUUUAGGGUGUCAUUUAUUCACUCAAAUCAAAUCAAAGAAUGCUAUUACAAUAAGCUUGCUUAUAUAUCACAUCUCAAUCCACAAAACAUGAAUUAAAUGCAAAAAUCUAAGGGUCUUAAAAAGGGUGUAAUGGGGUUAAAUAGGUUAAAUGAAAAAGAAAGGUAUACGAAAGAAAAAGAGAUCAAAAUGAGAAGAAUGAACUCAUUGAAUGAACUUAUGAUAUCAAAAUGCUUAUUUCUACUCACGGUGCUUAGAAUGUAAACAUUUUUUUUCUCUUUUUUUGAUUUUUUUUUUCUCUUUUUUUUUUUUUCUUUUUCUCUUUUUUUUUUCUUUUUCUUUUUUGUUUUUUUUUUAUCAAACAAAAGAAACAAACCUUGCACAAUUUAAUUCAAGCAUAAUGCUUGUUGAUCUAAUUGAGAAACUUUAAUACAAGGUAGAAAAAGCAACAAAAUAUAUAUAAAUAUAUCCACACAAUGAGUCCAAAAAUCUCCUUAAAUUGAGGCUCAAAAAAGAAGAAACAUGGUUAAGUAGACGGAGAGAAUUAGAUGGGUAAUAGUUAAGGCUCAAACAAAGAUAGCAAAUAAAGGUCUUCGGGUAGAGAAAAAAAAAUGUGAGAAUAGAAAAAUGGAAAGUGGUUUGCCCUUAUCAUUUUAAUGCAUAAAAUCCCGUAAUGCGGCUUCAACAUGCAUAACAAAGCAAGUUCUAGAAUAUACAAACUAAGAUUGAUAUUCACAUAACAAAAAUAAUUAGAGCAAAGUGGUUGCUCAUAGGCUCAAAUCCUCACAAAGUUGGUAAAUUUGCCAUCAAAUCAUGUACACUCUUUAAAUGAAUCAACUAUCAAUAGUGGUGUAGAAUGAGAAGAAGGUAUGAGUGAGAUAUAAAAGGAAAGGUAAAAAGGAUAAUAAGCGAGAAAGAUGUAUGUAGUAAAAAAAUGAAAGAUAAAAUGUGAGUGAUGAAAGAGUAUGAUAGAAAAAAAAAUAGAUGUAAAUAAUUUGAGAUAGAUGGGAAAACAGUAGUGAGAGAGAAAGGAAAAGAAAAUUAAUAAUAUAUGAAACAUAUUAACUCCAAAAUCAUUUAAUGAUGAGUAGAGUGAAAAUAAUACUUCCAGACAUCAAUAAUGCAAAAAUCCCUCCCCCAAACCAAGAACUUACAUUGUCCCCAAUGUAAGAUAAUCAAAGCUUACAUAAAAAUUAAAGCGUAAGGAUAAAAGAUUAAAGGCAAAAACUUCCCUGAAUUGUGAGCUUUGAUCCUCAUAACAUCUAUAGGCUUGGCGGAAAUGGUGGGAUAAAUCCCACACUCUCAAAGUAUGCGGCCAAAUUCUGCUCCAUCUUGUUCAGCUUGUGCUCUAUUUUCUCUAACUGAAUGCUCAAAGGUGGUGCGGAUGUAGAAGGAAUAGUCGGCGGGACAACAGCGUCGGCGUCAAACUCGUCAUCAGAGGUAGCACUACUUCUAGCAUAGAGCUUCUUUGGAGGUUGAGUGGGUCUUGGUUCAGUAAACUUUCUUUCUUUGGUUGAGUCAUAAAUGCAAGGCACCCUCCGAGAUUGGAUUCCGCAAGUGGCAAAACACUCAUGUCUUUUCCAUGUUUCAAUCUUUGUCUCAUGGCUUGGCGUGAAUCUGAAACUAUGUUCCAUGGAACUGCAAUCUUGGAUUUCUUUGCGACGAGUGUCUUUUUAGAUGACUUGGAAGUUGAUGCUUUCCUCUUCGGCAUUGUUACAAUAAUUUCACUCACGGAUUUCGAUUCACCCGGCUGGAAUACAGGGCAUAGGCUGAUUGCGGACGAUUGCUGCUCAGCUAGAGCUUGCUGCGCGGGUUGGGGCUGGUUGGGCACUGCUAGUUGCGUGCGGGAUGCUGCGCGCUGGGGCUGAUUCUGUUGCGCUAAUGGGCUGCUGGAUUUGCGCGCUGAGGUUAAUUGCACACGAGGGCUGGGCUGACGCUGGUUUUGCGCACUGCUGGGCAAAGGCUGGAUCUGCGCGCGCGGGUUGCUGCUCGGCUGCUCGGUGAAGGUUGGAUCUGCGGGCGCGCGGGAUGGAGCUGGUUGCGCGCACGGCUGCUGCUGCUGCAUGGGCUGGUUCGCGAUGGUGGAUUGCUGGUGCUGCGUGGCUGCUCGGUGAAAGCUGGAGAAGAAAACCAAUUCUGUGAAUUAGGGAUUUUGUGAAUAGUAAAUUUGUUUUUUUCGUUUUUUUUUUCAAAAAAAUAUAUAUAUAUAUAAAAAAGAAAGGAAAAAAAAGUUUUUUUUUUCGUUUUUUUUAAUUUUCAAAUAAAUAAAUAAAUUUUUUUUUUUUUUAAUGAUGAACCACUUUGAGACACUAAAAAUUUCAGAAGUACUUUUCAAAUAAGCACGUGGGCAUGCCUUAAAACCAUUUUACUUUAAAAAUCACAGAAGUACUUAUUAGUUAAGACGUGGGCACGCCUUAUCAAAAAUUUUCUUCUGACCAAAAUAAACAAAUCAUUUGGGUUGCCUCCCAAAAAGCGCCUUUAUUUUAUGUCUUUGGUUAGACACAUUUAUGCAUCACUCUCCAUAAUUGGGACUCUCGAGAGCCACAUCCUCCACAAUAUUCACCGAAAGAGCUUCAUAAAAAGAUUUUAAGCGAUGACCAUUAACCUUAAAAACUUUGUCAGAGGUCGGACUCCGAAUCUCAACUGCACCAUGAGGAAAAACAUUAGUAACAAUAAAAGGUCCAACCCAGCAAGAACGUAAUUUACCCGGAAAAAGUUUAAGCUUAGAAUGAAAAAGAAGAACUUUUUGACCAACAGAGAACUCUUUUCUCAAAAUCAUUCUAUCAUGAAAUGUCUUCGCUUUUUCCUUGUAAAUAACUUCCUGCACUAUAGGGUUAAUAACAUCCACAGAAAAUACCGAAUGUUCCUCACUAGAAUAUUUCAUGGCAUCAUUCAUAUUGAAUUCUAUAACCUCUCCAUCAAACUCCAUAGUGAGAGUCCCUUUAUGUACAUCCAUUUUAGUCCUAGCAGUCUUAAGAAAAUGUCUUCCUAGCAAAAUUGGGACAAAAUUGGAGGAGUUAUCCUCUUCCAUAUCAAGUACAUAAAAAUCAGCAGGAAAAACCAACUCAUUAACUUGUACUAAGACAUCUUCUAAUACCCCAUCAGGAUAUGCAUUAAAUCUAUCAGCUAGUUGAAUUAUCACGCCAGUUUCUUUUAAUGGACCAACAUUCAAAGAUGAAUAAAUGGAACGAGACAUGACAUUAAUAGAAGCUCCUAGAUCUAACAAAGCAUUUACAAGGGAUAGUAAACAUACCUGGAUCCUUGCACUUAAGAGGUAGUUUCUUUUGGAGAACUGCUGAAACAUUCUCCCCCAUGUGAACUUUUUCAUCUCCUCUUAAUUUUCUCUUGGAGGUGCACAGUUCCUUAAGGACUUUAGCAUAUCGAGGUAUUUGUUUUAUAGCAUCUAAUAAAGGAAUAUUUACCUCAACAUUGCGAAAUGUCUCAAGGAUAUCUUUCUCUUGUUCCUCCUUCUUGGAUUUUACAAACCGGCUUGGAAAAUGAGGAGGUAUCACAAUAGGUAGGGAUUUCGCUCUGGUGGGUUGCGCAUCUUGAGAUUUAGGCAUCAAUUCAUUCUUCUCAAGCUCAUCUUCUACAUGCUUUGCCACUUUUUUACUAGGCUCUUGCAACUCCUUCCCACUUCUAAGGAUGACAGCACUAAGGUUUUGCUUUGGAUUCACCUCAGAUUGUGAAGGUAACCUCCGUAAUACUUGAGACUCCAGACGGCUCACUGUAGUCGCCAAUUGACUCAUUUGGUUCUCCAAGUUCUGAAUGCUUGUUGUAGUUGCCUGCUGAAAUUGUUGAGUGUUAGUUGCAAGUGAUUUAACAAUUUCUUCAAGAGAUAUACCUGACUUGGAGUUUGACUGUGGAGGUGCUGGUUGUCUUGGUGGAUACUGUUGUGGGAAUCCUGAUUGCCUAACUCCAUAGCUGAAGUUAGGAUGAUCCUUCUAUCCCGGAUUGUAUGUUUGUGCAUAAGGAUUAUACCUCCUCUGAGGCAUGCUUGGAAAUCCUCCAACUGCAUUGGCUUGUUCAACGAGUUCUUCUUGAAAUGUAGGACACAUAUCAGUUGAAUGACCCAUAUUGGAGCAAAUGCCACAAGUCUUUACCUGUUGCACAUUACCUACAGCAAACUUUUCCACAAGAGAAGUAAGUUUAUCUAAACGUUGUUCAACAGAAGAAAUAUUUACCUCAUUCACCGUUCUUGAAGUGGCAUCUUGCUUGCUGCCAAAUUGUUGUGCAUUGGCAGCCAUAUUUGAGAUCAACUCCCUUGCUUGAGUAGGAGUCUUGUUCACCAACACACCUCCACUAGCAGCAUCUAUCAUACUCCUAUCCAUUAAUGAUAGUCCUUCGUAAAAAUAUUGAAUAAGAAGUUGAUCCGAAAUCUGAUGCUGAGGACAGCUGGCACACAAUUGUUUGAAUCGCUCCCAAUACUCAUACAAAGUCUCCCUAGGAAGUUGUCUGAUCCCACAAAUAUCUUUUCUGAUGUUGGCAGCUCUUGAAGCAGGAAAGUACUUCUCGAGGAACUGCCUCUUCAAACCAUUCCACGUUGUAAUCGAUCCAGGAGGCAAGUAGUACAACCAGUCUUUAGCUAGCCCAUCUACAGAGAACGGAAAAGCACGCAGCUUAAUAUGCUCUUCAGUCACGCCUUGUGGUCUCAUACUUGAACACACAACAUGAAACUCUUUAAGAUGUUUAUGAGGAUCUUCACCUGCAAAACCAUGAAACUUGGGUAAUAAAUGAAUAAGACCAGACUUUAGUUCAAAAUUUACCUCCAAGUCUACAUAUUGAAUGCAGAGUGGUUGCUGAUUCAAGUCUGGUUCAGCUAACUCUCUAAGAGUUCUUUCUACAGGUGCAGCUCUAUCCAUCACUUGUUCUUCCGAAUCGCUAGAUGAUUCAAUUAAAUCAGGCACCGUAUCUGUUUCAGAAAGCAAAGGCGAUGAGGAUCGUUGCUUAUCUCGCUUCGUCUGCUGUCUCAGCUGGCGAGCUGUCUUCUCAAUUUUAGGAUCAAACGAAAGUGUACAUGUACGAGAAGAACGAACCAUACACCAAGUAAAACGUAAAAAAGAUUAAAUAAAUUACACCAAUCCCCGGCAACGGCGCCAAAAUUUGGUGGUUGUCGAAGCCAACAAAAAUAAAUUCAUACUCUAAAUAAAUUGUGUAUAGCGAUUGAGCAGGGUCGUGUCCACAGAGAUCGGUAAUUAUUUAAAUCCUUUUAAAACGUAAAACAUAAAAUGGGGGUUUUGUUGACAAUAAUAAAAAUCAAAUUAAAAUAACAAGAAUGCAAAUUAAAGUUGUAAUUCAAAUUGGAGAAAGCUCUGGUUGAAGGAAUUAACUCAGCUUGAUUCGGCUACUAAUCAUUGAUUCAAAUAUAGAUUAUUAUUACUUAUGAAUAGACCGGUUAUAGCUACUAAGACCCUCUAAUAGCCAAUCUCUCCUUAACUAGUCGAUAACCAAGGUACGACCGUUGGCUAUUUCCCUAAUCAAUAGACAACCCUAGAUACGAUCAUAGGAUUUAAUCAAUUGACAGCCUGAAAGACCAGAGAGACCCAAAUCCUAAUCAACACAUACGAUGAUUCAUUUAAAUUAGAUUGUUUAUUCUCAUAACACAACUCACUGCUAUGUUAUUUGUCACAAACAUUAAAAUCUUCAUACGAUGAAUCCUUUAAUUAACAAUAGAUUAAGUUGAUAAUUAAAUAGUGGCCAAUUACCUAAUUAACAAACAUAAUCAUGGAAAUAAUUCAGAGAAUAAACAAAUACCCAAAAAGUAAUAAAACAAUUAAAGCAUAAAAUAGAUCUCACAGUAGUGACGAAUCAAAGCUUCAUUAUUCUUCAACCAGAAAAAUAGGUUUAGUUCUUCAUAGAGAGAAGAGAAAAGUUUAGAUCUAGGGUUUCUUUCUUUUCUCCAAAAGUCCCCCUUUUCACAAUAGAUUCCUCUCUUAAAUACUCUCUCUCUCUUCUCCUCUAGAAUUCUAUUUAAAAUAAAAUACUAAUAUCUGAAAUAUUAAAUUCGUAAUUACAAAAUAACCAAAAAUACAAAACACGUUAAACUAAAAAUUGUAGGUCCGUAGUUGACAGCACGCGCCCACGCCUUAUCAACAAAGUUCUUCUGACACUCAUAAUUUCUCCAAAAGAACAAUCAUCUUUAAACAUCAUCUUAUAGCUCAAUUUUAUCACAAAUCAAUAGAAUUGUACCUACAAAAGUAAAACACAAGUAAAUCAUCAUUAUUAAGUGCAAAACAUCGAUAUUAAGGGAAGUAAACAAUGCAAAACUAGUGCAUAAAUUGCACUCUAACACUUAUAUUUUUGUGCUUUGUAUUGAAAGAUUAAGCCAUGGUAUUAUUUAGGCGGUUAAUCAAGGUAGAUGGAAGCCCAUUCGGCUGACUAGAAUUGGCACUCCUCUAAGUCAUUUAUUUUUUGCGGAUGACCUGCUUCUCUUUUUGGAAGCAAUUACGGUCAAGUUGAUGUAUUGAAUGGCGUGGUAGAGAAUUUCUGUAGGAGCUCGGGCGCUAAAGUUAGUAAACAGAAGACCCAAAUUUUCUUUUCCAAAAACAUCUCGGUCACUUUAGCUAAUGGAAUUGGCAAGGCUUUAGGCUUCUCGAUUACAAAUAAUUUGGGCAGAUAUCUUGGCAUGCCUCUUCUACAUGAUCGAGUUUCGAAGAAAAUGUAUCAGAGUAUCAUUGACAAAAUUGAUCAGUGGCUAUCAGGAUGGGCAUCAAAGCAGUUGUCUCUAGCAGGGCGAGUUACUCUUGCCCAAUCGGUGCCUCAGGUAAUUCCGAUUUACGCUAUGCAGACCACGCAUCCCCCGUCUAGUGUCAGAGUUAAAAUUGAUCAACUAUGUAGAAGAUUCAUUUGGAGUGGGGCUGGUUCUCAACGUAAGUUAAGUCUGGUUAGUUGGAACAACAUUUGUAGGCCCAAGAGUAAUGGAGGGCUCGGCUUCAAGGACAUGGAAAUUAUGAAUAAAGCCUUAUUAAUGAAAGUGGCUUGGGAUUUAUUCAUAAAUCCUAGCAAGCUGUGCUCCCAGGUUUUAAUCUCUAAAUAUGCUGCGCGUUGUGAUAUGCCUAUUACUGAUGUUCCACCCAAAAAUGGUUCCUAUUUAUGGCGUUCUAUGGGUAAGAUUUGGAAAGACUUCCAGAAGGGUUUGCGUUGGAGUAUUGGAAAUGGCCAACGGGUGAAGUUUUGGGAUGAUAUUUAGGCUGUUAACAUAUAUGUUUCCACAAUGUUGAUUUUGAUGAUAACAAACAAGAUUAAGAAUGAUUAAUCUUUUAAGCUCAAAUUAUUGAAAAAUAUAUUUUGAAUAAAUCAUUAUUUUUACAUUAUAAAUGUUUUAUAUUUAAUGGAAAAAUGAUUUUAUGAAAUUGGUUGUUUUUCAAAGUUUAUGAUUUAAUUGAAAGAAUUUUGAAAACUUUGAAAUAAACAAGUAUUGCUUGAAAUUUUGGAAAAGGACUUAUUUGAAAAGUGUCAUAGCAUUUUGGUCUAUAUCAUAAUUUCAGAAAGUUUUAGGAUUGACAAAGUAUUAUUUAAAAUUCUGAAAUUGGACCUAUUUGAAACUAUUUAAAUAUUUUUGGGUCAUUCUAUAAUUUCACAAAAUUUGGGCAAAAUCAUAAUUUCAGAAAGUUUGGGAUUAACGAAGAAUUAUUUAAAAAUUCUGAAAUUGGACUUAUUUGUAAAGUUUCAUAACUUUUUGGGUCAUAUUAUAGUUUUAUAAAGUUUUGGGGUCAAACUAAAAAUAUUGGAAAAUUUUCACUGUAGCAGGUUACUGUAGCAAGCGGCUUACCGGAUUCAGAAAACCGGAAAUCCGGAUUCGGGGCAGUAAGCAUCCAGAACGAAAACGGCUUACCGGAUUCCUGAAUCUGGCAAACCGAAUUUUGCCUUAACGGUAACAUAAAUCCGGCUUACCGGAUUCCAUAAAACGGUAAACUGGAUAGCCCAGAAUGUGAGUAACGGCUAGUUUUCGAGCUCAAGCUAUAAGAACUCAAAUCCAACUCAUUUUGAAGCUCUCCAACAAGCAAGAACAAAAAGCACACAUGAUAUCUUGAGCCUUCAACUUGUAAAACACAAAUCAUUGAAUCAUUCAUUGUUCUUCAUCUUUGAAUAUCUACUCAUUGAGUGAGUUUCAUUGUAUCUUUCAUUUCUUCAAUUCAUUUGUAAGAGUUUGAGUGUGUGAGACAUUUUAGUGAAGAGAUUGGGAGAUAAUCUCUUUGUUGUAAAGGUUUAUUGACACCUCGAAGUCAAUUGUAAUUGUUGAAGCCUUGGAAAGGCUUGGAUAGUGAAAUCCUCAAGCUUGGAUCGCUUGGAGGCGUGGACGUAGGCGGGGAUUGCCGAACCACGUAAAAAUUCGUGUGUUUGUUUCUCUUCUCCCUUACUCUUUAAUUAUUGUGCUAUUAUUGAACUUAUUGUUUUCAAUUGUUGUUAAGACAUUAGAUUGCUUGUUGUGUGGAUUUGCUUGGUUAAUUUUUAAAUUUCCAAUUCACCCCCCCUCUUGGGUUGCACACUUAUAUUUCAUAGGCUACUAAUGGUGAUCCCUUAAUCAACUAUACGGUGGCUUCAAUUCCUGAUAGCAUGCGAAAUAUGUUGGUGGCGGAUUGUAUUGAUCAAAAUGGGAAUUGGUUAUGGAACAGAUUCAGCUCUUUGUUGAAUAACCAUGUUGUUUUAAGGAUUGCUUCCAUGGCUCCUCGGUCGGCAAUGAGAGGCGAUGAUAGGGUGUAUUGGGGUGCAUCAAAUACUGGCAUUUUUACAGUCCAAUCAGCUUACCAAGUGCUUACGAAUUUUUGCCCCAUUGAAGACUGUCAAGACUGGCGGCAUUUGUGGCAAUGGAAGGGGCCUCAAAGCGUAAGACUUUUUUUAUGGUUAUUAUGCCAUGAUCGAUUGAAGACGGGAUAUGAGCUUGCUAGAAGGCAUCUGGACAUUGAUCCUUUAUGUAGGAGGUGCCAUGCAGAAGUUGAGAGUUCUUUGCAUGCAAUCCGGGAUUGUGCUUAUUCGAGAGGUGUUUAGAGGAAGCUUGUUCCUGUGCUUAGACAACAUGACUUUUUUAGUUAUCCUCUUCGGCAAUGGAUCAUGACAAAUCUUAGGAGCAGGUCCUGUGAUAUGGGGAGUUUAUUUUGGUCGGUUAUGUUUGGUGUUGCUGCUUGGAGAAUUUGGUACUGGAGGAAUCAGGUGAUGUUUAACAAUAAGAACUGGAAUGGUGAUUUGAUCGUCUGGGAUAUUAAGGCAAGGGCUGAGAAUAUUUGUUCUACCCUAUCAAGCGUAGUCUAUCGAAGAAAUAGAAGGAUUCAGAAAUGGAUUCGUUGGGCUCCUCCACCAUGGCCUUUCUUGUGCUUAAAUAUGGAUGGUGCAAGGAAAGGAAAUGGAGAGGCGGGUGCAGGUGGUCUGCUGUGGGACUGCCAUGGUAAAUUUAUUCAUGGUUUCAACGCAAAUCUUGGAGUAUGUUCGGUUAUAAAGGCUGAACUUUGGGGUGUCUUGCAUGGGUUAAGAAUGCCAGAAUGGUAUGGGACCUUGGCUAUAGACGUAUCCAAGUUGGAAUAGAUAACUGUAGUGCGGUGCAGCUUAUAAAGGAGAAUAAUGCUAAUGUCAAUGAAUUUUCGAAUAUAAUCGAGAUGAUUAGGGAACUCAUGAGGAGGGAUUGGAGGAUUCAAAUUGAUUACAUCUACUGCGAAGCAAAUUCGGCGGCUGAUUUCCUUAUUACGCAUGCUUUGAGUUUGCCUGUUGGAGUGCAUUUUCUUCAUUCUAUCCUUUUAGGUUUGAGCUAUAUUUUGUAUUCGGAUAUGUAUGGGGUGGCACACCCCCGUUUUGUGCCCCUCUAGGUCUUCUAUUUUAGAGCCCUCUUUUUAUCAAAAAAAAAAAAAAAAAAAAAAGGUAGAACUGCCAAGGAAGGUUCCAUGAUGAUCUCUAGAAAUUCCCCCACAAGCAGAUAACCUAGGAUUAUUCUUACUAUUGACCUUUAUCAAAUUUGGAGGGGACGUCAUAUCACUGUAGCUAUUUUCGAAGCUUUUCCAAAGCUUGGAUCAUUAACCAACCGGGCAAAAAUUGCCAGAUCAUGAAAGUGUGCCACAGUACUCCCUAGGCAAGAUUGACAAAGAGUGAAUAUUAAAUUUUUACAGUAAGCCAUGGCAUUAUGAAAAGAGAGAUACAUCUUGAAAUCAAAUAUAUUCAUUUUUCGUUUUUAAAUUAUAGCUUAAUGUACUACAAGAAAUUUGACUUUUUAAGAUGAUAUUUUUUACAACGCUUUAAAAUUUGGUCACGAAAUGAUAUUAUUGUGAUGAAUUUAUGAAAUCAUAUCCGAUAAUUUUGUCCUGACUUGUGUUAUAUUUUGUGACCAAUAAUUUUAUUGUGGGACACAAUAUUUGGUAUCUAAUUCAACCUUUGUGUGACAAUCUUUAUUUUAGUCACAAAAGAACAUAGUAUUUUGGCGCAAAAAUUUCCCUCCAAAUUUGAAACAUUUUGGGACAAUAUUUCUUCAUUUAUGACCAAAGAAAUGGUCGCAAAAAUAUAAGUAUAGGCGACAACACUAUUUCGUAACUAAACAAUAAGUGUAAAUUUAACCAAACUAUCCAUGACGCAUAUAUUUGUGUCCAUCUUUUGGUCGUGGAUGAGUAAUUACAGUAACAAAACUAAAAGUAGUAGCCGAAAGUUUUGUCUUGAAUAAAUCUUUAUUUUUGUGACCAAGUUAUAUCAAUAUAUAGUAAAUAGAAGAAAAAAACAAAGAUCAGAGAUUGAUACAUUAACAAAACAAUCAUGGAAAUGAAGCCUGAUAAGGCUGGCACCGAUAUGAAUAUCGGACAAGAAAGCUUUCUGAAGCACCCCAAUAAUUAUGUUGGUUACAUUAGGGCAUGUGGAAGAAUAAAAAAAGGGAGACAGUUGAGCUUGAGAUGGUGAUGAUCCCUCUAGAACAAUAGCAACUACAAGAGCAGCUGCAAGAAGAUAACGCAGAGUGGCCAUUUGAAGAGAAUGGUGAUAGUGAGAGCUAUCCAUAACUCUCUUGCAUGACUAUUUAUAAUCUGAAGCAAACAGGAUUAGAACUUGCCAACAACCAAGAAGUUUCACAUUGUAUAUUGUAAAAGUCAACUGUUUUAAAAUAAAGUAUAGUAGCUUAUUGUGGGUGUUUUUGCACGUAUAUUUUAAUAUAGAAAUAAAUUGUUUUUGGUAAAUUUCAAAAUAAGUUGGGUAACUAAUUUUAAAAUAAUUAUGUUUUAAAUAACAAUAGUAAUGUAUUUGAUAUUUCGUUUGAAAGAAUUUAAUAAAAUUAAAGAUUUGUGGGGCCCGUCUAUUUUUUUAAAUUAAUAGUUGAAUUUUAAACGUGAACUUAUUGCCACUUGAGCUUUAACCGGUAGUGAAUUAUUGCCCUUAAAGUUAAGCAUGACUUUGAGGGUAAUGGUUCAAGUCCCCAUAGACUCAAAAAAUCUCUCUCAAUUAAGCUUCAUUGUGUGGAGAUAUUUGUAAAAAAAUUUUCCCUUGUGAAAUGCGAGUGGGGUAGAGGCACCCUUCUCAAUGAGAAUUAUUUAUCUGAGCAUGUAUUUUAUAUAAUUAAAUUAGUGUGUUACUUUUUCUUUCUCUUCAGCUAAACACUAAAUUUGGCUGCUCCCGAUCUGUCCUAGUUAUAUACAUGAUUAUAAAUAUCAGUGUAUUGCUUUUUCUUUCUCUUCAGCUAAGCACUAAAUUUGGCUGCUCCCGAUCUGUCACUUCAAAGUGUUGGUUGACUAAUUAUGUGGUUAAAUUGAUUGACUGUUUUUGUUACCUCGCAUUUGUAAAAGUAAUCAUAUUACAUAUUAAUCAACAGUGAAUGCGAAUACAAAUAUAGAAAUAAAAAAAAUGAUUUAACUAUGUAGAAAAAAUAAUUUGAUUAGUUAAACAUUAAAAAUGACGUGCCUUACAGUUAUUUAUCAUUAAACAUUCUUCAAUUUUCACUCUACAAUUAUAACCAUCAACUUUUACUCAAUUUUAUAAAUAUAUGUGUAAUACAAUAACCUGAUACUUAAUCAGUUAAAAAAAAAAAUAUGAACUUAUUUGGUGUCUGCAAAUUAUGAACCCAUUUUUUAUUUCGGUGAAAAAGAAAAUGUAGAAUGCAAAACAGAAAACGUAAAAUGGUAUGAUGAAAUAAUUACAUGAUAAAGUUUUUCCCUAAGAUUUAGUGAAAGCAUAUUUUUCUCCACAUAUACCGAUCCUCCCUGCUGUUUUAUUUAUUUAUUUAUUUUUAGUAUUUACAGAAACGAAACCAAAACUCUCCUCAGUCCUCAACCACAUGAGUGGUUGAAUCUAAAGCCACUUAAAGUUAAUAAUUCAUGAAAUGGUGCCUUUGUUUGGUGGCGGUCGCGGGGCCUUGGCCUCUGAUUAAUAUUAUUUCUUUUAGCGUGUAGAUUCCACAAAUCGAAACCCUUCGGAAUUUUAAUUAUUAUUUACUGAAAUAUCAUUUUGCCUAUGACUUCUAUAUUAUGCCUAUAGCUAGUGAUUGUUACAUAAUUCAUAUUAAAGUUAAUUCCAGAAUUGUAACUAUUUUAAUUAACUGAUGUAAGAAUAAUUCUUAACAAACAAAUUCAUCUAUGUACUCUUAGAUUAUAAAAGAUAAAAGACGGGUAAUUAAGUUUAAGAGAAAACUGAUUUUAUUAAAUUUCAAGGACGAAGCGAAAAAAAUAAUAAGAGACUCUAAUGAUAAAAAGAAUUUCUAAGAGAACGAAAGUAUCAUUCGACAAAUAAAUUUAGAUUCAUAAAUUUUUCUGCCUGAUCUAAUAUUAAUUCUUAGCGGCAAGCCUACGGCACAAGCCACAUAUAUGCAUAAUUUUUAUUGGUUAAAACGUGACAUUGAUGAUGUUGAAAGAACAAAUAAUAAACAAUAAUACAGUAAAACCUCCAAAUAGAAAUACUUUAUAUAUGAAUAAUCUCUUUAUAGUAAUAAAAAUUUGUGGUCCAAACUUGGGACCAGUUAUAAUUAAAAAUUAAUUUCACAUUGUAAUAAGUUAUAUUUUUUAUAAGUCACGACUUAAUAAACUUACUUUCACAUAGUAAUAAUAUUUCAAAAAUAUAUGCCAUGUUACAUUAAAUAAUUAUUAUUUUAUUAAUACAUGACAUAAUUUAUCCCUAUAUCACUUGCAUUAGAGAAAAUUAAGUAAAGACAAUAAUUUUUGUAUUAUACCUCUAUUGAGUUAUAAUUUCUUUAUAAGAAUAAAUUUUUCCGGUCUCAACAAUAUGAUUAUAUAGAGAUUUUACUGUACCAUGCUUUUUGAUGCGUAUAGAAAGCAGGACGUGAACACAAAAACACAAGUUUAAUUAAUUUAUUUGAAAACACAUAACAUGUUUCAGACAAGAAAAUUAGAUUAAACUCAAGUUUGUUAGUUAAUUUAUUUGAAAAUACAUAACAUGUUUCAGGCAAAGCGAUAAGAUUAAAUUCGAGUUUGUUAAGCACAAAAACUCUCUCGCAUAUGCUGCAAGCUAGCUUAUUAGAAAGAGCUGACCAAAUCACCCUCCGAUGAUGAUGAUCUUGUUGCAAUAUUACUGUUUCCAUUCACCCUCCUGCAGUUCAAUCUAAUCUCCCCUUGAUUUCCUGUCAGUGGUUUCAAAUUGCCCAUUCUUAUCAUUGAGGUCACAAAGUUUUUAAAGAAAGCAUUCUGGUUCCUCCCAAAGUCCUCGACAAUGGCAGCGGUAUCGGCACCGGGAGUCGAAAACAACUCCUGAUCACUCUGCAGAAGGCCUUUGCGGAAUCUAAGAUUGGAGAAGUAUUUGUUGUCGAAAACAUCAGGUGUUUUGACAUCAAAAUUAGCAAGAACGCCGCCGUUUCCACCUUGUGGGCAUAGUUCCCUCAGUUGCUUUAACAGGGUUCUGUCCAGUGUCGGGUCCGGCUUGCCAGUGUUGUUGAAAUCGUAUAAUCUGCCCCUGAAAAAUCGGCACUGAGCCCUUCCAAACGUGUGAGCUCCUGAAAAACAUGCAUGCCCAAUUUUGAGUUAAGUAUACAUAAAUUUAAGGCACCAACACUCAGUUCUUAAAUUAAUUUUUGAGUAUGAGUUACUAGUAGCAGGCAGUUUUGACUCCUAAAAGUUUACUCUCAUAACUUUACUCAAGUAACUAAAAGGAUGUAGAAGCAAUUAAUAAUUACCGGAGAGUGCAACAAGAUCAAACUUGUCAUUGAGGCCAACAUUUCUAAAACUAGAUUUCAGCUCAUCAAGAGUAUUAGAUGGUCCUGGUAGAUUCUGAUUUGCAAGAGCUCUGUUUGCCGUUCUGCUGUCUCUUCUUCCCAAUGGAACUGCCCAUGACGGACCCCCUGACUGUAACCAAAAGCCAUUCACUCAAAAUCAGCAAUAAUCUUAAGAGAUGUGUGUUUGGGAUGGACUAUUUAAUUUUGCUAGCCGUUGAAUCAAAACUUUGUCGUAUAACAAAAGAAGAAUACUUUUAAGUUUAAAACUAAGGCCUUGCUACGAUGCACCAGCGCAGUAAAAAGUGUCUCACUGUCGGUAACAAUUUAUCCGUUGAUAAUCACAAUAUUGACAUACUUGUAGCAAUUUUGGUACCAUACAGUGUAGCUGAUGCACCAUAGUCAAUAAGUCACCCCUUAUUUAAAAAUAAUGGGUCCAACGAUGAAUCCCUUCACUUAAAUCAAUUUCCACAUGGUGGGGCAAUUUUGUCGUUGAGUAGCAGACGCAAUAACUAGCAAAGGCUAAACAUUUGGACUCAGAUCUUGCACAUUGUUCUAUGUGAAUAAUUAUUUAAUUAAUAUAUUCUUCUAAGGAUAAAGUUGAACUUACGGGAUAUUUAAUUAACUGAAAAAAAUAAUAUAAAAACACGUUAAAUUUAUAUGGGUUAUUAUUAAUUAAACAAAUAGUUAAAAACUACAUUAAUACUGCAAAGAUUUACCAUUAUUCUGUUCGCUUAUUCUGAUACCCAUAUUAAUUUACUUCUAAGCGUAAAAUAUUAACUGGGAAGAGGAGUUGGUAAUAGAAAUUCAUUACCAAAGCAACGGAUCGUUCAGCCGCAAUAGUAAGAAUAUCAGCGCAGGAAACAACCCUUCGACAUGCCUUUUCAAUGGCAGCUUUCAUGUUAUCAAUAACUUCAAAACCCCUCGCCGAAUUAUUAUUUGGCGCAGCAAAUUUCUCGCUGUCUAUGGUGUUAGUGCUGUCCAGCAAAAUCGAUGCAUCACACCCCUGAAAAAAUAAUAUUAAUUAACAACUUGCUAUGUUAACAGUCCAUUGUAUUGUUACUUUUUCAAGUAGAUAGAUUCCUUCUUAUCUUAUGGACAGGAAUUCAAACAAAUUAUAUAAAUAAUGCAAACUCUUCUUAUUUAAAUUGUCUUAUUAUUACAUAUGUUUUUAAGACUAGGAUUUCCUAUUGAUUUAAAUUUCUCAGCUGGAAGAAUAUAAAACAAAUGUGAUUUUUUUUCAACCAUACACCAUUAAUAUUGGACCCAUGAUCAUUUUUUUUUUUGAAUACUGAUUAAUCAUCAGAUUACUGCAUUACACAGCUAUUUACAACAACUGCAAUUGUAGCAGAGAUAUUACACUGAUAUUUACAAUCAGAUAUACAUGAUUGGGACUUACAUUAUUACAUUGAAUUCUAUGAAGUACAUGCCCAGACAAAUAACCCCUUACAGGAGAGGGAUGUCCAUACUCCACUUGUAUUUCGCAAGGGAAAAAGAUUUUUUAAAUAUAAAGAAUAUUUAGCCCCCACAAUGCUUUUUGGGGCUAGAACCGUUGCCCUCACAAGCAUUGUGAGGGCAGCAGCCCACCACUUCGGCCUUAGCCGAAGUGGCGACCCAUGAUCAUUAAAAGCACUCAGCAGGGAUGAGGCCAUGAGGUGGAUUUUAUUUCCUGUUUUGUACCAAAUCUUUGCUAGAUUUAAAUUCCUGGUAACCUCCUCUUCCAUUACCAUCAAAGCCACCUCUUCCACCAGAAUUAGUGUUCCAAUUAUUUCCCUCAGCCUUGUUCCAGUUAUUUUGAGCAUUAUUAUUACCUUUCUUUGAAAAAUUUCCAACUUGAGCUAUAUUGGCUGCAUAGUUAUUCUUAAUUUCUUUGUUGUCAUGAAGCUUACUAUUGUCAAGUCUAGCCUACCUGUUUCUUUUAUCGUAUGUGUGAAUGUGGAGCAUGUGGCGUGUGGAUUCCACAUAUUCAAAAUCCUUCAUUUCAACCUUUUGGAACUUUUCAUUUGUUUACCGAAAUAUCAAAUAUCAUUUUGUCAGCUUACACAUAGGUAGAUGCGAGAUUGAGAUUCAGUAACGUUUAAGUCAUAGUUAUUAUAGAGAAAAAAAAUUAAUAAAUAAAAAUUAAUAAUAUGUUGUAAAUAUAAUAUUUAAAUAAUAAUUUGGCUAAAAGUAAUAAAUAUAUUAGAAAAUUUUUAUCAUAUAAGUGUGAGUUUAGAUCAUCUUAGUUUUUAAAGUAUAACAAUAAGUAUUUACUAAAUAAUUUAAUUAUGUAUUUUAAAAGAUACAUUUGUCUUAUUUUAAUUUCAAAUGAGGUCUUGAUUAAUUGAAACCUCAAGUGGGAGUUAAAUAAUUAAGAAAUGGCUGGAUGACUUUUUGAAAUGGGUAAAAAAUGAUUUUAUUAAUGAUCAUUGAAAAGAUAACUGUUGCUACUAAUGUUUUCUUUUAUGGGGAAAAAGGAUCAUAAUAAUUGCAAAAUGGUUUAGUGAAAUAGUACGGAGAUUCUAUUGGUUUUAGAAAUUAUAUAGGCUCUUUUUUGGUACACACAGACCAUAAAAUUGUCAAAUAGAUUUUUAAAAUUUGUUCAAAAAUAAGUUUUGUUAUCCCAUAAAAAAAGUAUGUAUGGCUAUUUUUAAAAGGCAAGUGCUAAGUUACAUGCAAUGUAACUUAAAUCACUCAUAUACUUUGCAUAUAACUGUUCAUGUGAGUGGGUGUAUGUUACAUUGCAUAUAAUUUAGAAGAAUCCUUUUUAAAAAUAAAAGAUUCUUCCCUACUAUUUUGUCAAAUUACGAAUAAUUGACAAAAAGUAGAAAGAAAUAUGUAAGAAAAAGGUGUUUUUUCGGUUAAUAUUUUAAAGCUAGAGGAUAAAAUGGAUCACUAAAAACUGGAAAGUGACUCAGAUGACAAUGCGUAUCGAUGACAUAGGAAAAAAAAAAUACACAUACUGUAUGACAAGGAUUUCUGAUACAUAGAAAGCAAGGAUGUGAAUACACAAACACAACCUUAGUUUAUUGAAAAUACAAAGCAUGUUUCAGGCAAAACAUAGGAGUAAAUUCACGAGUUUGUUACCCACAAACUCUAUCUCUCACAUGUGCUGCAAACUAGCUUAUUUAGAAAGAGCUGAUCAAAUCACCCUCUGACGAUGAUCUGGUUUCUAUAUUUCUGUUUCCGUUGACCCUCCUGCAGUUCGAUCUAAUCUCCCCUUGAUUGCCUGUCAAUGGUUUCAAGUUCCCCAUUCUUAUCAUUGAAACCACAAAGCUUUUAAAGAAAGCAGCCUGGUUGCUACUAAAGACACUGACAAUGGCAGCGGUAUCGGCACCGGGAGUCGAAAACAAUUCUUGAUCACUCUGCAGAAGGCCCUUGCCGAUUUGAAGAUUGAAGAAGUAUUUGUUGUCAAACAAAUCAGGUGUUGUGACAUCCAGAUUAGUUAGAACGCUGCCGUUUCCACCUUGUGGGCAUAGUUGCCUAAGUUGUUGUAAGAGGGUUGUGUUAAGUGUUGGGUCUGGAUUGCCAGUGUUGUUGAAAUUGAAUAAUCUAUCGCUAAAAGUUCGGCACUGAGCCCUUCCAAAUGUGUGAGCUCCUGAAAAACAGGCAUAGCCAAUCUUUGUUAUUUUUACUCAAAUUCAUACAAUUUAUGGAUAAUAAUUGAGUUUCAUUAUUUUCUUUUUGGGAAGCAAUUCAAAUUUCAUGAUGUGAUUAAGGGGAGUAAAUUUGUCAAACGUUUUAACAUAUUCCUAAUCACCAAUGUCAAACUUUAGAACACAAUUUCUUCGCAUCAUUAGGAUAUUCAGUCAAGCCUCCUAGGUGCAGUAGAGUAAGAAUGUGCUUUGUGUCGGUGGUCGUCUUAGUAAGAGUAAUAAUGAUAAAAGAAUUGAUAUUUAGUGGAGGAAAAUGCUAAGUAUCAAGAAGAACGAGAGAAAGACGAGAGAAUAAAGCAUGUGCUGAGAGAAGAGAGAGAGAAGGCAAAACGGCAGCUUGGAUUGUAGUUUCUCUCGUCUUUCUCUCGUUCUUCUUGAUGUUCAGCAGCACUCGUUAGUGGAUGAGAUUUCUCAUCCUUAUCAAAAUUUAUUUUUUCUUUUUAAAUAAGAUAUUCAACAUUUAGGAUCAGACUAUGGUGCAACUGUUGUACCGUGCCACAAUUGCAUCCAGCCGUUGGAUGCACUUAGAUUGGUGGGGUCUACUGGCAUCCAACGACUGGAUGCAACUGUGGCACGGUACCACAGUUGCACCACAGGUUUCCCCCAUCAUUUAAACUAUCUCUAUGAUUUCAAGACUCAAUAUUGGCAUUAAAAAAUUUUCCACCUCCAGAUUUCUAAUUCUGUCUCCAGUACUGCUUUAUCCCAAAAGACUCCUAGGUCUGUUUGUACUCAAGUCAAAGGGUGUAUAAGCAAAUAUUACCGGAGAGUGCGACAAGAUCAAAAUUAUCGUUAAGGCCAACAUUUCUGAAUCUAUCUCUGAGCCUCUCAAGACUAUUGUUCGGUCCUGGAAGAUUUUCAUUUGCAAGAGUCCUGUUUGCUGUUCUGCUGUCUCUUCUUCCCAAUAGAUUUGUCCAUGAAGGACCCCCUGACUGUUACCAAAACCACGAUCAUUAGUCAAAAGCAUCACUUGAGAGAUGCAUAAUAAACAAAUUUAACUAAAAUCAGAAAUAGACAUGCAAUUAAUCUUUCCGACUCUAUUUGGCUAAUAUUUAUGUGGUUCUUGUUGCACCCAAAAUUAGCAGUUUCCCGACGUUAUAAUUUUGAGUGAACGGUUCAACCAGACUGUAUCAUAUAAAGAAGAUUUUUUUUUUUUUUUUCAAAAUAUAUACUGGAACCCAACACGUAAAACUGAUGUGUCUUCGAUGAAUCUCAUCACUUUUUUUUUUGUCUGGGGGCGCCGGGGGGGGGGGGGGGGGGGGGGAGAAGGAUAGCCUUCCCUUUUCAGUUUUCAUACGGUAAAGUUUGUCCAGGCACUAUCACGAAGUCAACAUGGUAAUGUCGGUGGACUGUUGCCGCCUAAAACUAAGCACGUGGAUUCAUUUAGUUAAUGUACUCAGGGUCUAAAAAUUCCAACACGAAUGUAAAGUCAAACUUACUCUCUGAUACCAUAUAAAUUUAAUCACUUUUAAGCUUAAAAUAUGUAGUCGAGCAAGAUGAGGAGUUGUUAAUAGAAAUUCACUACCAGAGCAACAGAUUCUUCAGCUGCAAUAGUAAGAAUAUCAGCACAGGAAACAACGCCUGGACAGGCCCUUUCAACGGCAGCUUUCAUGUCAUCAACAACUUCAAAACCCCUCGCCGAAUUAUUAUUUGGCGCAGCAAAUUUCUCACUCUCUAUGGUAGUAGUAUUGUCCAGCAAAAUCGAUGCAUCACAGCCCUGAAAUAACAUCAAAAACUUGUUGCGAUCAACUGCUGUUGUAUCGUUAAUUUAAUAAUUAGGUAUACGAUUAAUAAAAAUAAUGCAAACUUGUGCAUUUUCUUUUUGGAUAAACGUACAUAUAUACAAAUUGUCUUACUGCAAUAUAAGUUUUUAAGACCAGGAUUCCCUCAUGACGUAAGCUUUUCUUAAGCUUAAUUGUGAUUAUUAGAAGUUAAGGAUAUAAGUGUACGUAGUUAUAUUUCAAUCAUAUAUUACUAAUAAUGGACAUGUUACACAAGAUUUUUAAAAAUACUAUGCAGAGUUCAGAUUAGGAGAGGACUUUAAUUCAUGUUUUACAAUAUUAAUUGAAGAAGAAGAAAAAUGAAAGAGUAGAGAUUGAUCACAUUAACAAAACAGUCAUGGAAAUGAAGCCUGAUGAGGCUGGCACCGAUACGAAUAUCGGACAAGAAAGCAUUCUGAAGCACCUCCCGAAUUAUGUUGGUUACAUUAGGGCAUGUGGAAGAAUAAAAAAAGGGGGAAAGUUGAGCUUGAGCUGGUGAUGAUCCCUCAAGCACAAAUGCAACUACAAGAGCAGCUGCAAGAAGAUAACGAAGAGAAGCCAUUUUGCAAUGAUGAGAAUGAGAGUUAUUUCUGAGCCUUCUAUGUACGCGACUCUUUAUUUAUAGCCAACCAAACUAAACAGGAGUAGAACUUGGCAACGUCUUCUAUAUUCGCGCCUCUUUAUUUAUAGCCAACCAAACUAAGAAGUUUCACAUUGUAUUGUAAAAGUCUACUGUUUGAAAACAAAAGCUUAACUUAUAUGAUGAGAUAAUUACAUUAUCGAUUUUCUCCCUCUAGUUUGGUGAAAGCAUAUUUUUCUCCACAUACUUUUGAGGUGGUAACGAUCAUUUAUUAGUUGCAUCUCAGUAUUCUAGAAGUAUGUCAAGUGUAGCUCGGUUGAUUGUGAACGUACUUUGUGUCUGUGAUCACCCGAGUUCUAAUAAUAAUAUAGGGCAAAGGUUGUUAUUUAGUGGAUGAGAUUUCUUAUCUCCAUUAGAACAUUUUCUUUCAUUUUUCUUAUUAGACAAAAGAAAAUGUAAUACAACAUGGAUAUUAAAAAGAUAAGCUUAUGUAAUUCAUCUCACUAUUGGAUCUAACUUUUAAAGUAGGUAAAAUAUUUUUUAUCUUACAUGUAACUUAAAAUUCAAAUAAAUCUGACAUGUUAAGGUAAAAAAGGAGAAUAAUUAAGUAAAUAAUUUUGACUAAGACAUUUAUUUUUAAAUAUUUUUUUUAAAAUACAAAGGCUAGAUAGAUAAUUGUCUCAAACCUUAAAAGGUCAAAAGAACAUUUAUCCCAAAAAAAAAAAUGUGAGGAUAUUUUCACUGCGCUUUUUAUGUAACAGCACCAUGUCUUUUUAUAUUUUUAUAAUUACGAUUUUAUCCUUUAAAAUAAACUAUUCGAAACUCGUGCACUUAUCCUUAAAUCAUAUAUGUUUAACCAAAGAGAAUGAACGGGAAUUUUCUACGAAAGAAUUAGAUUUGUCAGUUUAAGAAAAUACAAUCACUACUAGAAAAAUGGACUUUACUGACACUUCGUUACUGACACUUUGCAAAAAGUGUCAGUACUUAUGUACAUAUGCACCAUUUUCCGCUUUUGACAAAUAGGAAUCAGAGAUUAAUGAUACUAGGGUGUCAGUAAACUAAACAUCAAAAAUCACUAACACUAAAGUAUCAAUGAUAAAAAAAAUUCAUAAAAAUUUUGUUUUAGCUCCAACUCGAACCUGGGAGCUCUAAGAUUUAAAGCUUUAAUGUUUGGAGCACAGACCAUCAAAUCUCGAUGAGUCAAAGUCAUAAUAAUAUUUAAAUUAUUAAAAAAUGAAAAUAUAAAUAACAAUAACAUAAAACACACUUGUUCUCCCCAUCUAGACUAUAUCGACUGUCUCUAUCUUGCUUUCAUCGUUCACUUUCGCUUUCGUUUUUCUCUUCUCGAUCUCUUCUGUUUUGCACUAUCCAUUUACAAAUUAAAUUCAAUUAAUUUAGAUAGAUAAUGAAAACCUAAAACUCUGAUUCGUUUUUCCAUUUUCCCCAAAUUGAAACACAAACCAAAACCCUAAUCGCUUGUUAUCGAAGGGGUUUUUCUCCAACUUAACCAUCCAGUGCCUAUACUAGGCAAGCAAGUAAAAGCCAUCGACAAGGGGUGAAGUGGCACCAUCGGUUCGGUAUUCAGGUAAUCUCAUUCUCCCUGACAAGUUAAGUCCAGAGAAAGAACUGUAGAGGAGGUUAUCAGCUGGUAAUGGCAGAAUGUUUUAUUUGUUUGUGCAAUUUAAUUAUUGGGUUUGUUUUAAUUUGGCUUAUGAAUAAUAUUUUUGAAUUUUUAUUUUUGGGUUGUUUCAGAUAUUCAGAAAUUGAACAGUCGUGCAACCCUGGUGGGUUUUGUUUUCCAAAUAUUUUUUUUAUUUAUUUAUUCGUAACUUGAAAUUUUUGUUCUUAUUUUUCUAUAUCUUCACUCACAUGCAGUCCAAAAAUACAGGCAUUUUAAGUGGUGCAUUACUUAAACUCAAAACACUUGCUGCUGCGACUCUGUUUUUUCUGCCACAUUUGAGGUCAGUUUCAAACUUUUGUGCAUGUGAUUUACUGUCAUUGUUAUUUAAAACUAAGAAUGUGCAUUUUUUUUAGUUUCUGAAAUAAACUGUUAGCUCCGUUUCUUAACUUUGAGCAAUAAGUUAGUUGAUUUUGAAUGUACUAAAAUAUGAAAUUUGAUUUUAGCUUUUGCCUUUGUGAUUAGGAGAUGAUUGUUUGGGUGUUAUAUUGGCUGAAUGACUGUGUAUUUAGUGGUUACAAACUAUUUACAUCUCUGUUUCAUGUAAAGAGAGGCAAAUUUUGUUAUAUAAUCCUACUUGUUUAUUUAUUCUGUUUUGGUUGGACGAUUUGUAAUAGAGACAAUGACUAUGAUAUGAAUUAAUUAAGUUCGUGGUUGUGAGUAUUGUGAGAUUGUAUAAAGUUGAUGAUUUGUGUUUGAUUCAAUAAAGAAAUGCUUGUUUUAAAGUAGUUCUGCAUGUUGUUUUUGAAGUUAAAAAAUGAUUUAUAGAAUCUUAAAAAAUGGCUUGCAAAGUGGUAUGAAGACAUUAUUUAUUUGAACUCUUAACUUUUGUUAGUUACUUGACUUAUGAAUUAGUUCGACUACUUAAAAAGCCAUUAGCACCCAUCUUACCUAUUAAUCUCCUAUUUAAGUUUCAAAACUUAUUUUGUUUCAAUUUCAGGAUUUUGUCUAAAUUAUUAUUAUAAUUAAUGAUUUAUAGGGCUAUUAAUGAUUUUCCAGAAUUAUAAGUUUAUUAUUACAACUAUAAUCAUAAUAACAUUGAACUUUAAAUUAAUCAUGCAAUUUAAUUAAACUUAAACUAACAUUACAUAUGUGAACAGGUAAAAUAUUUGAAAUGGACAGAAGUUGGAUAACUUGUGAUAGAUUGUCUGUAGAGUAUCGUUCUGGAGUUGCUGAUUUCUUAGAUUUUGCCAUUUUGAAUGUUGAAAAUCGAAUGUCAAUUAGAUGUCCUUGCACCUUUUGUUGUAACAUGGAGUUUCAUACUCCUCAACAAGUGAAGGAUCAUUUAUUUGAAAAAGGUUUUCUCCCAAGAUAUAUUGUUUGGACUUGGCAUGGUGAGACUGACUCUAAAUCUACAUUUACAAACUGUGAAGACCAUUCACAUAGUCAAAGAUUUAGAUGUCAUGAUUACAGUAAUAUAAUUGACAUGGUCGAAGAUGCUUACGAGCAUUGUGAUAGAGAUCCUAGUUCUUUUAAGGAUAUGCUUGAAGAUGCUGAAAAGCCUUUGUACCCGGGUGCAAAACAUUCAAAGUUAUCUAGUUUAAUGAGACUUUACAAUGUGAAAGGGAACUAUGGGUGGUCCGAUACAGGGUUUUCUGCUUUGUUAGAAGUCCUUGCUGAUAUUUUUCCAAAUAAUAAUACUCUACCUAUGUCAAUGUACGAGGUUAAGAAAACAAUGAAAGUGUUAGGCUUAGAGUAUGAAAAAAUACAUGCAUGUCCAAAUGACUGCAUUUUGUAUAGGAAUGAAUUUGCUGAUCUUGCUGAAUGCCCAAAUUGUGGAGCAUCUAGGUAUAAAAAAAAAAAAGAUAGCUCAACAAAAUUUAGGAAAGGGGUUCCUAAAAAGGUAUUAUGGUAUUUUCCACCUAUUCCUAGGUUGAAAAGAUUGUUUCAAUCACCACAAACAGCUCAAAAUUUAACAUGGCAUGCUAAUAAAAGAAUUAGAGAUGGCAAACUUCGCCACCCAGCAGACUCACCAGCCUGGCAACUAAUUGACAAUAAGUGGCCAAAAUUUGCACAAGAACCUAGAAAUCUCCGUUUAGCUCUCUCAACUGAUGGGGUUAACCCACAUAGUACACUUAGCACUACUUAUAGUUGUUGGCCUGUUAUAUUAAUAACAUAUAAUCUUCCUCCAUGGUUGUGUAUGAAGAGAAAGUUUUUGAUGUUGUCACUUUUGAUAUCUGGCCCUAAACAACCUGGAAAUGAUCUAGAUGUAUACCUAGCACCUUUGAUUGAGGACUUAAAAACUCUAUGGGAUGUAGGUAUUGAUGUUUAUGAUUCUUAUAGAAAAGAAACCUUUAAUUUACGGGCUGUCUUGAUGUGGACAAUUAGUGACUUUCCAGCAUACGGAAACCUCUCUGGUUGUACUGUUAAGGGCUAUUAUGCUUGCCCAAUUUGUGGGAUAGACACUUGUGCAUGUUGGCUGCCACAUAGUAGGAAAAUGUCAUAUAUGGGCCAUCGCCGCUUUCUACCACUCGGUCACCUAUUUCGGAAACUGAAAAAGGUUUUUAAUGGGAAGCAAGAGUGGAAUGAGCCUCCUAAAACUUUGUCUGGUGAGGAAAUCUUUAAUAUGGUGGAAGAUAUAGAUAUUAAGUUCGGGAAAAAGAAGGCCAAAAAGCGGAAACAUGAUGGCGGUGGUGGUGGUGGUGGUGAUGAGAACAUAACUGAAAAAUUGUACAAAAAAAAGUCAAUCUUUUUUGAGUUAGAUUAUUGGAAGCAUUUAUUAGUUCGCCAUCAAUUAGAUGUCAUGCACAUUGAAAAAAAUGUGUGCGAAAACAUAUAUGGCACAUUACUUCAUCAACCAGGCAAAACAAAAGAUGGGAUUAAUGCUAGAAAAGAUCUUGAGUCUUUGAAGAUCAGGGGAAAACUAGUUCCUGAUGAAACAAAUAAAAAAAACAAAGUCCUACCUCCAGCUCCUUAUACUUUGAGUAAAAAAGAAAAAAAACAGUUUUGUGAAACCUUGCUGAGUGUGAAAGUCCCUGAUGGGUAUUCUUCCAAUGUCCAAAACCUUGUUUCAAUAGAUGAUUGUCGGCUUCAAGGCCUUAAGUCCCAUGACUGUCAUACUUUGAUGCAACAAUUUCUACCACUAGCCAUUCGAAACUGUUUGCCUAUAAAUGUGAGAACGGCCAUAAUCAGGAUGUGCUUCUUUUUUAAUACAUUGUGCUGUAAAGUGGUAGAUCCUAAUACUCUUGACCAAUUGCAAGAGGAACUUGUAAUCAAUUUUUACUUUGUUUAGUGCCCACUGGGUGUUAUUGGCAAUUGAUAUGGUGAGACGUACAACCUAUUACCUUGAUCCUUUGGAAGGUAGUCCUGAUGAAGAGCUAAUGCAGAUUGUCAAUCAGUUAAGUUUGUUAUUUGUAUCUUUGAUCAUGCUAUUUUAUUUUUAUGUCUUAUGCUAAUUAUUUGCUAACGUUAGCUAUGUCUCUUAAUUGUAGGGGGAUUCGAAUACAUCAGAGUUUAAAUUCUGAUACAAAGGCCAAUGUUCAAUGGAUACCUGUCAAGGUAAAAAUCAGACAAACCUAACUAAUUAUUGUUAACGUACAGUAAAAAAUUAAUGUAAUUUUGAUCUUGUAGUGUCCGAGGCAGCCGAGCAGCUUUGAAUGUGGUUACUAUGUGAUGAAAUACAUGCAAGAUAUCAUCACAAAUGUGAACGUUCUGAAAAAUAAUGUAAGUAUUGAAAAUGAUUUUUACAAUACUGUAUCAUAUUGUUUUAAUUUAUUGUGAAAUGAAUCAGCUCAAACACCUGUGUGCUUCUUUACAGUUAUCUUUUUAUUGCGUAUUGUAUGCAUUUUAUGAACUGUGAGGGUACUUAUAAUGGUGACUAUGUUGCAUACUGUUGAAUAGAUUAUAUGAAUAUCCAUAUAGACAUGAAUUAGGAUUUGGGAUAUACACAAUGUACUGCAUAUCCCAACACAAAACAAUUGUUUGGGUUGCAAAGUAGUUGUUAGUGGGGAUGUGCUAUGGUGUCGUUGCUUGUACUUUACUUUGAUGAGGAUAAGUUGUCAUCCUAAUUAAGGUUUUGUAUGUACAUCCAUAUUUGUAUUAAAUCGCGUACUGUUGGGGUUCACAAGUUGCUUCGGCUAUCAAAUAUUGUUGUUGUUGGGGUUCACAAGUUUUUUUUUUUGGAAUUACCAUGAUCAGGAUGUUCAGUAUUUACCUAUAUAAUUUUGGAUAAAACAGUAACAUUGUUGGAGUUUAUUUGUUGGCUUUAAUUGUUAACACACAAAUGUAUUUAAAUGAAUGAUAAUUAAGUAGUUUAGUCAAGGAUUUUCGGUGAAUAACUUGUUGUUUUAAAAUUAAAGUUCAAGGGAGUUGAGGAAUACACUGUCAAAGACCUCUCGCGACUUCGUGAUCAGUGGGCUACAUACGUUGCCAAGUUAAUUACAGCCUACAAUCGCGAGGUAACAUACAAGUAAUUUAUGAUUAUUUUUCCUUAAAACAAAUCUGUGAUUUAUUUUUUGUGGUGUGCUAAUUGAUUUUAUAUACUUGUAGGUGGAAAAAAAAUGAAGGCAUAUGCGGACUCCAAAAUCAGUGACAUUGUUAUUUGUUUUUUCUUCUUGGCUAAAUUCUCCGAAAUUAAUUUAGUACUUUAUCGUGUAUACUACUUGUUCAAAGCUUAAUUUUGUACUUGAACAUGUUUUUUACCCCCAAACAAUGAUGUAUUUGAACUAUUUUAAUUUAACUAAUGUAUUUGAAAUGUGUAUUAUGUGAAUUGCAUUACAAGAUUUGGUAUGUUUAAUAUAUUUUGGGUUUAUUUUAAUUGUAAAAUAAACAUGAAUAAUGUCAUUAAAAAAAAUAAAACACAACCGGUAUAGCACCGUUAAUACUGACACUAAUUAUUUAAAUGACGAUAAGAAUUUUUUAUGUUACUGAGUCAGUGGAUUCCUGAUACUGUAGUCACAUAAAUCAGUGACAUGUAAAUAGUAUCAUUAAAUGCUAACGCGAUUGAGUCACUAUCCUUGUGACUCUCUAGUGACACAAAAUACUGACAUAAAAAUAGUAUCAACUGAUACUAACAUCAUAGUAUCACUAUGGUGGUGAUACUAUAGUGACACAAAAUACUGACGCAAAAAUCACUGACACCAAAGAUUAGUGUCAGUGUGUUCUGGCUUGAGCAUUACUGACACAAUUAACAAGUGUCAGCAAAAGUAAUUACUGACACUAAAUUGGUGUCAGUAAAGCCCAUUUUUCUAGUAGUGAAUAUUUAUCUUCUUGCUUUCCUUAUAACUUUCAAGGAAUAAUUCGCUGAAUUGUGAGUAUAUAGUUUUAUGGAUGGAAAAUUAAGAUGAAUAUCCAACUUCAAUUUAAAAAUUUUUUUUAUAUACUGCUGAGCUGGUUUCAUAACUGAUGAAAAUUUUGCUUUAUUAGGCAAGAAAAGUUUAAGAUUUUACAGUUAAUAUAUAUAGUAUUUUCUAUUAUGUAUGUACAUGUUCUCCCCAGCCGUGUGUUCUCAAAGAAUUGGCAAAAAAACUAAAAUGCAUUUUGAUUCAGAAACUACUGUUUGUGCAAUUAGAUGCUGCAAUGUAUGUCAUUUAUAUAUGGACAUGUCUUUCUUUUAAAUAAAAUGAUUCAUGGCAUGGCAAUAUUGGCAGAGUAGUUUAUGUACGUCCAUUUUGAUGCCAUUGAAACUUUAUUGAGCUACAAAGCAAGAAGUGCACCAUUUUUAGGCAUUAUGUAAGUUCAUCAUGAUUGCUUCUGACUCCCCCUUCAACUUUAAUGAGUCAUGUAGAUUAUAAAAAAUGAAGUUUUACCACUAACUAAAGGGAAAAGAAAAACGUUGGGCACGUAUGCUGCCGAAAAAUGUGUAGAAAUGGAAAAUCUAUUUGCCUACCUGCAAGGGUAAUAAUUGAUUCAGGGGGGCUUAUUUACAAAAUAAUAUGUUUUCAAUGAUUGGCAUGUGUGCAAUUAUAAUUGGGGUGCUAUUUCUAAAAAGCAGGACUGGAAAUAUCAGUAAACCAAAAAAAAAAAAAGUUCAAACCAGAACCACACUAAAAGUGAAAGUGUUUUUUGGCCAAACUUUGUGCAAAACAAUACGCAAUUGGCCCCUAUUGUAGUUUUCUGGUGACUAAGGGUGAGAAAUUAAAGAACAAUAGCUCCCCAUUUGUAAUAUCCAAAAUUUCAUUUGUUUGUGAAAAAAAAAAAAACAACUUAAAUUCCGAUCGACUUAAUUAGGUUUGAAGAAUUCAGCAUUGAUAAAUGAUAAUGUUGGAUUUAGUCCAUGCCAUGCGAAUGUCGACAGUAUGUGGCGUGUGGAUUCCACAUACUCGAAAGUCGAAACCUUUCAUUUCAACCUGGUAGACUUUUAUCCUUUUUUCUUUAUUUUGAAUUAUUAUCUUGUCAGUUUAUAGAUAAUUAAUUAAUUGAUUGAAGCACAAGUAGUGUUAAAAUAAUUAAUUACGUGAUGAAUGACAUUUUGAAAAUGAUAUGUUUUUGCCAUUUUUUUUUUAGAAUGUUAUGCUGUUAAUUUUUUUCGUAUUUGUUUUAAAAAAUGAAAAUUGAUGUUUAUUUGUGAUUUCAAAUCUCGCCUCUGAUAAAGUAUUUUAAAAAUUGUAAUCUUAAUAAAUAAAUACCAAACUGGCUUUUGAUUCCCGGAUCUUUUAUUUUAAGUUAAGAGAAUUAAUAAUUGAACUGAUUUGAAAUUUUGAACGCACAAUCUAAAGAAGUUUUCAAUAAAGAAAUAUGUUUAAUAUAAUAUUUGAAGAAAGAAAAUGUUACGCAACAAGUACAAAAUCGUAAAAGCAACAUUAAUUUGUGCUGCUUAAGCUUUCAACUUUUCUUCAAGAAAGUAAAAAGUAAAAAGUAAAAACUCCAUUUCUGUCACUUUCCAUAAAUCCUUCAACAACUUACCGAAUUUUAUUCUGGCCUUAUUCUAUCUUUCCUUUUUUUUUCCUAUUUAGAUGGAAAAUGGUGUUUAGUUUAGUGAUGAGGACAAUAUCUAAUAUCUGCCAAAAAUAGAAAAAUUAUCCCAAAACUACUUUGAAAGAACUUUGGGAUAAUUAAUUAAAUGUAAUUGAUCAAUUUUCACAUCUUAAACUUUAAACCCAUAAAAAGUCAGACUCAUAUAUAAGUGAGUUUAGACUAUCUUUUUAUGUGAUAAGAACUAAAAGAAAAUGUUCGACUUACACGUGACAAUGAGUGAUGGGAAUCGAAGCAUAUCUCACAACUUUUCUAUAGCUAAUAAAACUAUAGCGUUUUUUCAUGCUCUUGUAGGUGGAGACUCAUAAAUAUUUUGAAUUCACUUGUACGAACAAAUUUGAAUUACCUUUGCAUUUCCAAAAUGAAUACUCCUAAUUGAAAAAAAGCGAAAAAGAAAAAAAAACAUAAAAAUUAUAUGUUCUUACUAAAACUUCAAAAAUUUCUUGGGAAUAGUUAAAUAAUCAAAUACAUUUGAGGCAUCAAACAACAAACUUCGACCAUAAUCGGAUUGAUUUUGCAAUUAAACACAACGGAUUUUGUUUCUAUAUAUCACCGAAAGUUUAAAGACUUAACAUAUUAUACGAGUAUUGUAAUUCAAUUAGUUAUUCUCCCACAAAAUGCAUGUCCUACGUACAUCAAGAUUUUUUUUUUUCCUUGGUCCUGCCCUUGAAUUUUGUACUGAGCUUAAAAAUGGUUCUUAAUUUUUCCUUUUGUUUCGAAACUCUCACCUCCUGCUCUUAUUAUUAUUAUUCAGCCUUCUGGUACGUAACUGAGACCAAAAAUGUCUGUGGUCUCAUUAUUUGCAGUUUAAUUAUAUUUAAAAUGAGACGAUUUAAUAACGCGUUUUCAUGAAGUGUAUAUAAUAUAAUAUGAAUAUGAUUACGACAUUACCUGAAAUUUAAGGAACUGAUAAGUACAUAACCUGUUUAAAUAAUAUUGUAUGGAAGAUUUCCGAUUAUAAUUUAAAAUAGAUGUUUCUUUCAAUCUUUGUCUAUAAUUCAUUGUUCAUAUGACCCUACGUCAAGAAAAUAAAAUACAGAAUAUCUAAUAUCUGAUAUCUCUAUCCAUAGGCAAAUAAUUUCAGGAUUUUCUGGUUAACUUGUUAUACAAAGCGUUGAGAUGUGAGUAAAUUACAUUUGGCCAUUAUGUCACCAAAAUAUGUCUUUUUUCUUUUUGGCUUAGAUUAAAAUUAUUGUGCUAAUAUUCCUAAAUGAUCUUAAAACUAAAAGUUUGUCGAAUGACAAGAUCUUAGUUAGUUGUUUGUUUGUCAAUAAAUUAGUUAACCUAUUUUGUAAUCUGAUGACUAAGCUGUAUAUUUUUUGCUCACUCAAAUACAGGCAAAUCUUCAAUGCUUGGAAACUCUUAUUAAUAAAGAAAUGCAAAUAGCUCUUCUCAAAUUAAAUAAAGACCAAUUACCCAACAAUGCUUACUAUUUUCUUAUGUAACGUGAUUGUGCUAAUAAAGUUAGGUGGGGAGAAGAUAUCUUUACACCUAUCUGGAAGCAUGCGCCUGUUUGGAGGGUAAGAAAAUGAUAGAAAUUAAAUGCCAAAGAAAUAGAUGAUGCAAAGAAAGAGGAUAUAUUGUUGAUAAUUGUAUGAGUUGACUAGCCCAUUUUACACGUGGAAAGUGGCUUCGGUUGGUGCAUGCAUGAGAUUUGUUUGAUUUUAGAUGAUGAUUUCAAUCAUUCGGUUUGAAUUUAAAAUUUUUAAUAAGUUAGAAAUAACGAUGCGGCACGGUAUAUGCGUGGAAUAUAUCUCCCUUUGGACUUUUACUUUUUCAUGAUUUAAAUUAAUCAAUCUUGCGAUUUAUUUAUAUCUUUAUGUGAGCCAAGUGUACAAGGUACUUAUAUUUUAAGAAUUUUAAAAAGGUCGGUGAAAAACAGAUUUUUAAAUUUUAAUUUUGAUAAUAAAUUUAAUCCUUAAUGCAAUUCUACCUAAGUAGUUUUGUCUGAUUUACUUUUAAAUUCCAACAAGAACAGACAAGUCUAAUUACCUACUUCAAGUGAAAAGUGCGUUGAGUGAAUUUCAACAUAAAUAAGGAUGGUUUGAAUAAUUUUUAAAAACUCAUAAGCUAAUUGCAUAAUUAGCCGAAACCUAAAAGAAUAAAAAGAGUGUUUACCCAAAAAAAGCUAAUAAUUAUUGGACUAAACUAAAAGCUCUUAAUGCUUUCCAAUCGUCAACGUUCUCCGAAUUUGCCAGUCCACGAUUAUGCAUUCUCAUUAAUUUCAAUCUUGCUAAUGAACGUGAGAAAUCAGCUUGAUAUUCAUUUUACUAUUCCAUUAUUUUAAUUAAAUUUGAUUAGAAAAGAUUUGCAUUAUAAUGAAGAUUUGGUGAUUGAAAUUCUUUGUAAAAUCUCUUUGGCGAUUUGAGUUUGUUUGUAAAUCUUGGUAUUGUUUAAUGUACAGGAAACCUAAGUUUCAUUACAAAACACCUAAAAAAGGUCAAAAUCCGUCUAAUUUUUCAUUUAGAUAAUUGAAAAUGGUGAUUCAUAUGAUUAUCCUAGAAAUUUGUUUUUUAUGUUUCCUGAUGAUACAUUGAUAGACUUAUCAUUGCAAUAUCUUGAUGAGUAUCUCCCCAGGCUUGUCGCUGGAGUCCAUCUUCUCUAUUAGUAUAUUUGGAGUUUAAUGUCACCGGGUAAGUGUUUUGCGCAACGAACCCAUACGGUACUUAGACAACUCUUGCCGAAGGUUGCUAAGUAAGCAUUUGAGCUUUUCAACUAGCUAAGCUUAGAGGUUUUCGAAGAGUUAGAGAUAAGAGAGCAAUGGAGCCGAAAGAGUGAAAUUGUAUUACUCACAAGAGAGAUUACAAGAGAGCUUACAAGAAUGCUUGAAUUGCUUACUCUAAGCUUGUAACUCAAAUGCCUAAUGACAUGCCCUAUUUAUACGGGAGGCUUGCCAAGCUCUACAAUUCUAGAGAAUUAUACCAAGUCGCUUAGAAUUCUAGAUAUUUACAUAAGUUAGAUAUGUGUAGAGAAUUCUAGAUAUGUACAAGCUUGAGUGUGCUAAAGUUGUCUAGAAAUUUCUGGAAUCGGGUCAAUCUAGCACUCUUGACCUUCUCUUGGGCUCUUGGCCUGGAAUUGUGGACAAUUGGGCUAGCAACUUGAGCAGUUCGCAACAUUAAGAUCACUUUCUUAACGAAAUCUCUUAUAUGGGCUCCAGUUUCUUCAAAAGGUUAUUGUCUUAGAAUAAAAUAUAGUAGUGGCUGCAUGUAUUCAAUGGCGGUUGUGCACGUUUCCAUUUUAGUUGUUCAUGUUCCUAUUUUCAAGCAAUUUUCCUCUUUUGUAGUUUUCAAUCUCUUGGUAUGUGUACAAGUCUAUUUAAGAGGCCUUAUUGAACUUGUACCGGGGAGAAUAAACAUUGUCUUUUUCCUUCUAAUCAAUUCAUAUUCCUUCUCUGUUUCUCUGGCUUCCCUUUCUGAACUGAAAAUUACUUAUCAAUCUCACAACUAUAGAUUACGGAAUUCUCCCACGUUAUAGAGCUACAGGUCCACCGAAAACGAACAUUUCUGCACUCGUGUUGGAUUUGAUUGAAUCCCAGACGCAAUGACUACAAGUUGGUUUCGAUUAACUCAUUUCGCUACAAAAGCACAAAUGAUGCGUGCUUGCAUUUGCAUGAAUUCUCACUUUGUACAGUAUAUAAAACCUAAGUACUAACUCUUGGAGGGAAUUAAUAUGCUUCGAAUCAAAUCAUUUUGAUAACUCUUUUAAUUCGCCGUGCAAAAGCUUGGAUGGACUUUUUACUGUUCAUCGAAUUUGAGUGAUAAUAGUAACUACGUGCCUAAUGAUUAUUUCAUUUGACAUGGCAAUGAGGUGUUCCAAGAGAUUUAGUGCCCAUUCAGUAUUGUUGGAUCACCUUUUGUGAUGAUCAAAAGGUGAUAUUAUAUGAACCGCACUUGGGCUUAGGAGGAAUGAUGUUUUUUUUUUCUUUUUUUUUUGUGUAAAAUCAGGCUCUCCAAGUGAACAGCUGCUGUUGUAUGAUCCUGAUAAGUGGUACCCAGGAAUUGAGAGAUCUUGGACUAAGAAAUUUUUCUUUUUCGGUUUAUAAAUUUAAAGAGAGUCUAAUUCCUGUCAAGGGAGAAGAUCGAUGUAUCAAAUAGACAGAUGAGGAUUCUGACAUGAUAUGAGAAAAUUAUAUCUGCUCUCCGAUGAUAAUAGGCGUGCUUUGCUCUUCAUGACGUCAAGCUUUCGAUGAAAUGAAUCAAAUAGUAACCUAUUUGGCAUCGUUAAUCCUUGAAUUUGUAUCAAAUUUUAGUGAAUUUCAAUUUAUCAAUAGUUGUUUUGUAAGUUGAUCGAACACAUCCGUUGUUUAGAUUUGAUAUUAACGAACAUGAAGUCGAAAGCUACGCUUAAUUAACAAUUUAUAUUUGCCUUUCUUUUUAACGUUACCCAUCGUGCAGCUGAAAACUCUUUGCAAGCCGGUUUGCCAAAUGGAAUAAGUUACCCGAAAACCGAAUACGAGAAGGCAAUAAAAGUUUAUAAUGUUAACCCGAACUAAUGUGACGAUUUUCUUUAGAAGUCACAUCAAGUUAAACGUACUUUAACAUACACGAAUAACAUAUUAACUUGAUGUGGCAGAUUCAGGGUUCCUCACAUUGCUAAAUUAAAAAUGGUUAUAAGGAUCUUUUAAAAGAAGUAAUUAAUUACAUGCGUGGAUACCCGAACGAAGCAAGAAAUUUCAAUCAAUGGCAACAACACAAAAUUGAGGGGAAGAGAUGCAAAUGUGAAACGAUCAAGUUAUCCGGCCCAAUUAAGGCACUGUCUCCUCUGACGAAGUAAAAAAUAAUCUGAUUUUGGUGCCAUUAAGAAUAUUGUAAAACUAGUUUUAGGAGGUGGCAAUUUGGGUUAGGAUUCAUUUAUUUAAUUUGAUUUGAUGCAAACUAAAUCGGUUUAGAUUUGAAAAUUUUGAUUCGUUUAAUAAGUAGGUGAAUUCGAUUCGAUUCGCUAAUUAAACGGGUCUAAUCCGGGUUUGAGGACAUUAAUUCGUUAACUCGUUUAGUAAAUGAGUUAUAAACGAAUCGAAUAUGAUCAAUCGUUUAAGUUCAUUUAAUUAAACUAUUUAUCUAUACUUAAAUAUGCAUGAAAAAACUUUAAAGUCUAAAGGCUAAUAUAGUAAUUAUAAAUGAUAAUAAGUUUGUAUUGUAGGAUGUUAAAUUUAUGGUCUUUUCAUAUUUUAUUUUACUUAAUUUUUGUUUAUUAAUUAUAUUUUUGUAAAUAAAUUCAUAUUCAAUUCAAUUCCUUAUAGGAUAAAACGAAUUGUAAACGAAUCUAGAUUCGAUUUGAUUCGUUUAUUAAUUUUGAAUUAAACAAAUCGAACCAAAUAUUCAUUUAAUAAAUGAAUCGAAUCCGAAUACUAAGAUUUCAAUUCGUUUAAUAAAUGAAUCGAAUCUGAAUUAGCAGAAUUUUGACCCAAUUUAUUUACAAUUCGAUUUGAAUACAAUUUGUUUAUUCAUUUUGCCAACCCUAACUAGUUUAUUGUGUUUUCAAUUAAAUAUUACAUAAACUACACACUAUCAACGUUAUAUUGUACUUAUAAUUUUUUUUAUUUUACAUUAGCUCGCUAUAUUGGUUUUGAAUGUAAAAUGAUAAAAUGCUUUGACAUACAAAUAUGGUUGGAAAAGUAUCAUAAUAAAUUACUAUUUUAAAGCAUAAUUUUGAAUGGAUCUACUUUGUGUAGGUGAAAAGUAAUAAGAUGUAUUUUUAUACUCAAAACGAAGAUAGGGUGAAUGAUAACACACAAAUUACACCAUUAAUUGCAUUGAGUAAGAGUUGGAGUUACAAAAAAUUGUAGUAGCGUUAAAUUUAAAAUUAAUUACAAAAUCAAUUCCAGAAUAUAUCACUUGUAACUGCCAUUAAUUUGGAAUUUAUAAUAGCCAAUUAAAUUUAAAUUUUAAUAUGAGAUUAAAUCCCGAAUUUAAUAUGUGGUUAAUGAAACCGCGGUUACAUUUUAAAUUUAAUUUAAGAAUUAAAUAAAAGGUUUAACGAGCAACAAUUAUACUUUUAAUUAGCUACGGUACUUAAUAAGGAAUUAAAUACAUCAAUUACAAAUUUAAGUAGUCAAAUUUGUGGAUAAAAAUGCCUCUCAUAGAAUUCUAUGUUUUGACGUUCUUCUUCAUUUCAAGAAAGUGGCUAGGAACAAUAUAAGAGAAAUUACGAUAGAAGAAUAAGAAGAGAAGAACUUCAAUACCUCUAUCAUAUAUCCAAUUUUCAUAAAGUUUAGACACUGUACAAUAACCUCUUGGUGCGCCAGAAUUAUUCAUUACCAUUGUCUGCAGGAAAAUAGGCGUUGUUUAAAUCCUAAAGCACUUGAUACCAAGAGGCGAAUCCGUUUUAAUGAAGCUAUAUUAUGCAGGCAGGGAUGGUAAAUUAUGGGCUUGGGUCAGACUUUUUCAAGCUCAGGCCUAAGUCCAUGUUAUUAGUAAUAGGUCAACACCCUCUAAAAGUCUAUACAAACUUGGACGGUCCAAGCUUGCUUCAAUUAAUUUUUUAAAUAAAUUUUUAAUAAAGUUAAAAGUUAACAAUAUUUAAAUUAAUAAUUAUUAUCCAAUACAUAAUACAUAAUAGAUAAAUAGUUAAAUACAUAAAAUACAUAAAAUACUAGCAACACAAUAUAAUAAACCACAAAUAAUAUUUAUAAAUUAUAUAUUAUAUGUUUUCAAUUUAUAAAUUAUAAAGCCCAUACGUUAUCUAUAAACAAUUAACUAAGCCCAAUCACAGUAGGCUUUAAAUUUUUUUGCCCAAAUCCUUGGCGUCACGAAGCAACCAGAGCCUAAAGCCCACAGGCCUAGGUUAGGCCGACCCUAACUUUUUUGUCCACCCUACAUUAAGGCCUUGAUUGCAUCCUAUUUUUAUGUCAUAUUUUAUGUUGUUAUCUCAUUGUUGUAAUCACUAUUUUAAUUGGUAUAUCAUUGUUUUAAUUGUAAUCAUUGUUAUUUGUAAACUCCCAAUUUAUGAUUUGUAAUUUCAGAAUACAUUCCUCCUAUUGCAUUGUAUUUCCCUUAUGAAUACUUGGAAAAAGAUAGGAGCUAUUGGACCAAAAAAAAUAACACCAAAUCCGAAUUUUGUUACUAAGAUAUAAAAAUUCUCAGUUUCCUAUAGUUACAAAACCACAAUAUAUAAGUAAAAAUUUCAAGUCCCCAAAUGUCAAAAAUUGGUAAAAAUGCGAGGAUCAUCAUUACCAAGUACGCUAUGACUUUAUUUUCAUUAGUUUGCCGAAAGCUUUGAAACAAUUUAUUUUUUUGCCAAAAUAUGAAUCCGACGGCAUGAAACAGAGCACCCUUAUCAUAUUUUCUCAGAAGAGAAUCUUGGCCUGUUUGUUCGAUACAUCAUCUUCUUCCUUAAUUGAUAUUCGACUGAACAGACUCUCUUCAAAUUUAUAAACUGACAAGUGAAAACUUCUUAGUCCAAUUCUCCAAGAUCUCUCAUUUUUCCCGGGGAGUGGAAUUGAAGAGUCGGAUUCUGAAAAAAAUCCAAUUGGCAAAUAUUUGAUAUUAACGAAUAAAAAUUCGCCCCAAAUCCUCUCUUUCAUUACCUAUAUUUCAACAUUAGCAUUAAUGGUAUUAAAAAAUAAUAAAGAUAGAUUGUCAUCGUAUAUGUCAAGUGACACAGAAAAUAAAAAUAGAAGGAUAUUGAUAAAACAACAAUAUAAAAUGAACAAUGUUGAAUAAUAUAAAUGACAUUUGGAACAAAAAUCAUAAAUGACAUUUGCGGUUUUGAUCUUGGUAUGGGCUUAAGUCCACCCAAAUUGCUAAUCUAAGGAUGCAAUUCCUUAUAAGCUGAUCAUUUACAUCCUUCCAAGCACUGUGAGAUAUUACAUAUCCUAAUUUCGUACAAAAAACAUUGGAUUGUGUGUUUCUAUUUAUAAGUGUGCAGGUUUUGUGUUUUCUGUGAUUUCUUGAAUAAGUAUGUAAUAAGACUGCAAUAAAAGAUUUUCCCAAUUUUACUUCUCAAUAUGUUCAUUAAUUGGAUCAAAUGAAAUCAUGCAUGAACUCUUAUGAUAACAUUUUUUGACCUACAUUUCUCAUUAUUGGUUUUGGCAGUCUCUUCUUUUAGCGAACACUGGCAACAAAACAAGAAAAUUAAAAAAAAGGGGGAAACUGUUAAAUUCAUAAUCGCCUAUUUGGUUAAUUUGAUGUAUUUACGUAACUUAUAUUACAGUAGUUUCUAAAUUAACCAGCCUAUCUGGUUAAAUUAAAAAAAAAUAAUGUACUUAGAUAAUUAAUAAUAUAUGUAAAAUUACUAAUAUAACCUUUUCCUAGUGCGGUUCUGGUACGCGUUUCCUACUACAGUUUUAAUUUCAUUUACGAAACUAGUUUCCUAUUCAAUUAGGGUAAUUGUUAUUACAUAUAUAUAUAUAAUGGGAAUAGGAAACUAUUCCCUAAUUCAGUACGGCAAGUUAUUGUCACAUUAUAAAUAUCCGUACAGAAAAAAAUUUGGUUCCAUAUAUCGCACUGAAAAAAAAUGGAGCAAUACGAAAAGAUCAGGGAGCUUGGGUCGGGGAGUUACGGCGACGUGUUUCAGGCUCUUGAUAAAAAGAGUGGUGAAUUUGUUGCUGUCAAGAAAUUGAAGAAGAAGAUUUUUUCUUUGGACGAGAGCAGGAACUUGAAAGAAGUUAAAUGUUUAAGGAAGAUGAAUAAUCAUCCCAACAUUGUCAAAUUGAGGAAUCUUGUCAAAGAACACGAAGACGUAUUCAUUGUGUUCGAGUACAUGGAAUCUGAUCUUCUAAAACUUAUGAAAGAAAGAGCGGGUCAAAAUUUCUCUGAAGAUGAAGUCAGAAACUUGUGUUUCCAAGUGUUUCAAGGUCUCCAUUACAUGCACCGAGAGGGUUAUUUUCACCGUGACCUAAAGCCUUCCAACUUGCUUGUUUCGAAAGGUGUGAUCAAGAUAGGGGAUCUUGGAAUGGUGAAGGAAAUCGAUUCUAAUCUGCCGUGCACUGAUUAUGUUACAACUCGCUGGUAUCGAGCUCCUGAAGUGUUGCUUUUAUCCGAGAUAUAUGGACCUGAAGUUGAUAUGUGGGCGAUGGGUGCUAUUAUGUUCGAGAUGUUGAGUUUCAGGAUUCUUUUUCCGGGAAAAAAUUCGGCUGAUCAAAUUUACAAAAUCUGCCAAGUGAUUGGAAGCCCCACCGAGGACUCUUGGCCUCUUGGAAUUCAACUCGCGAGCAAUCUCAACUGGAAGUUCCCGCAGAUGAGUGGUGUGAAUAUGCGUGAGUUGUUACCAUCAGCUAGUCGAGAAUCCAUCAGCUUGAUUUCAUGGCUUUGUUCCUGGAAUCCACACAUGAGGCCUACGGCUGCGGAAGCUUUGGAACAUCCUUUCUUCCGGAGUUGUCAUUUUGUUCCUCGAUCGGUGCCUCUUCUUUGCAAUAAUUUUGAAGCCGUUGCGUUCCCUACUGCCACAGUCACAAUGCAAGGACGUUCUUUGACAUAUUCUGAGGUACCGAAUGAUGGGCAAUUAUGUUCGUGCUUCAAAUGUGAGAUGCAAAGGACUAACAACGAUCACAUGAUCAUCAACUCUGCCAAACCGGCAACCUCCAUGAUUUAUAAAACUGGUUACGCGACUACAACUGAGAUUUUGGCUUCCCGCAUGCAACCGUUGCAGCAGCUGAUGAUGUCGAGGCCUCCCGGAUUUUGAAGAAAACGUUAAGGCUGGUUAUUGUAUUUGUACUUAGAAACCUAACCACGCACGUACUAAUUGUACAUUCAAAGAUUAUUCAAUGCAUUGAUAUUCAUCUCCUCAGGAGUGGGAAUCCUGAAGAGUGGGAAUCCUGAAGAGUGGGAAUCCUGAGAUUAGGAGUGUGGAAUGGGAGUGGGAGUAGGGUGUUUACUUAGACUAAAUGAAAAUAUGGAUUGUCAAUCAGAAUCCUAAUUAUUUGUUUACUUUGUCUUGGAUUGGGAGUAAAUUAUUUUAAAUUACAAUUUUAUCCUUAUGUAUAAAAUUAUAAUUUGUAAGUAAAAAAUAUAUUUGGAAAAUAAAAUAAAUAUUUUAUUAUAUUUAUAAAUUAAUAAUAAUUACUAAUAUUCUUAAAUAUGUAAAUCAUAAUUUUUUAUUAAUUUUAAUUUAAAUUAUGUGAAUAAAAAUUAUUAAUAAUAGCAACACAAAUGAAAUAUUAUUAUUGAUAAUAUAGUACAAAAUUAAUAUUUUUAAGAAUAAAAUAUUUAUUAUUAUUAAUUAAAUAAUUAAUUAAUAUUUAUUAAAAUUAAUGUUUAAUAUUAUUAAUUUAAAUAUAAUAUUUAUUUAUUUUUAUUUUAUUAAAUUUAAUAAAAUAAAUAUGAUGUAAUUAUUUAUUUUAUUAAAUAUGAUAUUAUUUAUUUAUUUAUUUUUAUAAGGAUAAAAUGGGAAGAGGGGGGAGUGGAUUCCCACUCUCACCUCCCCCCAUGGGAGUGGGAAUCCCACUCCCCACUCCAAAAUUGGGUGGGACCCACGGAUUCCCACUCCCACUCCCCCCUUUUUUAAGGUAAGUAAACACUGGAGUGGGAGGAAUCCACACUCCACACUCCUACUCCAGAAAGUAAACACUACCUGAAUUCAGUGAAUAUAAGUCCAUGACCAUUUUUUUUUAAUAAGUUAUGGUCAAAUGUGAGAUGCAAAGGACUAAUAAUGAUGCAAAUGAAAAUUAAGAACACCAAAAAUCUAGAAGAAGAGGUUUCUGAAUUGAAUGGGGAGGUAGAUUCCAUAGUGGAAAAAUGAUAACUAAGACUAUCAUUAAUUAUAAGUAUCCAGCACUUUGUUACCUUCACGAUAAAUAUGUGAUACAUUAUUCUAUUAAACGAAGCAAGUAAAGGCAAUUAAACCAACAAGUGUGGAGUUGCCAUGGAAGAGAGUAGCCAAAAUUCAGAAGACAUUGAGUCAUAGACAUGGCGUCACAUUCAAUCCGAAGUUUAUGCCAACCCCUUAACCAUGCUUGUCCAAUAGCAAGAAUAACUACCAUAAAUUCAGAAUAAAAAUAGGAUUCAUGACCAAUGAACGUAGAACUGCCAAGGAAGGUUCCAUGAUGAUCUCUAGAAAUUCCCCCACAAGCAGAUAACCUAGGAUUAUUCUUACUGUUGACCUUUAUCAAAGUUGGAGGGGGCGCCAUAUCACUGUAGCUAUUUUCGAAGCUUUUCCAAAGCUUGGAUCAUUACCCAACCGGGCAAAAAUUGCCAGAUCAUGAAAGUGUGCAACAGUACUCCCUAGGCAAGAUUGACAGAGUAAAUAUUAAAUUUUUACAGUAAGCCAUGGCAUUAUGAAAAGGGAGAGAUACAUCUUGAAAUCAAAUAUAUUCAUUUUUCGUUUUUAAAUUAUAGCUUAAUGGAAACCCAGAUAGCACCACGUGAGUGGAUUCAAACCCCAAAUCUAUUAUUUCAAAUCAAAAGAUUAAAAUUCACCAAUUGAUCAACUAUAUAUCUAGCGCCUAACUAUGACCAACCUCAAUCAACGGACGUCCAUCAACUAGAUUAAUUCUCAAAAACCUGAUACUUUCUGUGUGUGGAAGAAACAAAGUCCUCAAAGAAGAUAACUUCACAAUAUAUACAACUCCUUGCUAACUCAAAUUUAAGCCAACGCCAUGUUUGAUGAAAAUUUAUGAUUGCGGGUUGUGAUUCCAUUUAUGCCAUAAGAAAAUCAAAAGGGUAUGUUUCGAAUUAUGAUUGCGAAAUUCCAAUUUGCAUUGUUGUUUUGCAACAAGCGCGAUACGAGCUGCAUAUGUCAUUUUUAAUAUAGUAAAAUAAAUCUCUACAAUAAUUUGACAACUAAUAAUGGAGGGCAACUAACUGUUAUCAAAGUAAAACGUAAUAAAUCCUAAAUCAAGGUUAAUAUAUACCACAUCAAAAAUAUUUUAUUAAUUAUUUAAUUAUUUAAUAAAUUAAUAAUUUAAUUACAUAUUAAUAUUUACUAAAUUAAUAAAAUUUUUACGGUGCCAAUACUAUGUAAAUAAAUCUAAAAUGCUUAUUAAUUAAUUGAUGGGUUCAAGAUGAAGUUUUCUGUUGUGGGAUUUUUAAGUGUUGUCAAUUUGUAAGCGUUCAGGUUUCGUGGGACUCGUAAUAGGAGCAAUGAAAUAUGUUACAAAUUUCACGUCUCAAUGUAUGUAUUCAUGAAGCGUGAUUUAAUGAAAUCGAGCUUGAAUUCUCAUCAUAACAUUUUGUUUUUUAGCUACAUUCCUCUUUGUUACAACUUACAAUUGGUUUUAGUCUCUCUGUCUUGUUUUACUAACCAACAGAGAAAGAAAAAGUAAAAAGCAUUAACCGGGGGAAUUGUUAGAUUUCUCAUGGCCUAAUUUGGUCAAAUAUUGAAAUUCGAUGUAUUUACUUAACUUGCAUUACAUUUGUUAGUAAUUAAUUAAUCAACCUGUCUAUCAAAAUAAAAACUAAAACAAUUGAUGUAUUUAGAUAUUAAUCGUACAGUGUAAGUCACUAAUAAACCUUUUCCUAGUGUAGUUCUGAAAGGAAUUUUAUAAAUUCAUUUAGGGAACUAGCUAGUUCCUAUUCAAUUAAAGUAUUAUUAUUACAUGUAAUGUGAAUAGGAAACUGUUCCAUUGUUUGGGUGAUAAAAUAAGGCGAUCAGAAUCGGGAUUUUCUUAAAGCUUGACUCUGUUCACCUCGCCAUCCCAAGCAGCCUAGAGAAAGCUGGCAAGUAGGGUUAGGCAAGAAACCGAUUGAAUUAGGAUGAAACCCGGUCAAAACCACCUUCCCGUCUCAUCCGAAAAUGCAGGGAUUAGGUUUAUCAGCAAAGCUCCUAAUUCCAUGAUCCUAGGGAGCGAAAGAGAUAUGAUCGAUCUAGUCCUAUGUAUAAAUUGGUUUUUAUAUAUAUGGACCGAGAGAGAGAGAGAGAUAUUCGAAUAAAUUCAUAUCGAACAUCAAUUCCUUUCUUUAAUUAGAACAUAGCACUUCUCUUGUCCUUUAUGGCAUCUCUCUCACUAAAGUCAAAAGUGUUGGCUUUAUUGAUUCCAAUUUAAUGAGAUGCAUGCUUUAAGCAUUAUUAUUGAAAUCGUUUAAAAUUACGAAAAAGAAAGUCCAGAACAAUGAUUAUACUUGCCGUUAGAGAAAUCGUUUGACACAAUAGUACGAGAAGUACGGAAGCAAGCCCCUGUGAAUUUUAGGUGGACCUCAUGCCUUGUACCAGGCAAGAAGCAAUAACAAAGGACAAAUAUACAAAAUUGGGAUCUAAAUAAUGACAUAUGUAUAUUAAUAUAUACAAUAAAAUUAAUUGAAGUAAAUGAUUUGUUUAUUAGCCCUUUUGCCAUUUUUUUGUCCUUAAUUUGUACACAUACAAUCUAAUUUAGCACAACUAAAUUGUCUAGUAAUACAGUGUGAGUCCACUCAUAUAAAAGUUAGGAAAUUCAUUAAAAGAAAAUCUAAAACUGAAGAUUGCCAAGGCUUAGUGAUCAUAAUAGUAGCCCAAAAAUUUGAUUAACCAUGUCUUGAAUAUUCUCUUAAUUAAAUGAUACCUCUAUCAAAUGUGCACAUGCUUCAUUAUGAGGAUUUUCGUCAGCUUAUUUAAGACACCGUGCAUCGUAAUAAUAGGUCGUCAUAGUAGGUUUUACCACUUGAUAUCAUACAUACUAGAGCUUCUUGGGGAAAAAAAAAUCAACGGGUGCCUAUAGAUUUGUAAAUACUUAAAUCAAAAUAAAACUUCGAAAAAAAUAGAAACAACCACCACAAAUCUAAACCUAUAGAGAGAAAUUUGUCCUUAAAACAAAAGCAAAUUAGAAGAUAAAACUGCUAAUAAAAUAAAGAAUCAUUUGCUUUUCCGAUAAUGAGAGCCAAAGCUUCGUAAGAGGAAGCUGAGAAAGGAGGGAGAAGUUGAGAGUGAGGAAAUGAUCUGGUAGGCUUCGCACGAUUAAUAAGAAGAUUAUAUGAAUGAGAAGCUAUUAGAGAGUGACUGUUUGAAGUAAAGAUUUCUUAGAUUGAUAACUUAUACAAUACUUUCUUUAUAUAUACAACAGAGUGAUCCUUGAAAAGAAAAUUAAGAUCACAUGAAUUAAUUUGGAAUAUAAAAAAGGGACUAAUUGGGUAAUCUUUCAUUUGUAAUUUAUCUCUAUGAUUUCCUCAAUGAACUAGCCGUUUGAGGACUCUGUUGAUUUGUCUUGGUUGUCUUCUUUAAGAAUGAUUGAAAGCCCUCAGCUAAAGCAAUGCAAAAUGCCAUAUUUGAUUUACCAAGAUCGUUGCCAUGAGUGUUACUUUGAAUUCUGACGUUAUCAGCUAUUUGGCUUUUUUUUUUUUUAACAAAGAAAAUUAAAUUUCUUUGCACCCAAAUGCAUAAUUUAUGCUCUUUCAAUGUACCCUAAAUAAGUUAAAAAAACAAAAAGGAGAAAAACAAGGAAAAACUUAUAAAAGAAGCUAGUUGGCUUUGAAAAAAAAAAACAAGAGAAAGAGACGCCACACGUAUAUUUCUUGGAAUUCAUUCAACACCUGCAUUAUAAUUCGAUUGGUUAAAAGGUACUUAUGACUAGAAUUUAAAUUUGUUAAAUAUGUUUCAUUCUAAAGAAAUUCUAAUUUAAUUAAAGAUGAAUAAAUAAAUAAAUGAAAAGUGCUGAGCAAUCACAGACAGAAAAAGUAGGAGAAUAAUUUUGUUAAAAAUUUAAAAGAGAAAAAAUGUUAUUGAGAUUACAGCCUUAUUCAUAGUAGACUACAUAUUCAGACCAAUCAAUAAGGUGAAUCAACUCAAAGCCUACCAGCAUAACGAACACCAAACUGACCCAACCACCCCACCCGAAAAAAAAAAAAAAAACCACACACACACAUACAAAUACACAGACAUUAGACAUACAAUAGCUUCACCAUGGAAAAUUUGAGUACAUUCUUGUAUAAAAUCACAUCUCAGUUAAGGAAUUAACUGCCCUGCAGUUCUUCCUAAUCUCACCAUUAGUCCCAGUGAGUGGACUUAUAUUCCCCAUUUUUAUCAGAGAAUUAACAAAAUCAGCGAAGAAAAGAUUUGCGUUGCUGCUAUAGCUUUCAACAAGACUCUUAGUAGUUGAUUUGGCCUCAUCACUAGAGUAUAGAAUUUGAUCAGAACUUAGAAGGCCCUUAUUGUUGAUCAAGUUCUGGAAGUAAUGGUUGUCAAAUAGAUCAAUCGAGUUCCGAUCAAGCGGCGUCGUAUUGUUUCCGUCCCCGUUAGCACAUAGGCUCUGCAAUUCGGACACCAAGCUUGUGUCCAUUGUAGCGUCUGGAGCACCUGUUCCUGAGAAGUUGGAUAGUCUAUUGCUGAAGAAGGCACAGUUUGCGAAUCCAAUUGUAUGAGCACCUGCACAUAAACAUUAAAAUUACCAAGCUCGCACAUUAUGGGAGUUCAAAAAGGGGUCCUGGGAUUCCUAAUGCAAACUUUUGGGAUAUUUUUCAAACAUUGAGAAAAUUUCGGAUAGAUAAAUGAUAAUUUUCUUAUUUUAAUAAUUUUAAAUAAGUUAAACUAGUAGAGGAGCCAAAUUUAUAUAGAAUGUCAUUACUUUACGAUUUAAAGUGAUCCCGAACGAAGGCUAAUUAGUUAUGAGUUGAUACAAAUAUAUGGUGAUAGAGAGGUCAAAUAAAUUACCUGACAAGGACACUAGGUCUUUAAUAUUUAGACCCACGGCUGCAAACUUGGCAGUGAGAAUGUUUAGCCCCUCAAACGGUGAAGGAAGAGCAUUGGCACCUGUCUGGUUUGCCACCAGUCCAUCUCUUCUUCCCAGCAGAACUUUCCAUGUAGGUCCUCCACUCUGCAAAAUAUUGUCAUAGCAUUUGUAUAAGUAAAAGUUAACCUCAUAAAGUUCAAAUAUAAAGAGAAAAUUUUAAUUUUCUCAUACCAUUAGAAUAUGAAAAAAAAAAAUUCUUUAUCUAUUAAUUGGUAGAAUCCUGUGAACUAAGAUGACUUAGUCCCUGCUUGAUAAUUUAGUUCAACAGUUCUAUCUUUUAAGACACAAUACUAAAGUAUUUGGUAAACAAUUGUUCUAGUGACUUUAAAAUUAAGUUAAUUUUGUCUCAAAUUAUUAUGAUGAAAAUUUUAUAAUAUCUCUAUUGUUUUUGUCAAAAUUAUUAUUGAAAAUCAUAUUUACUAUACAUUAUCAACCUUUAUUCUAUAGUUGCUACUUUUUUCUAUAGUAGCUGUGGCUUAAAAAAUAUGAAAUCCCAAUAUCAAACAAGGUCUCAAGUUUCUCAUGUCUCUAUUUCUUUUAGUCCCAUGGAAUCUAUAUGAGAAGAACAAUUAAUCAACCAACUUACCAAGAGCACUGAAUCUCUUGCAGCUAUGGCUAAAAUAUCAGCACAUGAUACAACUCCACUGCAUUGACCUUCCACGGCAGUUUUUAUUGCGUCAAUAACUUCAAAUCCUCGUGCUGAGUUCCGGUUAGGCGCGGCAAACUUCUCACUGUCACUUCCAUCCAAUAACACUAAUGCAUCACAACCCUAUAACAAAGAAGGAGAUCAAGUUUAUAAUAAUUAUAAUUACCAAAUGAUGAAUAAUUUAGGGAAAAAAUGAUAGUAAAAUUAAAGAUACAUAAAUUUUAUUUAUUCAUAAACUAGUGUACAGUGUACUAUACUUUUAGCCAUGCAAUGCAAGAUUAAAGCUGCUUGAACUGAGAAUAUAUAAGUACUUAGAUCCAAAAAAGAAUAAAAAUGAAACUAUAAUAUGUUAGUCUUGACUCAUGAAUUAAACUAAAAAAUCAUUUUUGAGUUUGGUAUAUCAUUCAUUCUUUUUCACAAGUAUUCUUUAGAUAUGUCACGUGAAUUAAAUCCAAACAACUCAUACAAUUAUGUGCAAAUUAUAUUUAAUUUGUAUUCGAAAAUAUUCGAGCAGGAGACAUUUAGGUCAAAUAUAUAUGCUGUGGAUCAUACUGAACUACCAAUUUGACUUAAUAUUAGUAAAAGCUUAAAGGCAGGUGCCCAACAAUCUACAGUAACUUUUGAACACUUAAGAUAUAUGCUUGGCACAUCAAGUAGUGAUAACUCCGGAUUUAAUCGUUUUCCAAAUUUUUUUAUAAAAGACUGCUAGCAAUCCAUCAGGCCCUAGAGUCUUCGUUGGACACAUCUAUGCUAAGGCUUCAACAACUUCCUCUGUUGAGAAAGGCUUGUCCAAUUGCUCGUUCAUGUCAUUUGAGAGCCUCAGUGUUAUCCCUGAAAGAGCUGCUGCUAUUUGGUUCUAGCUCGGUCUGGAUGUGGUGAGCAGAUUUGUGAAAUAAGUGCAAAACUCAUACUCCAUUUCUUCAACAUUCUCAAUCCAUCUUCUUGUUUCAUCUUCAAUUCCCCAUAUUCUAUUCUUUUUCUUCCGCGAUGAGGCUUUAUGAUGGAGAAACUUGGUGUUCUUAUCCCCCUCUUUAAGUCGAUUCGCUCUCGAUUGUUGUUUCCAGAAAAUCUCUUCAUCGGCCAAUAUGUUAUGAAUAUGUCUUUCCACCCAUUUAAUUUCAUCCUCAAAUUCAUACUGCACCUUUUUUCCUUUAAGCUCUACAACUGUUUUUUCAACUUCUUCAGUUUCUUUUCUCUCCCUUUAAAUUCUUCCUUACUACACAGAAUCAAAGUAGCCAUGGAAUCUUUAGUCGCCUUCUGGGAUAAAUGUAUGGGAUCAUCAAUGUUCCAGCAUCCAUGUUUAUGCCAUUCUUCUUCAAUUAUACUUUUACAGGUGUCAUAUGAACUCCACAUAUCUUCAUAAUGGAUUCGUGAAGUUCUCCUUCUUUGAUAAUUCAGGUCAUUACCUCUAUCCUGAACAUCCAUCAACACUGGGUUGUGAUCGAACAUCCAACUCUCAAGAUUAGCAGCUACAGAUUUAAUAAAUCUCUCACUUCAAGCCUCAUUGCAUAAAAAUCUGUCUAAUCGUUCUUCCACAAAGUCAGGGCCAAAUAUUCCAUUAUCCUAUGUAAAUAGAUAUCUCAUGUAGCCCACAUCCUUUAGAUUACAAUCUCUUAAGGCUUCUCUGAAGUCACUAAUUUGGUUUGGAUUUCUAUCAUUGCCACCAUUCAUCUUAUAUAGGUGUAAAAUUUCAUUAAAAUCACCGAAACAUAACUAAGGUGUGGAAGAUAAACCUAAUAGCCGUCUCAACAAUGUCCAUGUGUGCUUUUUUUGCUGCAUCUCCGGAUGUCCAUACACCUCUGUACAUCGCAUUUGCUUUUCAUUGCCCAUUUGUUGUUCAGCAUCAAUGUGGUGCUUACUAAAUGACUUAAUAUGCACACAAAUUUCAAAGUUCCAAAGCAUUGUAAGACCUCCUCCCCUUCCACUACCAUCCACAGCAAAACAACUAUCAAAAUUUAGCUUACUACGAAUCGUAUCCAUUUGCAUAGAUUGUAACUUUGUCUCACUCAAAAACACAAGUUGAGGUCUAUGAAUUUGGAGAAUUUGUUGCAUUGCUAGGAACAUCCGGGAAUUCCCUAAACCCCAAACAUUCCAGCUGAGGCUUUUCAUGGCUUCUAGCAUUCUUGAUCGCCAGCCUCCACCGAUAUCUCUUCUAUGUUUGAGUCUGCAAUUUCUAUUCCCUUCAUUGCCAACGGUUCCCAGCUCAAAUUGAGUUUUGCCACUGGUGAAUUCAGCUGAUAUUGCUUUGUUUCUAAUUUGGGUAGGCUAGUCACUUUCAUCUUCUUUUGUUUUGGACUUGGCUCAGUGAGCUCACAACUUGGCCUUUUUAACACCCCUAACCUAUAUUUGUUUCCACCAUUGGAGUUUGUGCUUUGGGCUUGUAAUUUCCAUUUCCUUCUAUUGGGCCUCAUUGGAGCUCUUCGAGACCAAUUUCCUGUCUUUGCUUCAUUCGCGCCUUCUUAGCAAAGUAUCUCCUCAUAAACUUUAAUUGGUGUUACCUCCAAAAAUUCUCGCUUGUUUUUAACAUUUUUAUUUCUCGCCUGAACUCCCAUAUUUCCAGGUCCUCUUGCGUUUCCCUCUAUCUCAUGCUGCUUUUUGCCGCCUGCUUGUUGUGCCAUUGUUAUUUCCAACACACCAUUCAUUAAAUGUUUCUCACAUACUCGUUCCACCUCAUCACCUAUAGCUAAUUUAUAAUUUUGACCAAUUUCUUCCUGAUCGAGUCCUGAUUUGGUUUUGUCAAUCGGGUUACUUUGACUCUGUUGAGGUUGUUGUGAGCAGUCGUGGUGUUCUGAGUUUGCCGCAUUACUCACUGAUUUGCCACUAUCCCUAUUCCAUUUCUCCUUGAUACGGUGCUUCCUUGAGCGUCCUCCCACUGUAACUACCUUAAUCCACAUCUCAUAUGGAAGUUCCUCUUUUCAUUGGCCCUGAUACUUAGCACACUCCUUGAAUUAGUGGCCAAUAACUCCACAGUAGAAAUAAAAGUCAGGCAAUCAUUCAUAAUCUAUAUGCAUUGGAAUAUCUGUUUCAUCCUCUUGUAAGAUCUUUUCUAAUGGCUGAUUCAUAUUGAUCAAAAUUCUAAUUCUUACAAAUUCCCCAAUAUAUUCACUAUAUUCUUUUGUUUCAACCUCCUCUACUAUUUCAAUCUUCUCGCCCUAAUUCUUGGAGAAAAUAUCUUUCCAUACAACAACCGGGACAUUUUGAAUCUGCACCCAGAAUUCUGUAUGAGUGAAAGACUGUUUUGUGAUCUCCCCAAUUCUUUUCAGUUCUGUAAGGACAAUUAAGGCCCUAUCGAAGUGCCAAGGGCCUCCUGCCAUCACCCUUCUUUUAUCAGCUUCAUAUGCAAACUUGAACAAAAAGAUAUUAGCACCCAAGCUCUCUAUCAUAACUUCUUUAAUUGUCCUCUAAACUUGCAGUAAUGCCAUAUUCAACCCCUAUUUAUGAACUGCUCUCGUAAGAAGUAUCUUGCCCAUCAACUAGCCAACCAAAACCUUCUCUCUUUUUUCUUUCAUUCUCACUUCUAAAGUUACUCUAUUUUUUUCUUUCUCUUUGAUAGUUAUCGCUUUACACUUACGAAUUAAUUCCUCUGUAUCCAUAACAUUUAAAACCUUUCAGAAAUAAUUGUUGCAUUCACUGUUCUAAAAGUAACCUUGCGUUCAAACCCCUUACCUGUAACACCCUAGACAAAUCCCACAUCGGCAAAGCACAUCAGAGAUAAUGGGUUUAUAAAGGGUGGUCCACACGUUAAUUGGCAAGAUGCAUUUUGGGGUGUAUGGGCGCCGUAGAAACAAACAUGUGCGGGCCUUGUUAAGGUCCAACACAGAUAAUAUCUUACCAAGUCUGGGUUGGGUCAUAACAUUAUGGUACUAGAACGGCUCUGCAUGUCCUCUUAAGCAAUGGUGGGGCAAACCUCAGCGAGGACGCUGAGUCCCCAAUGGGGGUGUAUGUAACACCCUAGGCAAAUCUCAUAUCAGCAAAGCAUGGGAGAGAUGCUGGGAUUAUAAAAGGUGAUCCACACCUUAAUUAGUAAGACGCGUUUUGGGGUGUAUGGGUGCCCCAGAAACAAAAUCGUGCAGGCCUUAUUAAGGCCCAAACUGGACAAUAUCUUGUCAGGUCUGGGUUGGGUCAUCACAUUAUGGUAUCAGAGCGGCUCUGCGUUUCCUCUUGAGCGAUGGUGGGGCAAACCUCAGCGAGGACGCUGAGUCCCCAAGGCGGUGUAUGUAACACCCUAGGAAAAUCCUACAUCGGUAAAGCACGGGAGAGAUGUUGGGUUUAUAAGAGGUGAUCCACACUUUAAUUGGCAAUAUGCAUUUUGGGGUGUAUGCGCGCCCCAGAAAACAAACUCAUGUGGGCCUUGUUAAGAUUCAAAGCGGAUAAUAUCUUAUCAGGUCUGGGUUAGGUUAUGACAUUAUGGUAUAAGAGCGGCUCCAUGUUUCCUCUUGAGCGAUGGUGGGGCAAACCUCAGUGAGGACGCUGAGUCCCCAAGAGGGGGUGUAUGUAACACCCUAAGCAAAUCUCACAUCAGCAAAGCACAAAAGAGAUGUUGGGUUUAUAAGGGGUGAUCCACACCUUAAUUAACAAGACACGUUUUGGGCCUUCUAUAGGCGGCCCAGAAACAAACAAGCACAUCUAUUUUUUCAAAAUUAAUAGUUUAGUCUUAAAUGUGAACUUAUUUGGUGGCUGCAAAUUAUGAACCCAUUUUUUAUUUCGGUGAAAACGAAAAUGUAAAAUGCAAAACAGAAAAUGUAAAAUUAUAUAAUGAAAUAAUGAAAUAAUUAAUGUUUUCCCUAAGAUAUAGUAAAAGCAUAUGUUUCACCACAAAAUUUUGAAGCCGCACCGGUCCUCCCAGCCGUUUUAUUUAUUUAUUUAUAGUCUUCACAGAAAUGAAACUAAAACUCUCCUCACCCACGAGUGGUUGAAUCUAAGCCACUUAAAGUUAAUAAUUCAUGAAAUGGUGCCUUUGUUUGGUGGCGGUCGCGGGGCCUUGGCCUCUGAUUAAUAUUAUUCUUUUAGCGUGUGAAUUCCACAAAUCAAAACCCUUCGGAAUUUUAAUUAUUAUUUACCGAAAUAUCAUUUUCCCUAUGGCUUCUACAUAUUAUGCCUAUAGCUAGUGAUUGUUUUGUAAUUCAUAUAAAAAUUUAAUUUUAGAAUUGUAACUAUUUUAAUUAACUGAUGUAAGGUAAAUUCCUUAACAGAUAAAUUCAUCUAUGUUCUCUUAGAUUAUAAAAGAUAAAAGUAGCGUAAUUAAGUUCAAGAGAAAACUGAUUUUAUUAAAUUUCAAGGACGAAACGAAAAAAAAUAAUAAGAGAGAUAAAAGAAUUUCUAAGAGAACAAGAUUAUCAUUCGACAAAUAAAUUUAAAUUCAUAAAUUUUUCUGCCCGAUCUAAUAUUAAUUCUUAGCAGCAAGCCUACGGCACAAGCCACAUAUAUGCAUAAUUUUUAUUGGUUAAAACGUGACAUUGAUGAUGUUGAAAGAACAAAUAAUAAACAAUAAUACAGUAAAACCUCCAAAUAGAAAUACUUUAUAUAUGAAUAAUUUCUUUAUAGUAAUAAAAAACCGUGGCCCCAAUUUGGGACCAGUUAUAAUUAAAAAUAAAUUUCACAUUGUAAUAAGUUAUAUUUUUUUAUAGGUUCCGACUUAAUAAACUUACUUUCACAUAGUAAUAAUAUUUCAAAAAUAUAUGUCAUGUUACAUUAAAUAAUUAUUAAUUUAUUAAUACAUGACAUAAUUUACCCCUAUAUCACUUGCAUUAGUGAUAAUUAAGUAAAGACAAUAAUUUUUGUACUAUACUUUUAUUGAGUUAUAAUCUCUUUAUAAGAAUAAAUUUAUCCGGUCUCAACAAUAUGACUAUAUAGAGAAUUUACUGUACCAGGCUUUUUUAUGCGUAUAGAAGCAGGACGUGAACACAAAGACACAAGUUUAAUUAAUUUAUUUGAAAAUACAUAACAUGUUUCAGACAAGAAAAUUAGAUUAAACUCAACUUUGAUAGUUAAUUUAUUUGAAAAUACAUAACAUGUUUCAAACAAAGCGAAGAUUAAAUUCGAGUUUGUUAAGCACAAAAACUCUCUCGCAUAUGCCGCAAGCUAGCUUUUUAGAAAGAGCUGACCAAAUCACCCUCCGAUGAUGAUGAUCUUGUUGCAAUAUUACUGUUUCCAUUGACCCUCCUGCAGUUCAAUCUAAUCUCCCCUUGAUUUCCUGUCAGUGGUUUCAAAUUGCCCAUUCUUAUCAUUGAGGUCACAAAGUUUUUAAAGAAAGCAUUCUGGUUCCUCCCAAAGUCCUCGACAAUGGCAGCGGUAUCGGCACCAGGAGUCGAAAACAACUCUUGAUCACUCUGCAGAAGGCCUUUGCGGAGUCUAAGAUUGGAGAAGUAUUUGUUGUCGAAAACAUCAGGUGUUUUGACAUCAAAAUUAGCAAGAACGCCGCCGUUUCCACCUUGUGG